Molecule: long non-coding RNA, 154473 nt
Filed under: Hordeum vulgare
Lineage: Eukaryota; Viridiplantae; Streptophyta; Magnoliopsida; Poales; Poaceae
Description: long non-coding RNA (HVUL_LNC013581)
Source: RNAcentral
AACCCUAAAGGGUUCGAUCAAAGUGGAGAGGAGGUGGAGGAGUCCACCUCCAAUCCUACUCCUAGUAGGAUUCCACCUUCUCUCCUCCUUCCCCUUUUCCCCUUUUCCCUUUUUUGCUCCUUGGCCAAAAUAGGCCCUCUUGGCUGGCCGCACCAUCCCACUAAGGGAUGGUGCACCACCUUUAGGCCUAUUUGGUUCUCUCCCGGUUGGGUGGCCCCUCCCGGUAAAACCUCGGAACCCAUUCGUCACUCCUCGUACUUUAUCGGUAAUGCCCGAAAACUUUCCGCAAGUCAAACGCAACUUUCCUAUAUAUCAAUCUUUACCUCCGGACCAUUCCAAAGCUCCUCGUGACGUCCAUGAUCUCAUCUGGACUCCGAACAACCUUCGGUCACCAACAUACAUAACUCAACUAUACUGAAACGUCACCUAACCUUAAGUGUGUAGACCCUGCGGGUUCGAGAACUAUGUAGACAUGACAUGAGACACUCUCCAGUCAGUAACAAAUAGUGGGACCUGGAUGCCCAUAUUGGCUCCUACAUAUUAUAUGAAGAUCUUUAUCAGCUGAACCUCUAUGACAAGGAUUCAGUUAAUCCCGUAUGAUGUUCCCUUUGUCCUGUUGGAAAUAUUCCCUAGAGGCAAUAAUAAAAUGGUUAUUAUCAUAUUUCCUUGUUCAUGAUAAUCGUCUAUUGUUCAUGCUAUAAUUGUAUUAACAGGAAACAGUAAUACAUGUGUGAAUAAAUAGAUCACAAUGUGUCCCUAGCAAGCCUCUAGUCGGCUAGCUCGCUGAUCAAUAGAUGAUCAUGGUUUCCUGAUCAUGGACAUUGGAUGUCAUUGAUAACGGGAUCACAUCAUGAGGAGAAUGAUGUGAUGGACAAGACCCAAUCCUAAGCAUAGCACUAGAUCGUGUUGUUUGUAUGCUAAAGCUUUUCUAAUGUCAAGUAUUUUUUCCUUCGACCGUGAGAUUGUGCAACUCCCCGAUACCGUAGGAGUGCUUUGGGUGUAUCAAACGUCGCAACGUAACUGGGUGACUAUAAAGGUGCACUACAGGUAUCUCCGAAAGUAUCUGUUGGGUUGGCACGAAUCGAGAUCGGGAUUUGUCACUCCGUGUGAUGGAGAUGUAUCUCUAGGGCCCACUCGGUAGAACAUCAUCACAAUGAGCUCAGUGUGACUAAGUAGUUAGUCACAUGAUGAUGUGCUACGGAACGAGUAAAGAGACUUACCGGUAACGAGAUUGAACAAGGUAUACGUAUACCGACGAUCGAAUCUUGGGCAAGUUCUAUACCGAUAGACAAAGGGAAUUGUAUACGGGAUUGAUUGAAUCCUUGACAUCGUGGUUCAUCCGAUGAGAUCAUCGUGGAACAUGUGGGAGCCACCAUGGGUAUCCAGACCCCGCUGAUGGUUAUUGGCCGUAGAGGUGUCUCGGUCAUAUGUGCAUGCCUCCCGAACCCAUAGGGUCUACACACUUAAGGUUUGACGAUGCUAGGGUUAUAGGGAAUUGUUAUACGAGGUUAUCGAAGGUUGUUCGGAGUCCCAGAUGAGAUCCCGGACAUCACGAGGAGCUCCGGAGGUAAAGAUUGAUAUAUAGGAUGGAUGGAUUUGGACGCCGGAAAUGUUUCGGGCACCACCGACAAAGUGUCGGGAACACCAGAAGGGUUUCGGAGGUCUACCGGGAGAGGCCACCAGCCCCAGGAGGCUACAUGGGCCAAGUGUGAGAGGGAACCAGCCCGUGGGUGGGCUGGUGCGCCCCCCACACCCAGCCCAUGGCGCCUAAGAGGGGGAAGGGGGGAACCCUAGCGCAGGUGGGCCUAAGGCCCACCAGGGGGUGCGCCACCCCCUCCUCCCCUCCUGGCCGCCACCCCUCCCCCCGUCUAGGGAUGCUGCACCCCUUAGGGGUGGGAACCCUAAGGGGGGCGCCACCUUCCAUUCCCCCUAUAUAUAUCGGGGUUUUUGGCCAUUGGAGAUACAGUUUUCCAUCUCUCUCUCGGCGCAGCCCUGUCUCUCUUCUUCCUCCUCUCCCACGGUGCGUGGUGAACCUCUGCCGGGAGACCUCGUCGCUCCAUCGUCACCACGCCGUCAUGCUACCGGAGCUCUUCCCCAACCUCUCCCUCCUCCUUGCUGGAUCAAGGUGCGGGAGACGUCACCGGGCGGCAUGUGUGUUGAACACGGAGGUGCCGUGGUUCAGAACUAGAUCAGAAUCACACCACGGUCUGAAUCGCCGCGAGUAUGACUCCAUCAACCGCGUUCUAGCAACGCUUCCGCUUAGCGAUCUUCAAAGGUAUGAAGAUGCACUCACCCCUCUCUCAUUGCUGGUCUCUCCAUAGGAAGAUCUGAAUAUGGCAUAGGAAAAUUUUGAAUUUUUGCUACGUUACCCAACAGUGGCAUCUGAGCUAGGUUUUCUAUGCGUAGAUUCUUUGCACGAGUAGAACGCAAAAAGGUUGUGGGCGCUGAUUUUGUCAAUUGCUUGCCGCUACUAGUCUUAUUCUUUUCCAGCGGUAUUGUGGGAUGAAGCGGCCCAGACUGACCUUACACGUGCGCUUACGUGAGACUGGUUCCACCGGCUAACAUGCACUAGGUGGAUAAGGUGGCUAGCGGGUGUUUGUCUCUCCCACUCUAGCCGGAUUGGAUUUGAUGAAAAGGGUCCUUAUGAAGAGUAAAUAGCUUUGGCAUAUCAUCGUUGUGGCUGUCACGUAGGUAAGAAGGAGUUCUUGCUAGAAACCCAAAUCAGCCACGUAAAACCUGCAACAACAAUUAGAGGACGUCUAACUUGUUUUUGCAGGGUUUGACAUGUGAUGUGAUAUGGCCAAAAGUUGUGAUGUUACAUGUGUGAUGUAUGAGAUGAUCAUGUUCUUGUAAUAGGAUUCACGACUUGCAUGUCAAUGAAUAUGACAACCGACAGGAGCCAUAGGAGUUGUCUUAAUUUAUUGUAUGAGAUGCAACGCCAUGUGUUUACUACUUUUACUUCAUUGCUAACGGUUAGCUGUAGUAGUAGUAGUAGUAGUAGUAGUAGUAGUAGUAGUAGUAGUAGUAGAUGGCGUGACGACUUCACGGAGACACGAUGAUGUAGAUCAUGAUGAUGGAGAUCAUGGUGUCACACCGGUGACGAUGAUGAUUAUGUGAUGCCCGAAGAUGGAGAACGAAGGAGAAAAGAUGAUAAUGGCCAUAUCAUGUCACUAUAUGAUUGCAUGUGAUGUUUAUCAUGUUUUUCAUCUUAUUUCUUAGAACGACGGUAGCAUAAUAAGAUGAUCCCUCAUAAAAUUUCGAGAACGUAUUCCCCUAAGUGUGCACUGUUGCGAAGGAUCGUUGUCUCGAAGCACCACGUGAUGAUCGGGUGUGAUAGAUUCUAACGUUCGCAUACGACGGGUGUAAGCCAGAUUUACACACGCGAAACACUUAGGUUGACUCGACGAGCUUAGCAUGUACAGACAUGACCCCGAAUACGAGAGACCGAAAGGUCGAACAUGAGUUGUAUGGUUGAAUACGAUCAGCAUGAAGUUGCUCAGCAUGACGACUAGUCCGUCUCACGUGAUGAUCGGACAUGGGUGAGUCGACAUGGAUCAUGUAUCACUUAAUUUGAUUAAAUGAACUUAAUUAUCAUGAACUAAAAGUUGUCUUUACAAAAUUGUAGAUCCAAUGGCCAACGAACCUGUCAAACUCAAUUUCAACGCGUUCCUAGAGAAAAACAAGCUGAAAGAUGAUGGUAGCAACUAUGUGGACUGGGUACGCAACUUGAAGCUCAUCCUCAUUGCAUCCUAGAAGGCUUAUGUCCUUGAUGCGCCGCUAGGUGACCCCCUGUUCCGCGGCAUCCCAAAAUGUUCAAACGUCUGGCAAGCGCGGAGUGAUGACUACUCUCUGGUUAGGUGUGGCAUGUUAUACAGUGAGAAAGUUGAGAGGGUUACGCCGGGGCUCCAAAGGCGUUUUGAGCAACACGGAGCAUAUGAGAUGUUCCAGGAGUUGAAGCUAGUUUUUCAAGCUCAUGCCCGGGUCGAGAGAUAUGAAGUCUCCGACAAGUCCUUUAGCUGCAAGAUGGAGGAGAACAGUUCUGUUAGUGAGCAUAUUCUCAGAAUGUCUGGGUUGCACGAACGUCUAACUCAGCUUGGAGUCGAACUUUCGGAUGACGCUGUAAUUGACAGAAUCCUCUAGUCCCUCCCACCAAGCUACAAGGGUUUUGUGCUGAACUACAACAUGCAAGGGCUUGAGAACACCAUUCCCAAGUUGUACUCGAUGCUGAAAUCUGCAGAAGUAGAAGUCAAGAAAGAGCAUCAAGUGUUGAUGGUCAAUAAGACCACCAGUUUCAAGAAAGGCAAGGGUAGGAAGAACUUCAAGAAAGACGGCAAAGCCAUUGCCGCGCUUGAUAAGCCAGAUGUCGGUAAGAAGAAAAAGAAUGGACCCAAGCCUGAGACUGAAUGCUUCUAUUGCAAGGGAAAAGGUCAGUGGAAGCGGAACUGCCCCAAGUACUUAGCGGACAAGAAGGCCCGCAACGUUAAAGGUAUAUAUGAUAUACAUGUUAUUGAUGUGUACCUUAUCAGUGCUCGUAGUAGCUCAUGGGUAUUUGAUACCGGUGAUGUUGCUCAAAUUUGCAACUCAAAGCAGGAACUGCGGAAUAAGCAGAGGCUGGCCAAGGAUGAGGUAACGAUACGCGUCGGGAAUGGCUCCAAGGUCGAUGUGAUCACCGUCGGCACGCUGCCUCUACAUCUACCGUCGGGAUUAGUUUUAAACCUUAAUAAUUGUUGUUUAGUUCCAGAUUUAAGCAUGAACAUUGUAUCAUGGUCUUGCUUAAUGGAGUCGGCUACUCAUUUAAGUCAGAGAAUAAUGGUUGUUCUAUUUAUAUGAGUGAUAUGUUUUAUGGUCAUCCUCCGUUGUGAAUGGUUUAUUCUUGAUGAAUCUCAAUCGUGAUGUUACACAUAUUCAUAGUGUGAAUACCAAAAUAUGCAACGUAUAUAAUGAUAAUCCCACAUACUUGUGGCACUGCCGCCUUGGUCAUAUCAAUGUUAAACGCAUGAAGAAGCUCCAUACUGAUGGACUAUUAGAGUCUCUUGACUUUGAAUCAUUUGACACAUGCAAAUCGUGCCUCAUGGGCAAGAUGACUAAGACUCCAUUCUCAGGAAUAAUGGAGAGAGCAACCGACUUAUUGGAAAUAAUACAUACUGAUGUGUGUGGUCUAAUGAACGUUGAAGCUCGCGGUGGUUAUCGUUAUGUUCUCACUCUCACCGAUGAUUUGAGUAGGUAUGGGUAUAUGUACUUGAUGAAGCACAAAUCUGAAACGUUUGAAAGGUUCAAGGAAUUUCAGAGUGAGGUUGAGAAUCAACGUGACAGAAAAAUAAAAUGUCUACGAUCUGAUCGUGUGCUACGACGACAGAAAUCUUCUGUCGUCUCUUGAGCUUGCGUUGGUUUUUCCCUUGAAGAGGAAAGGGCGAUGCAACAUAAGAGCAGUAAGUAUUUCCCUCAGUUUGAGAACCAAGGUAUCAAUCCAGUAGGAGAAUCUCGUCAAGUCUAGAGUACCUGCACAAACACAAAAGAGCUUGCACCCAACGCCAUAAAGGGGUUGUCAAUCCCUUCAAGAUUGAUUGCAAAGUGAGAUCUGAAGGCGGAAAGUGCAACGAAGUAAAAGAGUAAGGCUGAAAAUAUGGUGUGAAGUAGACCCGGGGCCAUAUGUUCACUAGAGGCUUCUAACAAAAUUGCAAAUAUUACGGUGGGUGAACAAAUUACUAUCGAGCAAUUGAUAGAACCGCGCAAAGUCAUGACGAUAUCUAAGGCAAUGAUCAUACAUAUAGGCAUCACGUCCGAGACAAGUAGACCGAUACUUUCUGCAUCUACUACUAUUACUCCACACAUCGACCGCUAUCCAGCAUGCAUCUAGUGUAUUGAGUUCAUGACGAACAGAGUAACGCCUUAAGCNNNNNNNNNNNNNNNNNNNNNNNNNNNNNNNNNNNNNNNNNNNNNNNNNNNNNNNNNNNNNNNNNNNNNNNNNNNNNNNNNNNNNNNNNNNNNNNNNNNNUGGCGAUCGACGGGGCAAAGGGCGGCGACGGCGUCGACGGGGCGGGUAGGGGCGCGGUAGAGGCACGACGAGGGCGCGCGGCAUGGUCGGGGGGCAAGGGCUACGACGGCGUGGUCGGGCCGGGCAACGACGGCGUGGUCGGGGGCAGGGCGACGACGGCGAGCUCGGGCAGCCUGGCGGCGUCGUCGGAGGAAUCAAAGAAACUGACGAAAUUUUCACAACUGCUAGCUUAUAUAGCAAAGCCAUUGGUACCGGUUCGUGGCACCAACCGGUACCAAUGCCCCCUUUAGUCCCGGUUGGUGCCACCAACCGGGACCAAAGGUCACUUUUCAGCAGCCCAAAGGGCGGGAAGCGGCGGCCUUUGGGCCCGGGUGGGGGGACCCUAGCGAGGUGGGACUAAACUUUGGCCGCGACGCAGGCAGCACACGGGCCUUUGGUACCGGUUCGUGGCACCAACCGGUACCAAUGCCCACCCUUUAGUCCCGGUUGGUGCCACCAACCGGGACCAAAGGCCGCCGCUUCCCGCCCUUUGGGCUGCUGAAAAGUGANNNNNNNNNNNNNNNNNNNNNNNNNNNNNNNNNNNNNNNNNNNNNNNNNNNNNNNNNNNNNNNNNNNNNNNNNNNNNNNNNNNNNNNNNNNNNNNNNNNNGCAUGCAAGCUUGAGCUAUGCUUUCCCUGUCACGAGGCCAAAAGUUAUAAAUAUGAUUCCGAUCACGAUGUACUAAAUGCAUAGGAUAAAACUUUUGAUGAAAUUCCAAUUUCAACCGAUUGUAGUCCCAUGAUCCAGUAUCAUCACAUAGCCUAUACCAUGUAAACGCCUUAUCCUUCAAAGAUAAAGGAAAGACUUUCUUCUUUACCUCAUCCUCGGGCAAACCUGCAAGCUUAAAUAAACCACAAACUUCAUCUACAUAGAUUAGGUGCAAGUAUGGAUGUGAAGAUCCAUCUCUUGUAAAAGGAUUAGCGAGCAGUUUCUCAAGCAUACCCGAAGGAAUUUCAUAAAAGAUAUUUUCAGUAGGUACCUCAGGUUCAUGAAAAACUCCUCGUGCUUCCAUUCGUGGUGAAGAUACCCUGAACAAAUUCCUCAAAGGAACAGUUUCCAUAGUGACAAGUGACAAUAAAUUUCAGCACAGUAUAUAAAUGUUUCCUUACCAAAUUCCACUUACCAAAGGCGCUUCACUCCCCGGCAACGGCGCCAGAAAAGAGUCUUGAUGACCCACAAGUAUAGGGGAUCAAUCGUAGUCCUUUCGAUAAGUAAGACUGUCGAACCCAACGAGGAGCAGAAGGCUCUGAUAAACGGUUUUCAGCAAGGUAAUAACUGCAAGCACUGAAAGUAGCGGUAACAAGUGAUGGUGUAGUGACGUGAAACGUAGCAAGUGAAAAGUAACAAGUAACAAGAGUAGCAACGGUGCAGAAAAGUGGCCCAAUCCCUUUUGUAGCAAGGGACAAGCCUGUACAAAGUCUUAUAGGAGGAAAAACGCUCCCGAGGACACACGGGAAUUUCUGUCAUGCUAGUUUCAUCAUGUUCAUGUGAUUCGCGUUCGUUACUUUGAUAGUUUGAUAUGUGGGUGGACCGACACUUGGGUACUGACCUUACUUGGACAAGCAUCCCACUUAUGAUUAACCCCUCUCGCAAGCAUCCGCAACUACGAAAUAAGAAUUAAGACAACGUCUAACCGUAGCAUUAAACUAGUGGAUCCAAAUCAGCCCCUUACGAAGCAACGCAUAGACUGGGGUUUAAGCUUCUAUCACUCUAGCAACCCAUCAUCUACUUACUACUCACCAAUGCCUUCCUCUAGGCCCAAAUAUGGUGAAGUGUUAUGUAGUCGAUGUUCACAUAACACCACUAGAUAAAAAGACAACAUAUAGCAUAUCAAAAUACCAAACGAAUACCAAAUUCACAUGACUAUUAUCAGCAUGACUUAUCCCAUGUCCUCAGGAACAAAAGUAACUACUCACAAAGCAUAAUAAUAAUCAUGACCAGAGGUGUAAUUAGUAGCAUCAAGGAUAUAAACAUAAACUCUUCCACCAAGUAAUCCAACUAGCAUCAACUACAAAGAGUAAUCAACACUACUAGCAACCUUACAAGUACCAAUUGGAGUCGCGAGAUGGAGAUUGGUUACAAGAGAUGAACUAGGGUUUGGAGAGGAGAUGGUGCUGAUGAAGAUGUUGAUGGAGAUGACUCCCCUCCGACGAGAGGAGUGUUGGUGAUGACGAUGGCGAUGAUUUCCCCCUCAGGGAGGGAAGUUUCCCCGGCAGGAUCGUCCUGCGGGAGCUCUAGAAUGGUUCUGCUCAACUUCGGCCUCGUGGCGGCGGAGAAUCCACGAAAAAGCUCCACCCUGAUUUUUUCUCGGACGAAACCCUUCAUAUAGCAAAAGAGGGGGGCCAGUGGUCCGCCAUGGUGCCCACAAGCCCUGUAGCCGCCGCCAGGGGGGUAGGUGGCGGCUACCGGGCUUGUGGGCUCCUGGUAGCUCCCCUCUCGUACUCCUUUCGCCCAGUAUUUUUUAUAUAUUCCCAAAAAAUACCAUGUUGAUUUUCAGGGCAUUUGGAUUUGCGUAGAAUAGAGGACUCGGACUUUCUCCUUUUCCAGUCCAGAAUUCCAGCUGCCGGUAUUCUCUCUCUUCAAAUAACCUUGCAAAAUAAGAGAGAAAAGGCAUAAGUAUGGUACCACAAAGUAAUAUAACAAUCCAUAAAGCGAAUAAAUAUCAACAUGAAAGCAUGAUGCAAAAUGGACGUAUCAAGGCACACAGGGGAUAGGGUUAUGUUCUUACUUCACACAUGAUUUGAGUAGAUAUUAGUAUAUUUACUUGAUGAAACACAAGUCUGAAUUAUUGAAAUAUUCAAGUGAUUUCAGAGUGAAGUUGAAGAUCAUCGUGACAAGAAGAUAAUAUGUCUACGAUGUGAUCAUGGAGGUAAAUAUAUAUCUGAGUUGCGAGUUUGGUAUACAUUUAAGACAAUGUGAAAAUUGUUUCACAACUCAUGCCACCUGGAACACCAUAGUGUGAUGGCGUGUCCGAACGUCAUAGUCGUGCCCUAUUGGAUAUGGCGCAUACUAUGAUGUCUAUUUUGGUAUUACCACUAUCGUUUUUGGGUUAGGUAUUAGAGUAAAAAGCAUUCACUUUAAAUAGGGCAUCACGCAAUUCCGUUGUGAUGACACCGUAUGAACUAUGGUUUGGAGAAACCUAAGCUCUCGUUUCUUAAAAGUUUGGGGCUGCGACGCUUAUGUGAAAAAGUUUCAGCCUGAUAAGCUUGAAUCCAAAGCAGAUAAAUGCAUCUUCAUAGGACACCCAAAACAGUUGGGUAUACCUCCUAUCUCAAAUUCGGAAGCAAAGUGUUUGUUUCUAGAAACGGGUCCUUUCUCGAGAAAAGUUUCUCUCAAAAGAAUUGAGUGGGAGGAUGGUGGAAACUUGAUGAGGUUAUUGAACCGUCACUUCAACCAAUGAGUCGCAGGGCGUGUUGACGUGCAACUAUUCCUGACUUGAUGCCUCCAUGGCAACGGAGCCAGAAAAGAGCUGCUUCGAGUUGCUCAACAAUUAGAAAUUGUCUUGCAACAGUUUUCGAGGGUAGAGUAUUCAACCCAAAUUUGUUGGUUCGCGCGACGGGAAGUGAAAGAAUAUUCUCAAGUAUUAGCAGCUGAAUGUGUCAGAUUCAACCACACCUGAAAGAUUACUGUCUGCAAGCAGGAUAUAAGCAGCAAAGUAGUAUGAUAACAACGGUGCCAGAAACGAUCUUUGACAAGGCACACAGGGGAUAGGUGGCGMCAGUAAGUYGCCCGUAGGACGGGAAUAUUCUUCCCGGCAACGGUGCCAGACACGAGUGCGUNNNNNNNNNNNNNNNNNNNNNNNNNNNNNNNNNNNNNNNNNNNNNNNNNNNNNNNNNNNNNNNNNNNNNNNNNNNNNNNNNNNNNNNNNNNNNNNNNNNNACGGCCGAAAUACCCUACCAACGCAAAAUAACGUAGUGACACUCUAAAUACAUGGCAAAUUAAGUCCCUAAACUAAUAGGCAUUCUAAAACGGAMAUUACGGUACCGAAUAACGGUCUAGACGCGAAAACAAAUAACGRCGUCUAUCCUACAUAGACAGCACGGUAACAAUGCAUUUGGCACGCUAACUAAAUCGAACAAAUACGCAAGGUGCACAAACGUAAUCUACAAGUAAAACUAACGCGAAAACCAUAUAUUACACGCUUGGUUCCGACUUACGGAUUAAAAGAUACGGAUGUUUUAAAUAUCUAUUAAUUCCUGAAAUUAUUUAAUCAUAGAAAUAUCCUAAAUGCAAAAGGGCCGAAUCUGGAGGCGCAAUUUAGUAAAUAGCGCCAAGGGCGCGGGAUGGAUCUCACCUCGGGGGGGGCUCUUGGGCUGGAGGGGCGCAGUGGAAGGCAGCCGGCCUGGCUGCCGAAGCUGGAGGUGGGCCGCGGGUGAGGCCGAAGCCUGGGCCUGGGGCGAAGGAGUUGGCCACUGGGCCGAGGGAGCUGGUGCGGCCCAGGCCAGGGCAACCGCUGGCGACGGACGGUGGCGCUGGAGCUGUCGCGGCGGCCGGCGACAUAGCUUCCGGCGAGGGGGAAGGCGGGGGAGGCCGGAUCCAUGACGGGGAGCUCCGGAUCCGUCCAUCCCCGGGGGUUUGAGGCGGCGCUGGCAGGCGGCGAGGAGAGCAGCAACGACGGCGAGAACUGGGCAGGCGGCAGCGCGCUGGCGGGGCCGCGGCGGCGAGGAUCCUGGGCUGCGCACCCGACGGCGGCCGGCGGGGAGGUGCGGCAGGGGGUUCAGCAACACGCUACAGGAGGAGGUCGCGAUGGGAGCAGGGGGCGCAUGCGAGCGGCGGCGGCGGAUGGGCUCGGGCGGGCUCAGAUCGGGCCCCAUGGGCUGGUGGCUGGAGGAGGAAGAGGGGCUCAGGGUUAGGGUUUCGGGGCUGCACGGAUUUCAAGGCACACAGGGGAUAGGGNNNNNNNNNNNNNNNNNNNNNNNNNNNNNNNNNNNNNNNNNNNNNNNNNNNNNNNNNNNNNNNNNNNNNNNNNNNNNNNNNNNNNNNNNNNNNNNNNNNNACAAGGACGACCGAAACCGUUUAAAACGGUUAACUACGGUAACGAACUAAGUAGAUAGUUCUUAAAGAAGAGGAAAGUUAGUUGAUUUCYAUGCUUGUGCCCUUCGUUAAGAGGUACGAGACCUCCAACCAACGAUUCUUUCACCACAAAGUAAAGGAGAAAAGACUCAAUCGUUGAGCGUGUGCUCAGAUUAUCUGAGUACGACAAUCACUCGAAUCGAGUGGGAGCUAAUCUUCCAGAUGAGAUAGUGAUGGUUCUCCAAAAUCACUGCCACCAAGCUUUGAGAGCUUCGUGAUGAACUAUAACAUAUCAAGGAUAGAUACAAUGAUCCUUGAGCGAUUCGCGACGUUUGACACUGCGAAAGUAGAAAUCAAGAAGGAGCAUCAAUAGUUGAUGGUUUGAAAAACCACUAAGUUUCAAGAAAGGGGAGGGCUAGAAGGGAUACUUCGUGAAACGGCAAAACAGUUGCUGCGCUAAUGAAGAGACCCAAGAUUGAACCCAAACCCGAGACUAAGUGCUUCUGUAAUAAGGGGAACGGUCACUGAGGCGGAGCAACUCUAGAUACUUGGGAGAUAAGAAGGCUGGCAAAAGUCGAGAGAAGUAUAUUUGAUAUACAUAAUGUUGAUGUGUACUUUACUAGUACUCCUAGUAGCACGAGGGUAUUGGAUACCGGUUCGGUUGCUAAGUGAUUAGUAACGCGAAAUGAAAGCUACGGCAUAAGCGGAGACUAGCUAAAGGCGAGGUGACGAUACGUGUUGGAAGUGUUUCCAAGGUUGAUAUGAUCAAACGUCACACGCCCCCUCUACCAUCGGGAUUGGUGUUGAACCUAAAUAAUUGUUAUUUGGUGCUUGCGUUAAGCAUGAACAUGAUUGGAUCGUGUUUAUUGCAAUACGAUCAUUCAUUCAAAGAGAAUAAUGGUUACUCUAUUUGCUUGAAUAAUCACCUUCAAUGGUUUAUUGAAUCUCGAUUGUAGUGUUACACAUUGGUGCCAAAAGAUACGAGUUAAAUGAUGAUAGUACCACUUACUUGUGGCACUGCCGCUUGAGUCAUAUAAAUUGCAUGAAGAGGCUCCAUGCUGAUGGAUCUUUACUCACCUGAUUUCGAAUCACUAGUGACAUGCAAAUCAUACCACAUGAGCAAGGCCUUGUUUUCAUUGAGAUGAAACAAGAUAGUAACUUGUUGGAAGUGAUACAUUUUGAUGUAUGCAGUCCAGUGAGUGCUGAGGCACGCAGUGGAUAUCAUUAUGUUCUUACUUCACUGACGACAUGAGUAGAUACAGGAGUAUUUACUUAAUGAAUCACAAGUCUGAAAUAUUGAAAAGUUCAAUUCUGUUUCAGAGUGAAGUUCGUCGUAACAAGAGGAUAAACUGUCUACGAUAUGAUCAUAGAAAUGAAUAUCUGAGUUGCGAGUUUUUGGUACACAGUUAAGACAAUGUGGAAAUUGUUUCACAGUUCGUGCCACCUGGAACAUCAUGGUGUGAUGAUGUGUCUGAACGUCAUAGCCACGCACUAUUUAGUAUGGUGCAUGCUGUGAUGUCUCUUAUCGAAUUACCACUAUCGUUUAUGGGUUAUGCAUUAGAGACAACCACAUUCACUUUAAAUAGGGCACCGCGUAUUUCCGUUGAGAUGACACAGUAUAGACUGAGGUUUAGAGAAAUCUAAACUGUCGUUUCUUGAAAGUUUGGGGCUUCGAAACUUAUGUGAAAAAGUUUCAGUCUGAUAAGCUCGAACCCAAAGCGGAUAAAUGCAUCUUCAUAGGAUAUCCAAAACAGUUGGGUACAUCUCCUAUCUCAGAUCCAAAAGCAAAGUGUUUGCUUCUAGAAACGGAUCCUUUCUCGAGAAAAGGUUUCUCUCGAAAGAAUUGAGUGGGAGGGUAGUAGAACUUGAUGAGGUUAUUAAAACCAUCACUUCAACCAGUGUGUAGCAGGGCAUAGGAAGUUGUUCCUGUGGCGCCUACACUAAUUGAAGUGGAAGCUGAUGAUGGUGAUCAUUGAGCUUCGAAUCAAGUUACUACAAACCUCGUAGGUCGACAAGGUCGCGUACUGCUGCAGAGUAGUACGGUAACCCUGUCUUGGAGGUCAUGUUGUUGAGCAACAGUGAACCUACGAGUUAUGGAGAAAGCGAUGGUGGGCCCAGAUUCCGACAAAUGGCUGGAAGCCAUGAAAUCCGAGAGAGGAUCCAUGUGUGAAAACAAAGUGUAGACUUUGGUAGAACUACUUGAUGGUCAUGGGACUAUUGGGUAAAAUGGAUCUUUAAAAGAAGACAGACGAUGAUGGUGAUAAGUCACUAUUAAGAAAAGCUCGACUUGUCGCAAAGAUGUUUUCGACAAGAUCAAACAGUUGACUAUGAUGAGUCUUUCUCACUCGUAGCGAUGCUAAAGGUCUGUUAGAAUUGUGUUAGUAGUUGCUGCAUUAUUUAUGAAAUAUUGCACGUAGGAUGUCAAAACGUUGUUUCCUCGACGGUUUCCUUGAGCAAACAUUGUAUGUGAUACAGCCAGAAGGUUUUGUCGAUCCUAAAGAUACUAGCAAGUAUGCAAGCUCCAGUGAUCCUUCAAUGGACUGGUGCAAGCAUCUCGGAGUUGGAAUAAGCACUUUGAUGAGAUGAUCAAAGAUUUUGGGUGUGUACAAGGUUUAUGAGAAACUUGUAUUUCCAAAGAAGUGAGUGGGAGCACUAUAGAAUUUCUGAUAGGUAUAUAUGGUUGACAUAUUGUGGAUCAGAAGUAAUGUAGAAUUUCUGUAAAGCAUACAAGGUUGUUUGAAAGAAGUUUUCAAAGGAGUACCUGGAUUACGCUACUUGAACGUUGAGCAUCAAAGAUCUAUGGAGAUAGAUCGAAAGCGCUUAAUAGAAGUUUCAACAAGAUGCAUGCCUUGACAAGUUUUUUGAAAGAGUUCAAAAUAGACCAGCAAAGAAGGAGUUCUUGGUUGCGUUGUGAGGUGUGAAUUUGAGUAAGACUCAAAACCCGACCACGGCAGAAUAAAGAGAAUAGACGAAGGUCGUCUUCUAUGCCUUAGCCGUAGAAUCUAAAGUAUGCCAUGCUGUGUACCCUAUCCCCUGUGUGCCUUGACUCAAAGUCUGUUGAGGGUACAGAGAGUGAUCCAUGAUUGAAUCACUAGCAGCGGUCAAAAUUUAUCCUUAGUAACAAAUGGACUAAGGAAUUUUUCUCGAUUAUGGAGGUGGUUAAAGAGUUCGUCGUAAAGGGUUACGUCGAUGCAAGCUUUGACACUAAUCUGAAUAACUAUGAGUAGUGAAACGGAUUCAUAUAGUAGAGUGGAUAUUUGGAGCAUUUCCGAAUAGCACGUAGUAGCAGCAUCUAUAAGAUGACAUAAAGAUUUGUAAAGAACGCACGGAUCUGAAAGUUUCAGAACCGUUGACUAAAACCUCUCUCACAAGCAAGACAUGAUCAGACCCCAUAACUAUAUGGGUGUUGGAUUCGUUGGAAUCACAUGGUGAUGUGAACUAGAUUAUUGACUCUAGUGCAAGUGGGAGACUGUUGGAAAUAUGCCCUAGAGGCAAUAAUAAAUUAGUUAUUAUUAUAUUUCUUAGUUCAUGAUAAUCGUUUAUUAUCCAUGCUAUAAUUGUAUUGAUUGGAAACACAAUACUUGUGUGGAUACAUAGACAAAACACUGUCCCUAGUAAGCCUCUAGUUGACUAGCUCGUUGAUCAAAGAUGGUCAAGGUUUCCUGGCCAUAGACAAGUGUUGUCACUUGAUAACGGGAUCACAUCAUUAGGAGAAUCAUGUGAUGGACUAGACCCAAACUAAUAGACGUAGCAUGUUGAUCGUGUCAUUUUGUUGCUACUGUUUUCUGCGUGUCAAGUAUUUAUUCCUAUGACCAUGAGAUCAUAUAACUCACUGACACCGGAGGAAUGCUUUGUGUGUAUCAAACGUCGCAACGUAACUGGGUGACUAUAAAGAUGCUCUACAGGUAUCUCCGAAGGUGUUAGUUGAGUUAGUAUGGAUCAAGACUGGGAUUUGUCACUCCGUGUGACGGAGAGGUAUCUCGGGGCCCACUCGGUAAUACAACAUCACACACAAGCCUUGCAAGCAAUGUAACUUAGUGUAAGUUGCGGGAUCUUGUAUUACGGAACGAGUAAAGAGACUUGCCGGUAACGAGAUUGAAAUAGGUAUGCGGAUACUAACGAUCGAAUCUCGGGCAAGUAACAUACCGAAGGACAAAGGGAAUGACAUACGGGAUUAUAUGAAUCCUUGGCACUGAGGUUCAAACGAUAAGAUCUUCGUAGAAUAUGUAGGAUCCAAUAUGGGCAUCCAGGUCCCGCUGUUGGAUAUUGACCGAGGAGUCUCUCGGGUCAUGUCUACAUAGUUCUCGAACCCGCAGGGUCUGCACACUUAAGGUUCGACGUUGUUUUAUGCGUAUUUGAGUUAUAUGGUUGGUUACCGAAUGUUGUUCGGAGUCCCGGAUGAGAUCACGGACGUCACGAGGGUUUCCGGAAUGGUCCGGAAACGAAGAUUGAUAUAUAGGAUGACCUCAUUUGGUUACCGGAAGGUUUUCGUGCAUUACCGGAAAAGUUUCGGGCUCAUCGGUAGUGUACCGGGAGUGCCGGGAGGGGUGCCGGGGACCAUCGGGAGGGGUGUCACGCCCCAAGGGGUCUCAUGGGCUAUGGGAAGAGAUAAACCAGCCCCUAGUGGGCUGGAAUAAGUUCCCACUAAGGCCCAUAAGGUUUGAGAAGGAAAAAACACAAGGUGGAAAGAGUUUCCAAGUGGGAAGGUGGAAUCCUACUCCAAGUAGGAUUGGAGUAGGACUCCUCCACCUCCAAUUUCGGCCAAACCUUUAGGUUUUGAGGCUGCCUCCUCCCCUCCCUCCCACCUAUAUAUACGGAGGUUUUAGGGCUGAUUUGAGACGACUUUCUCACGGCUGCCCGACCACAUACCUCCAUAGUUUUUCCUCUAGAUCGCGUUUCUGCGGAGCUCGGGCGGAGCCCUGCUGAGACGAGAUCAUCACCAACCUCCGGAGCGCCGUCACGCUGCCGGAGAACUCUUCUACCUCUCCGUCUCUCUUGCUGGAUCAAGAAGGCCGAGAUCAUCGUCGAGCUGUACGUGUGCUGAACGCGGAGGUGCCGUCCGUUCGGUACUAGAUCGUGGGACUGAUCGCGGGAUUGUUCGCGGGGCGGAUCGAGGGACGUGAGGACGUUCCACUACAUCAACCGCGUUCUCUAACGCUUCUGCUGUGCGAUCUACAAGGGUACAUAGAUCACUCAUCCCCUCUCGUAGAUGGACAUCACCAUGAUAGGUCUUCGUGCGCGUAGGAAAUUUUUGUUUCCCAUGCGUCGUUCCCCAACAGUGGCAUCAUGAGCUAGGUUCAUGCGUAGAUGUCUUCUCGAGUAGAACACAAAAGGUUUUGUGGGCGGUGAUGUGCGUUUUGCUGCCCUCCUUAGUCUUUUCUUGAUUCCGCGGUAUUGUUGGAUUGAAGCGGCUUGGACCGACAUUACUCGUACGCUUACGAGAGACUGGUUUCAUCGUUACGAGUAACCCCCUUUGCUCAAAGAUGACUGGCAAGUGACGGUUUCUCCAACUUUAGUUGAAUCGGAUUUGACCGAGGAGGUCCUUGGAUGAGGUUAAAUAGCAAUUCAUAUAUCUCCGUUGUGGUGUUUGCGUAAGUAAGAUGCGAUCCUACUAGAUACCCUUGGUCACCACGUAAAAUAUGCAACAACAAAAUUAGAGGACGUCUAACUUGUUUUUGCAGGGUAUGAUUGUGAUGUGAUAUGGCCAAUGAUGUGAUGUGAUAUAUUGGAUGUAUGAGAUGAUCAUGUUGUAAUAGAAAUAUCGACUUGCACGUCGAUGGUACGGCAACCGGCAGGAGCCAUAGGGUUGUCUUUAUACUAACAUAUGUGCUUGCAGAUGCGUUUACUAUUUUGCUAGGAUGUAGCUUUAGUAGUAAUAGCAUAAGUAGCACGACAACCCCGAUGGCAACACGUUGAUGGAUGAUCAUGGUGUGGCGCCGGUGACAAGAAGAUCGUGCCGGUGCUUUGGUGAUGGAGAUCAAGAAGCACGUGAUGAUGGCCAUAUCAUGUCACUUAUGAAUUGCAUGUGAUGUUAAUCCUUUUAUGCACCUUGUUUUGCUUAGAACGACGGUAGCAUUAUGAGGUGAUCUCUCACUAAAAUUUCAAGACGAAAUUGUGUUCUCCCCGACUGUGCACCGUUGCGACAGUUCUUCGUUUCGAGACACCACGUGAUGAUCGGGUGUGAUAGACUCAACGUUCACAUACAACGGGUGACAAAACAGUUGCACACGCAGAACACUCGGGUUAAGCUUGACGAGCCUAGCAUGUGCAGACAUGGCCUCGGAACACGUGAGACCGAAAGGUCGAGCAUGAAUCGUAUAGUUGAUAUGAUUAGCAUAGGGAUGCUUACCACUGAAACUAUUCUCGACUCACGUGAUGAUCGGACUUGAGAUAGUGGAUUUGGAUCAUGUACCACUCAAAUGACUAGAGAGAUGUACUUUUUGAGUGGGAGUUCUUAAGUAAUAUGAUUAAUUGAACUAAUUUUCAUGAACAUAGUCUAAUGGUCUUUGCGAAUUACGAUGUAGCUUGCGCUAUAGCUCUACUGUUUUUUUAUGUUCCUAGAGAAAAUUUAGUUGAAAAUUGAUAGUAGCAACCUUUGCAGACUGAGUCUGUAAAACCGAGGAUUGUCCUCGUUGCUGCGCAGAAGGCUUAUGUCCUUAAUGCACCACUCGGUGUGCUGCACCUCGAGCGUCGUCUGUGGAUGCUGUGAACAUCCGACAUACACGUUUCUGAUGACUACACGAUAGUUCAGUGCAAAGUACUUAAUGGCUUAGAAGCAAGGCACACAGGGGAUAGGUCACGGAACAUAAGUGAUGUUCUAAAGAGAGGAAAUUGUGAUUUCAUGCUUGUGCCCUUGUUAAGAGGUACGAGACCUCCAACAAGAUUCUUUCACCACAAAGUAAAGGAGAAAAGCUCAAUCGUUGAGCGUGUGCUCAGAUUAUCUGAGUACGACAAUCACUCGAAUCGAGUGGGAGCUAAUCUUCCAGAUGAGAUAGUGAUGGUUCUCCAAAAUCACUGCCACCAAGCUUUGAGAGCUUCGUGAUGAACUAUAACAUAUCAAGGAUAGAUACAAUGACUCCUUGAGCGUAUUCGACGUACGUUUGACACGUGACGAAAGUAGAAAUACGAAAGAAGGAGACAUACNNNNNNNNNNNNNNNNNNNNNNNNNNNNNNNNNNNNNNNNNNNNNNNNNNNNNNNNNNNNNNNNNNNNNNNNNNNNNNNNNNNNNNNNNNNNNNNNNNNNAGUUUGGUUGUAAUUUGUAUUGUACUUUUUACUUUCUUAAAUUACUAGUAAUUUAAAAAUAGUUCUUGUCUUUCUAUUUUUCUUAGUAAUUUACUAUAAAUUACUUUAGUUGGUUUAAAAUUUAAGGUUUMYUAGUUUUCUAAAAUUAAUUAGUUUGGUAAUUUUUUGUUUCCAAAUUUAGCAAAAAAUAGUUCAAAAUUUCAAAAAUAGUUCCUAAUCUUCAAAAUUUGUUCUAACACGACGAUCCCUGGAUCUUCACCUUGACUUGAUCGAUCCCUUGGAUGCUCGAAGGGAGCUAGGGUUCUCCACAAAACCCUAUCAGAUCUAGGGUGAAGAACCCUAGCUCCCUUCGAGCGUCCAAGGGAUCGAUCAAGGCAAGGCAACGAUCCAGAGAUUGUUGUGUGAUCAGUCAGAAUCAAACUGGUGGACAGGUUAGGCAAGAAAUCGCCCUAGGUGCAGCUAAACCCUAGCGACAGGGAAACAUUAUACCAAGUCAUGCCGACCCUACACAAAGGUUCAUCAAUCUUACGCCUAUGGGUGUCCUAUAGAGGACCUUGCUAAGAGGGAGAUAUAACAUUUUAAUAGAUCAUGAGAGGGAUAUAAACAAACCCGCCUUCCAUGAGCCCAAAAUUCACAAAUACUAGGCUGGAUUCUACAAAAUCUAACAGACCGAAGCAUCAUGUUCUCUUGGUACUCCGCCACUGGUACGAGCUUGGCCGGCCAUUUAUCAUCUGUUUAUUUUCUAAAAUGUUCAAAAAAAACGAACAUCGAAUAGUCGAGGUUUCAAUCCUGUUCUUUUUCUAACAAAUUCUCCAGUCCCAAACAGGUAUUUUUCCAGCUUCAUUCUCCUUUUUUUCUUUUUCCUUUUUUCCUUUGCUUUUUUUCUUUGACCUGGUUCAAAGAUUUUUCUUUUUGUUUCUUUGAUCUGGUUCAAUGAUUUGAAAAGAGUUCAUCAAAUUUGUUCUUUUGUUUUUUAAAUGAUGAACUAUUUACAAUUUUUGAACUUUUCUCAAAUUUGAUGAUUUUUCCCCUAAUUUAAUGAACGUUUUUCCAAAUCGGUGAUUUUUUUAUAAAUUUGUUGAACUCUUUUCAAAUUCGAUGAACUUUCUUCCAAAAUCGGUGNNNNNNNNNNNNNNNNNNNNNNNNNNNNNNNNNNNNNNNNNNNNNNNNNNNNNNNNNNNNNNNNNNNNNNNNNNNNNNNNNNNNNNNNNNNNNNNNNNNNGCAAAAAUACGUGUGACCACUCUAAAAUACAUGGCAAAUUAGUCCCUAAAAUAUGGGCAUUUCUAAAACGGCAUUCGGACAAUACGGUCUAGCGCGAAAAACAAAUACGGCGUCUAUCCUACAUAGACAGCACGGUAAACAAUGCAUUUGGCACGCUAAACUAAAUCGAACAAAUACGCAAGGUGCACAAACGUAAUCUACAAGUAAAACUACGCGAAAACCAUAUAUUACACGCUUGGUUCCGACUUACGGAUUAAAAGAUACGGAUGUUUUAAAUAUCUAUUAAUUCCUAGAAAUUAUUUAAUCAAUAGAAAUAUACCUAAAUGACAAAAGGGCCGAAUCUGGAGGCGCAAUUUAGUAAAUAGCGCCAAGGGCGCGGGAUGGAUCUCACCUCGGGGGGGGCUCUUGGGCUGGAGGGGCGCAGGUGGAAGGCAGCCGGCCUGGCUGCCGAAGCUGGAGGUGGGCCGCGGGUGAGGCCGAAGCCUGGGCCUGGGGCGAAGGAGUUGGCCACGUGGGCCGAGGGAGCUGGUGCGGCCCAGGCCAGGGCAACCGCGUGGCGACGGGACGGUGGCGCGUGGAGCGUGGUCGGCGGGCGGCCGGCGACAUACGGCUUCCGGGCGGAGGGGGAAGGCGGGGGAGGCCGGAUCCGAGUCGGACGGGGACGCGUCCGGGACUCCCGGUCCGUACGGUUCCCCGGGGGGUUUGACGGGCCGGGUCCGGCGUCGGCGACGGGCCGGCGGAGGANNNNNNNNNNNNNNNNNNNNNNNNNNNNNNNNNNNNNNNNNNNNNNNNNNNNNNNNNNNNNNNNNNNNNNNNNNNNNNNNNNNNNNNNNNNNNNNNNNNNCCAAAGGUCACUUUUCAGCAGCCCAAAGGGCGGGAAGCGGCGGCCUUUGGUCCCGGUUGGUGGCACCAACCGGGACUAAAGGGUGGGCAUUGGUACCGGUUGGUGCCACGAACCGGUACCAAAGGCCCGUGUGCUGCCUGCGUCGCGGCCAAAGUUUAGUCCCACCUCGCUAGUUGAGAGGGGCGCGCACUGGUUUAUAUGCCCCACUGCCACACCCCUCUCGAGCUCCUCUCCGCUGCAGGCUUACGGGCCUACUUGCUAAUGCUUUGCCUGAUGGGCCUUCUUGGCCUACUGCGGGCCUGAAUCCUGGCCCAUGGAUGGGUUUCUAGUCGUAUUCACGCCGUGGCGGCCUAGUUGGUGGCUAAUUUUUUUAUUUUUUUCCCUAGUUUUUUUGUUUUCUUUUUUGUCUUUAUUUAUUUUAUUUCUUUUUUGUCAUUGGUACCGGUUGUCUGCCACAGCCAUGGUGUGGUUGAAUGUUUAGUCUCACCUCGCCAAGCGAAGGACUUCCGAGCCUGUUUAUAAGCUCCGCCGCGGCUGCAACGUGGAGAGAACAUCUAUUUUUUAAUUUUUUUCCAUUAAUUUUAGUUUUGUUUUUUCUUUAUUUUAGUUUUGUUUAUUUUUUUAGUUAGCUUAUUUUGUUUUGUUUCUCCUUACAACAAAAUACUUAUUAUUUUUAUUUUUUUGUUUCUAAUUACUUAUUUAUUUUAUUUCAUGAUAAUUAUUUUUGCCAUUAAAGUUUCUAACAAAAAAAGUUCUUUAUGAAAAUUCUUUUUCCUUUUAAUGAUUUUUAACAGAAAAUACUUUGAUAAUUUUAGUUGCAUUUAUUGAUUAUUUUUCUUUUAUUUUUUCUUUUGUUUAUUUUGUUUUGUUUCUACUUAAAUUCAAAGUGCUAGCUAGCUUAUUUUGUUUUGUUUCUACUUACAACAAAAUACUUAUUUAUUUUAUUUUGUUUUGUUUAUAAUUACUUAUUAAUUUUAUUUUAUGAUAAUUCUUUUUGCUAUUAAAGUUUCUCUCAUAUAUGGUGGACACUCCCUCACCUGAUUUUUCGACCGUCGAUGAUGGUCGCUAUUCCUUCUUCCCCUAAUGCAUAACAAAUAUCUAGUACAAGGAGAAGAAGGAAGAGCGACUCCCAUAACAACAGCCGACAUUCUUCUUCUCUCAUAUGCAUGAGCUAGAGUGGCAAGAGCAUGGCAUGCAUGCUCACACCUCAACACCCAAAAACACAAGAGAGGGGUGGGAGGGGGAGGUUUUAUAUAGGCAAUCCUUUAGUCCUGGUUCGUAUCUAAAACCGGGACUAAUAACAUAUGCGGCAUGCCACGUGUUUGCGCGGCACGCCACGUGGUUUCGCUUGAUCUUUAGUCCCGAUUUUUGUCCCGAACCGGGACUAAUAACAUAUGCGGCACGCCAUGUGUUUGCGCGUCACGCCACGUGGUUUCGCUGGAUCUUUAGACCCGGAAACUCGUGUGUUACAAAGGGAUUUCAUUUUUUUGAACUUAUUUGAACUCCAUAGUUUUUCUGUGUUCAAAAUGCACCAUUCAAAGCCACAUCAUCAAUUUACAACCCUUUCUGAAUUCAUUUGUCAUUUUUCUAUGCAUUUACUGAUUAUUAUGAGCUAUAAGACCAUGAAAUUGAAAAACAUUUGAAAUGAACUCUGAUAAGGUUCCAAGUUGGCAUGGUAUCAUCAUUUCACCCACAUAGCAUGUGCGAGAAAGUUGAGAGGGUUACGGCAAAAACUGGAUGCACUUCGUGUACAAACGGACAAUCUCUUUCGAAGUAUCAGGGUUUCAUACGGAAACUUCGUCUGUUACUAAGGGAUUUYUUAUUUUUAGUAACUUUAUUUAGUAACCUACCUAAGUUUUACGUUUUUCGUUGGUUCGUUAACUAAAAUCGACCAACCNNNNNNNNNNNNNNNNNNNNNNNNNNNNNNNNNNNNNNNNNNNNNNNNNNNNNNNNNNNNNNNNNNNNNNNNNNNNNNNNNNNNNNNNNNNNNNNNNNNNGUAAUAGCAUACAUUGUACAAGUUUUAGUAAGGAAGUUCAAAGUAGAUACGGUCAAACUAAGGAGUUUACUUGGCUGUGUUGUAAAGGUAGUGAAAUUUAGAGUAAGAACUCAAAGCCCCAUCAUGGCAGAAUAAAGUAGAAAGUACGAAGGUGUCCCCUACUGCAGUGACCAUAGGCUCUAUAGUAUGCAAUGUUGUGUACCUAUCCCCUGUGUGCCUUGCCAUGAAUUUGUCAAGGGAUACAAAAGUGAUCCAGGAAUGGAUUACUGGACAACGGUCAAAAGUUAUCCUUAGUAAUUAGUGGACUAAGAUUUUUUUUUUUCGAUUAUGGAGGUGAUAAAAGAAUUCGUCGUAAAGGGUUACGUCGAUGCAAGCUUUGACACUAAUUUGGAUAGCUCUGAAUAGUAAACCGGAUUCGUAUAGUGGAGCAUUCAUUGACUAAAUCAUUGAUCAAAGAUGGUCAAGGUUUCCUGGCGAUAGACAAGUGUUGUCACAUCAUAACGGGAUCACAUCAUUAGGAGAAUGAUGUGAUGGACAAGACCCAAACUAUGAACGUAACAUAUGAUCGUGUCAGUUUAUUGCCACUGUUUUCUGCAUGUCAAUGUAUCUGUUCCUAUGACCAUGAGAUCAUGCAACUCCCGGACACCGAAGGAAUACCUUGUGUGUAUCAAAUGUCACAACGUACCUAGGUGACUAUAAAGGUGCUCUACAGGUAUCUCAGAAGGUGUCUGUUGGGUUGGCGUGAAUCAAGACUAUGAUUCGUCACUCCGUGUGACGGAGAGGUAUCUCAGGGCCCACUCGAUAAUACAACAUCACAACAAUCCUUGCAAGCAAUGUGAAUAAGGAGUUAGUCAUGGGAUCUUUUAUUACGAAACAACUAAAGAGAUUUGCAUGUAACGAGAUUGAACUAGGUAUAGAUAUACCGACUAUCGAAUCUCGGGCAAGUAACAUACCGAAAGACAAAGGGAACACCAUACGGGAGUAAACGAAUCCUUGACAGGGAGGUUCAACCGAUAAAGAUCUCCGUAGAAGAUGUAGGAGCCAAUAUGGGCAUCCAGAUCCCUCUAUUGGUUAUUGAUCAGAGAGUGUCUCACGUCAUGUCUACAUAGUUUCUUGAACCCGCACGGUCUACACACUUAAGGUUCGGUGAUAUUUCGGUAGAGUUGAGUUAUGUAUCUUGGUGACCGAAAGUUGUUCAGCGUCCCAUAUGAGAUCUCGGAUGUCAUGAGGAGCUCCUGAAUGGUCCGGAGGUAAAGAUUGAUAUAUAGAAAAGUUGCAUUUGGCUUCCGGCAAGUUUUCGGGCAAUGGGUUGGUGACUUGUUGGAUGACAUUCAUCAUGCAACAGUUAUAACAUGAAGAGAUAUGUGGCUAGCUCCCGUUCGUCAAUGUGAUGUAGGCAUGCAUUCCGUGUGUAGUCAUAUGUGCUAAGGGAAAGAACUUGCAUGACAUCUAUUGUACAUCACUCCCGUGGCAGCGGGUUCCAAAUGGAUACUACGGGAUAUUAAGGUUCUCCUUUUAAUAAAGAACCGACCAACACAUUAGCACUUGGUGAACACAUGAACUCCUCAAACUAUGGUCAUCACCGGGAGUGGUUCCGGUUAUUGUCACUCCGGGGUUGCCGGAUCAUAACACAUAGUAGGUAACUACAACUUGCAAGAUCGGAUCUAAAACCAACAUAUAUUGGUGACAACAUAAUAAUUUCAGAUCUGAAAUCAUAGCACUUGGGCCCUAGUGACAAGCAUUAAGCAUGGCAAAGUAGUAGCAACAUCAAUCUCAGAAAUAGUGGAUACUAGGGAUCAAUCCCCGUCAAAACUAACUCGAUUACAUGAUAGAUCUCAUCCUACUCAUCACCGCCCAGCGAGCCUACGAAUAGAUUACUCACGAACGAUGAAGAGCUUCAUGGAAUUGGAGAGGGAAGAAAGUUGAUGAUGACGAUGGCAACGAUCUCCUUGAUCCGGAGCCCAAAACGGACUCCAGAUCUGCCAUCCAGGGUAAGAACGGGAUGUGGCGGCGCCUGUGGAUCGAAAACGCGAUGAAAUCUUCUCUCUUGAUUUUUUCCGGGACGAAAGGGAAUAAAUAGCGCUGGAAUUGGGGGCGGCAGAGCCACGUGGGCCCCACAAGCUUAGUAGCCGCGGCUAGGAGGGGAGGCCGCGGCUAUAGGUCUUGUGGCACACUGGCCCGUCCCCUCGAGUGGAUCUUUGCGCAGGUAUUUUUCAUAUUUUCCAUAAAUAUUCUCCGUAAAUUUUCAGGACGUUCCGAGAACUUUCAUUUCUGCACAAAAAUAACACCAUGGCAAUUCUGCUGAAAACAGCGUCAGUCCGGGUUAGUUCCAUUCAAAUCAUGCAAAUUAGAGUCCAAAACAAGGGCAAAAGAGUUUGGAAAAGUAGAUACGAUGGAGACGUAUCACCAGAAAAAACCCACAACUCGAAGAGAAUUACAAAGAUAUGAAAUCAUGCAUAAGAGAGAUCAGAAGAAACUCAAAUAAGAUUCAUAGAUAAUCUGAUCAUAAAUCCACAAUUCAUCGGAUCUCGACAAACACACCGCAAAAGAAGAUUACAUCAGAUAGAUCUCCAUGAAGAUCAUGGAGAACUUUGUAUUGAAGAUCCAAGAGAGAGAAGAAGCCAUCUAAUUACUAGCUAUGGACCCGUAGGUCUAUGGUGAACUACUCACGCAUCAUCGGAGAGGUCAUGGUGUUGAUGAAGAAGCCCUCCGUGUCCAAAUCCCCCCUCCGGCAGGGCACCAGAACGUGCCCCAGAUGGGAUCUUGCGGAGACAGAAGCUUGCGGUGGCGGAAAAGUACUUUCGAUGAUCUCCUGAUUAUUUUGAGAUUUUUAGGGAAUAUAUAGGCGCAACCCCUAGGUCAGGGGACGCUCAGGGGGCCCACAAGCCUGGAUGGCGCGGCCUCCCCCCUCGUCGCGGGGUGAGGGCUUGUGGGGCCCCUAUCCCCUGUGUGCCUUGGCUCGCAAACUCCCCGAUCUUCUUCCGUUCCAGAGAAAAUCUUUCCGGGGAUUUUCUUCCGUUUGGACUCCGUUUCAAAAUCUCCUCUGAAAGGGGUCAAAAACAUGGAAAAAACAGGAACUGACACUUGGCACUGAGUUAAUAAGUUAGUCCCAAAAAAUAAAUAAAAGGCAUGCAAAACAUCCAAAGUUUGACAAGAUAAUAGCAUGAAACCACCAAAAAUUAUAGAUACGUUGGAGACGUAUCAGCGUGUACGAAUUUUUUUGUUUCCCAUGUGACGUUCCCCAACAGCGCGCUGAGCGCACCCACUAGGUAUAGUCCCCGAGGCUGUCAUCGACUGAAGCAGUCGGCGGUAGUCUCAGUUUCCUUGUUUGUUCAAUAAAGGCUCGUAGGGUGUGGACCCCUUUUCUUUCCUCUAUCCCUCCUGUGGGGGGCGCUGAGCGCACCCACUUGGUGUAGUCCCCGAGGCUAUCGUCGACCGAAACAGUCGGUAGUAGUCUUACAGUUGCGAUAUUGUAUUUUGCUUUACUUGUGUUUGUUGAUGGCAGACUGCUUUUGUGCCCGGGGGCCAUGAUGAUGCCAUGGAGAAAGAGUUUCAGGGACUCCGACUCAGCCUUGACGCAGAAAAAGCCAAGAACAAGCGAGUGGAGAAGGAGAAACGGACAACUGAAGGUAAGCUUUUGUUGUCCAAUUGAUUCCCGCUUUGGUUGUCUUUCCUAUCCGAUUGAGUUUGUCUUGUGAGGUCGCCUUUCUGAGAGGCUGAAGAAUUACAUUUCUCUAGUUACCAUGGAGGACGCUCUCGAGAAGAGGGAUGAAGAGCUCGCGCUGGCUUGGAAGGAGGACAAGUUGAAGACCCAGGCGGUCGAAGCCAAGCUUAAAACGGUUGGAAUGCUUGAAGAAGAUAAUCGGCUUCUAAAGGCCGGUGCGAAGAAAACUGAUGCAGAGCUUGCCGAGCUGAAGAGGCAUUAUGCCGAGUGGGAGGCCAAAUUUGAGAAAGUCACCGCCAAGAAAGAUGAGCUGGAGAAGGUCAUUGAGGACUUCAGCGUGGAACACUACGAGAAGCUUAAAGGUAUGUUAAGUGUCGGAAUGCUUUCCUAUUGCCACUUUGCAAUUUCCGAGUGACGUUCUCUCAUCCUUUUGUUUUCUCACUAAAUUCAGCCUUCUCCGCUGAUGUCGAAGAAGAGACGAUGCGAAUAGAGAAAGAGCUUGAUCCCAAGAGAUGGCUUCUGAAGGAUAGCGCUGCAUUGGCUCUCCUCAGGCUGGAGGCUUGCGUCGAUUAUGUAUUGGGAUGUUUCAAAUGGCUCCAGCUGGCCGUUGGGGAUAUAGAACAGGAGAAAACCCUUGAUGAUGUAUCCCUGAAGGACACCUAGACCAUCGUGAACCGUGUGAAGGCCAUCCCCAAUGAACUCAAGUCUUGGAAGAAGUCAUCGUCAAGGGCCGGAGCCGACAUCGCCCUUUCGCUCGUUUGCAUCCAUBNCARUGGGUGAUGAAGAGRRGUUGAAGAGUCUAGGAAAGGUACGGUAAGGUUAGGAAAGGUACGGUUACCGGUUACCCGGGGUUUAGGUUAAAACCCGGGAAAAGUACGGNNNNNNNNNNNNNNNNNNNNNNNNNNNNNNNNNNNNNNNNNNNNNNNNNNNNNNNNNNNNNNNNNNNNNNNNNNNNNNNNNNNNNNNNNNNNNNNNNNNNCAUUCCAGAAACCCUCGUGACGCCCGUGAUCUCAUCCGGGACUCCGAACAACAUUCGGUAACCAACCAUAUAACUCAAAUACGCAUAAAACAACGUCGAACCUUAAGUGUGCAGACCCUGCGGGUUCGAGAACUAUGUAGACAUGACCCGAGAGACUCCUCGGUCAAUAUCAAAUAGUGGGACCUGGAUGCCCAUAUUGGAUCCUACAUAUUCUACGAAGAUCUUAUCGUUUGAACCUCAGUGCCAAGGAUUCAUAUAAUCCUGUAUGUCAUUCCCUUUGUCCUUCGGUAUGUUACUUGCCCGAGAUUCGAGCGUCAGUAUCCGCAUACCUAUUUCAAUCUCGUUUAUCGGCAAGUCUCUUUACUCGUUUCGUAAUACAAGAUCCCGCAACUUACACUAAGUCACAUUGCUUGCAAGGCUUGUGUGUGAUGUUGUAUUACCGAGUGGGCCCCGAGAUACCUCUCCGUCACACGGAGUGACAAAUCCCAGUCUUGAUCCAUACUAACUCAAGUAACACCUUCGGAGAUACCUGUAGAGCAUCUUUAUAGUCACCCAGUUACGUUGCGACGUUUGAUACACACAAAGCAUUCCUCCGGUGUCAGUGAGUUAUAUGAUCUCAUGGUCAUAGGAAUAAAUACUUGACACACAGAAAAUAGUAGCAACAAAAUGACACAAUCAACAUGCUACGUCUAUUAGUUUGGGUCUAGUCCAUCACGUGAUUCUCCUAAUGACGUGAUCCAGUUAUCAAGCAACAACAUCUUGUUCAUAAUCAGAAGACACUGACUAUCUUUGAUGAACUGGCUAGCCAACUAGAGGCUUGCUAGGGACGGUGUUUUGUCUAUGUAUCCACACAUGUAAAUGAGUCUUCAUUCAAUACAAUUAUAGCAUGGAUAAUAAACGAUUAUCUUGAUACAGGAAUUAUAAUAAUAACUAUACUUAUUAUUGCCUAUAGGGCAUAAUUCCAACACUUGGCCCAUCUAGCCUCCCGGGGUCGUGGCCCCCUUCCGGUGGACCCCCGGGGCCACUCCCGGUGGUCCCGCUGGUCCCGGUACGUUACCGGCGACGCCCGAAACACUUCCAGUGUCCAAAACCAUCCGUCCUAUAUAUCAAUCUUUACCUCCGGACCAUUCCGGAGCUCCUCGUGACGUCCGGGAUCUCAUUCGGGACUCCGAACAACUUUUGAUAACCUCUUAUAACAAUUCCCUAUAACCCUAGCGUCAUUGAACCUUAAGUGUGUAGACCCUACGGGUUCAGGAGACACGCAGACAUGACCGAGACACCUCUCCGGCCAAUAACCAUCAAUGAGGUCUGGAUACCCAUGGUGGCUCCCACUUGCUCCAUGAUGAUAUCAUCGGAUGAACCACGAUGUCAAGGAUUCAAUCAAUCCCGUAUACAAUUCCCUUUGUCUGUCAGUAUAGAACUUGCCCGAGAUUCGAUCAUCGGUAUACCUAUACCUUGUUCAAUCUCGUUCGUAAGUCUCUUACUCGUCGUAGCACGUCAUCGUGUAGUACCUAACUCCGUUAGUACUACUAUUGAGUCUAGUAUAGUAUAGUAUUCGUUACCGUAACCGGAGGUUACGGGACCGUAAGGUAACGGUACUUAACCCGUCCGUUACCCGGUUACCNNNNNNNNNNNNNNNNNNNNNNNNNNNNNNNNNNNNNNNNNNNNNNNNNNNNNNNNNNNNNNNNNNNNNNNNNNNNNNNNNNNNNNNNNNNNNNNNNNNNGGUCCCGGUUGGUGGCACCAACCGGGACUAAAGGGGGCAUUGGUACCGGUUGGUGCCACGAACCGGUACCAAUGGCUUUGCUAUAUAAGCUAGCAGUUGUGAAAUUUCGUCAGUUUCUUUGAUUCCUCCGACGACGCCGCCAGGCUGCCCGAGCUCGCCGUCGUCGCCCUGCCCCCGACCACGCCGUCGUUGCCCGGCCCGACCACGCCGUCGUAGCCCUUGCCCCCCGACCAUGCCGCGCGCCCUCGUCGUGCCUCUACCGCGCCCCUACCCGCCCCGUCGACGCCGUCGCCGCCCUUUGCCCCGUCGAUCGCCAUUGCCCCGCCCCGACCACGCCGUUGUCGCCCCUGCCCCGACCACGCCGUCGCCGUCGCCCUCUACACCGACGUCGGCGCCGUGCCUCUCCUUGGCCAGGCCAGCGCCGCCCACCCUGUCCUCUCCUUUGUUCAUAUAAAUGAUGUAUUUUUUUUUGCAUUUUUAUAAAAAUGUAUAUAUGUAUGUAUGUUCUCUAUGCAUAUAAAAGUUAUAUUUUUAGUACAUUUGGGUACAUUUUAGGUUAGUUUUAUCUAUAUAUGUUCUCUGAUUUAGUACAUUUUAGGUUAGUUUCAUUUUUAGAAAAGUUUUAUAUAUUUAGGAAAAGAAGGAAGAGAAGGAAGAAGAAGAAAAAGUUUUAUAUAUGCAAAAGUUACAUUUUUAGAAAAGUAUUAUAUAUAGCUAAGAAGAUAACGAAGAAGAAGAAAAACAAUGAGAGGAGAAAAAGGAAAAUAAGAAGAGGAAGAAAGGAGAAGAAGAGGAGAGGAAGAAGAGGAGAAAUAAAUAAGAAGAGGAAAAAAGAAGAAAAAAUUUCCUUUUUUUUCUUCUUUCUCCUCUAUUCCUUUCUUCUUCUUCCUUUUUUUUCUUUUUUUUCUUCGAUUGCUUCUCUUCUAUUCCUUUCUUCUUCUCCUCUUUUUAUUUCUUCUUUUGUCUUCUUAUAUUUUAUCGGGUAUGUCGUUGUCGAUAUACCCCCUCCCGAUCGAACUUCAACACGAGGGGGGGUACCGAUAUACCUCCUCCCCGAUAACAUUAUUUUCCAUGUAUAUGUAUGUCGCGUCGUUGUCGAUAUAACCCCCUCCCGGAUAACUUCGACAUGAGAGGCGGUCGAUAUAUAUACCCACUCUCGACCGUGACAACUUAUACCACGGGAGCACCCCCCUCGGCCCUCUCGCUCAACCAAAACUCUCGAGGACACCCAAACCCUAGAGAAAAAAUGAUGUUGGUCUCCUACCCCCUCCCGCCGCGCCCCUACCCGACAAACUCUCUCGAGGCCACCCAAAUUUACCAAGUUAAAAGAGUGUUGUCGUCGAGGCCACCCCAAACUCUUGAAGCGUUGUGUCGAGGCCACCCCAAACCCUUGAAGCGUUGUCUAGGCCACCCCAAACCCUAGAGAAGCAGCGUCGAGGCCACUAACAUGAUUCCUUAUUUUGAUUAGCUAGCUAGUUCUACGUUUGCCACUAAUAUAUAUCCAUCUGUACCAUGUUUGAAUAAUAAUUGACAUGUUGUAAAUAUUUGCAGAAACUACGGAUCACUCCCGAGACGAAAAGGAAGAAGCGAUGUUGGGGGAGAUAAUCGCACAAGGAAGUGAUGUCAUUGCGUCGUUUCUUAGAGACACCGAUGGUCUGGAAGAACCGGGUGAAGAAGAGGGCUAUGUUCAUGAUCAUCUGGAAGGACCAGGUGAAGAAGAGGGCGUUCAUGAUGAUCUGGAAGGACCGGGUGAAGAAGAGGGCGUUCAUGACGGCUCCGUUGACCGAACCGAGUCCGGCGAGGUAUAUAUAUAUUAGUUAAGCCCGUGCUGACUAGUUAAUUGAUGCAUUCUAUUUGUUUUCAUAUGUACACUAUUAUUAAUUAACUCUCGUUCUUUCUUUCUUUUUCUCUUACGUCCCUCCGGWMUCCGUACCUCUAACGUUACGGUAAACGAACGACGGACCCGAAANNNNNNNNNNNNNNNNNNNNNNNNNNNNNNNNNNNNNNNNNNNNNNNNNNNNNNNNNNNNNNNNNNNNNNNNNNNNNNNNNNNNNNNNNNNNNNNNNNNNCCUCGUGACGUCCGGGAUCUCAUUCGGGACUCCGAACAACUUUUGAUAACCUCUUAUAACAAUUCCCUAUAACCCUAGCGUCAUUGAACCUUAAGUGUGUAGACCCUACGGGUUCAGGAGACACGCAGACAUGACCGAGACACCUCUCCGGCCAAUAACCAUCAAUGAGGUCUGGAUACCCAUGGUGGCUCCCACUUGCUCCAUGAUGAUAUCAUCGGAUGAACCACGAUGUCAAGGAUUCAAUCAAUCCCGUAUACAAUUCCCUUUGUCUGUCAGUAUAGAACUUGCCCGAGAUUCGAUCAUCGGUAUACCUAUACCUUGUUCAAUCUCGUUACCGGUAAGUCUCUUUACUCGUUCCGUAGCACGUCAUCGUGUGACUAACUCCUUAGUCACAUUGAGCUGAUGAUGAUGUUCUACCGAGUGGGCCAGAGAUACCUCUCCGUCACGCGGAGUGACAAAUCCCGAUCUUGAUUCGUACCAACCCAACAGACACUUUCAGAGGUACCCGUAGUGCACCUUUAUAGUCACCCAGUUACGUUGUGACGUUUGAUACACCGAAAGCACUCCUAUGGUAUCCGGGAGUUGCACAAUCUCACGGUCGAAGGAAAACACACUUGACAUUAGAAAAGCUUUAGCAUACGAACAAUACGAUCUAGUGCUACGCUUAGGAUUGGGUCUUGUCCAUCACAUCAUUCUCCCAAUGAUGUGAUCCCGUUAUCAAUGACAUCUAAUGCCCAUGACCAGGAAACCAUGAUCAUCUAUUGACUAACGAGCUAGCCAACUAGAGGCUUGCUAGGGACACAUUGUGAUCUAUUUAUUCACACAUGUAUUACUGUUUCCAGUUAAUACAAUUAUAGCAUGAACAAUAGACGAUUAUCAUGAACAAGGAAAUAUGAUAAUAACCAUUUUGUUAUUGCCUCUAGGGCAUAUUUCCAACACAUACACCAUCUCCAAAGUCCUGCACAACGGAGCUUAUCGGUUGUACAACCUAGAUGACGAGGUGGAAGAGCCGAGGACCUGGAACGCGGACCUGCUCCGCAAGUUCUACACGUAGAACUUACCCUUUUCAUCCCUCCAAUGAAUACUAAUGAUUAGAAGAAUAAAGGGCUUACUUUCUUCAACUAUUCACAAAUACUUCACUUCGGUGAAACACGCCGCCAGUGGGUGUAUGAGCGAAUCUGCUUUCGCUUAAGAUGAAACCUUCCCCGAGUGCGGACAACCUCCACGCGCGUGAGCUUAGUUGCGAACCAGCUUUCGGCUAAGUUAAAACAGUUCAGAAUGGAGACAUGAUCGUCAUUUAGAUAUCGACAUGGGAAGGACCAUCAACAUGUUCACAAGAACUAUCGUUUAAUCUUUGUAGCGAACCUGUUUCUCCUAAGGUAAACCCUUCCCGAGUGGGGACAAACUCCACACUCGGGGCUUAGCUGCGAACCAGCUUUCGCCUAAGUUAAAGUGGUUCCAAAUGAAGGCAAGAUCUUCAUUCGAACGCCAAGAUGAACACAACAAUCAUUUCUUGGUAGCAAACCUGUUUCGCCUAAGGUAAAUCCUUCCCCGAGUGGGGACAAGCUCCAUGCUCGGGGGCUUAGCUGCGAACUAGCUUUCGCCUAAGUUAAAUCGGUUCCGAAUGAAGACAAGACCUUCAUUCGGACGCCAAGAUGAAUAGAACAAUCGUCCCUUAGCAGAGGAUCCGCUUUCGCUUAGGGUAAAACUUGCCUCGAGUGAGGACAACUUCCACACUUGGGGGCUUAGCUACAAACCAGCUUUCGCCUAAGUCAAAAAUGAUCCUGAGUGAGCAAAACGUCCACACUCGCGGGCUUAGUUGCGAACCAGCUUUCUCCUCAGUCAAAAACAAUCCCGAGUGAGGACAACUUCCACACUCGGGGGCUUAGCUAUGAACCAGCUUUCGCCUAAGUCAAGAACGAUCCCGUUUGAGGACAAGUUCUACACUCGGGGGCUUAGCUAUGAACCACCGUUUCGCCUAAGUCAACCGAGUGAGGACAACUUCCACACUCGGGGGUUUAGCUGCGAACCACCUUUUGCCUAAGUCCAAAACGAUCCCGAGUGAAGACAACUUCCACACUCGGGGCUUAGCUAUGAACCAGCUUUCGCCUAAGUACAAAAUGAUCCGAGUGAGGACAACUUCGACACGUCGGGGCUUAGCUGCGAACCAGCUUCCAAGUCAAAAAUGAAUCCUGAGUGAGGACAACUUNNNNNNNNNNNNNNNNNNNNNNNNNNNNNNNNNNNNNNNNNNNNNNNNNNNNNNNNNNNNNNNNNNNNNNNNNNNNNNNNNNNNNNNNNNNNNNNNNNNNACGUUUCGUACGUCCACGAGGCGACCGCCACCUACUCCGUUCCUUCCUACUCUGAGGGCGAGAUCUAGAGCCGUUUUCGGGUAGUCCGGAGUCAAGGAGAUCGUCGCCAUUGUCAUCAUCAACCUUCUUAUCUCUCCAAUUCCAUGAAGCUCUUCAUCGUUCGUGAGUAAUCUAUUCGUAGGCUCGCUGGGCGGUGAUGAGUAGGAUGAGAUCUAUCAUGUAAUCGAGUUAGUUUUGACGGGGAUUGAUCCCUAGUAUCCACUAUGUUCUGAGAUUGAUGUUGCUACUACUUUGCCAUGCUUAAUGCUUGUCACUAGGGCCCGAGUGCCAUGAUUUCAGAUCUGAAAUUAUUAUGUUGUCACCAAUAUAUGUGUGCUUCAGAUCCGAUCUUGCAAGUUGUAGUUACCCACUAUGUGUUAUGAUCCGGCAACCUCGGAGUGACAAUAACCGGAACCACUUCCAUUGAUGACCAUAGUUAGAGGAGUUCAUGUGUUCACCAAGUGCUAAUGCGUUGGUCUGGUUCUUUAUUAAAAGGUGAACCUUAAUAUCCCGUAGUAUCCUUUUGGACCCCGCUGCCACGGGAGGGAUGGACAAUAGAUGUCAUGCAAGUUCUUUUCCCUAAGCACGUAUGACUACACACGGAAUGCAUGCCUACAUCACAUUGACGAACGGGAGCUAGCCACAUAUCUCUCUCUGUUAUAAAUGUUUCAUGAUGAAUGUCAUCCGACGAAUCACCGACCCAUUGCCUACGAGUUUGUCCCACUGCUGCCGUUACUUGUUUUGCUCUGCUGCUAUUACUACUACUGCUGCUAGUGUUACUUGCUGCUACUGUUACUCGCUUUGUCCUGCUGCUGCUAUUACUUGUUUUGCUCUGCUGUUGUUACUACUGUUGCUGCUACUGUUACUUGCUACUGCUGUUACUCGCUACUGUUGCUACUUGCUACUGCUGUCACUACUGCUGUUCCUUGCCACUGCUGUUACUCGUUACACUGCUGCUACCUGCUAUAAUACUUUUUCUGGCACCGUUGUCGGGAAAGAAUAUUUCCCGUCCACGGGAAACUUACUGGCGCCAUUGAUACGACAUUUAGGAAUAGUCUACCUUGUCAAGAGAUCGUUUCUAGCGUUGUUAUCAUACUACUUUGCUGCUUAUAUCCUGCUUGCAGACACUAAUCUUUCAGGUGUGGUUGAAUCUGACACAUUCAUCUGCUAACACUUGAGAAUAUUCUUUCAAUUCCCGUCGCGCGAACCAACAAAUUUGGGUUGAAUACUCUACCCUCGAAAACUGCCGCGAUCCCACGUGUUGGUGGGCUAUUGCAAGACAAUUUCUAAUUGUUGAGCAACUGGAAGCAACUCUUUUCUGGCUCUGUUGCCGUGGAGGCAUCAAGUCAGGAAUAGUUGCACGUCAACAACAUUUUUUUGGCGCCGUUGCCGGGGAAGGAUGGCUAUAUUCUCUGAGUCACUUGGGAUUUAUAUCUGCUGAUCACUAUGAAGAAUCUGAAAGAUACCAAAAACCAAAGUCUUGCCCUCAACUACGAGGGGAGGUAAGGAACUGCCAUCUAGCUCUGCACUUGAUUCACCUUCAGUUAUGAGUAAGUUUGCGACACCACCUCCUGCUAGAAAUCUUGAUAUUUCGCCUGUGCUUGAUGAUGCUUAUGAUGCUACUAUGCCUGAUACUGCUAGAGAUGCUAUGCCUGAUACUACUAGAGAUGCUAUGCUUGAUACUGCUUUGCCUGAUGAUGCUAUAGAUGCUAUUUUGCCUGAUGAUGCUAUGCUUGAUACUGCUAGAGAUACUGCUUCGCCUGAUAUGCCACUAGGGGUAUUCCUUGAUGCUCAUAUUUCUAGAGUUAGUGCCAAUGCUCGUGAUGCUUCUGAAACUGCCGAUACUAUUGAGAUAGAACCUGCUUUUGCUCCUACUAGAUCUAGCUCUCCUAGAUAUGAAUUGCCUGAUAUGCCUGAGGGUUAUGUUAUGGAGGGAGAGAUAGUUGAGGAUUUUCUUGUGUGUAAGGAUGCCUAUGACACUGAGAAAUUACUUCUCAAGUGGAAGGAAAAAUCUCUGAAAGCUAGGAUGAAAUACAAACCGAAGUUUGCCACUUCACCUAUCUUUAUCACCGAUGAGGAUUAUGAAUUCUCUGUCGACCCUGAGAUAAUGUCUCUAGUCGAAUCUGAUCCUUUCCACGGUUAUGAGUCUGAGACAGUCGUAGCCCAUCUUACCAAACUACACGAUAUAGCCACCCUUUUCACUAGUGAGGAGAAGAUCCGCUACUACUAUAUCCUUAAGUUGUUUCCUUUCUCUCUAAAGGAUGACGCUAAAGCCUGGUUCACUUCUCUUACUCCUGGAUGUGUGAGUAGUCCCCGUAUAUGGUCUAUUACUUCUGUGAGAAAUAUUUCCCUGCCCAUAAGAAGCAAGCUGCCUUGCAGGAAAUAUACAACUUUGCUCAACUCAAAGAAGAGAGUCUCCCACAAGCUUGGGGGAGGCUCAUCCAGCUACAGAAUGCUUUGCCUGAUCACCCUCUUAAGAAGGACGAGAUACUUGAUAUCUUCUAUAACGGACUUACCGAUGCUUCUAGAGACCACCUAGAUAGUUGUGCCGGUUGUGUUUUUAGGGAACGAACCGUAGAACAAGCUGAGAUCCUACUGAAUAACAUCUUGAUCAACGAUAAUGCUUGGACUAUUCCCGAACCACCUCCUAAGCCAACUCCUAAGAAAAGAGGUAUUCUAUUCCUUAGUCCCGAAGAUAUGCAAGAAGCCAAGAAAUCUAUGCAAGAGAAAGGCAUUAGAUAUGAAGAAGUGAAAAAUCUAGCGCCUAUCGAAGAGAUCCAUGGUCUCGAUAACCCGAUACAAGUAGUAGAGGUGAAUUCUCUGCGUAGAUUCAAUGAGAGUGAUAUUCCUUUUGACAAACCUGCUAGCCUAUGCUUGAUGAAUUUGACAACUUUGUUGCCAAACAAGAGAGUUUCAAUGAUUAUGUUAGCAGACAAUUGGAACAAAGUACUCGUAUGCUUAGUCAUUUAAGUGCUUGUGUAGACAGAAAUGUCAAUGAUCUGAAGCUUCUGAGUAAACAUGCCUCUAUGAUUACUACUCAGGUAGAAAAAGUACUUAAAGCUUAGAAUGACUUGCUCAAUGAAUUAAAUGACAACUCUCUCAGAGUCAUUACCAGAGGAGGCAAAAUGACUCAGGAACCUUUGUAUCCUGAAGGCCAUCCUAAGAGAAUUGAUCAAGAUUCUCAAGGAAUUAAUGCUGAUACACCCAGUCAUCCUAAGAAUAAGAAGAAGGAUGAUAGAAACCUACAUGUCAGUUCACCAAAUACUGUUACACCUGAAGAACCAAAUAAUAUUUCUGCGUCUGAUGCAGAAACACAAUCUGGUGAUGAACAUGAACCUGGUGAUAAUAUGGACAACGAUGUUCAUAAUAAUGCUCAACCAAGCAAUGAUGAGGAUGUGGAGAUUGAACCUACGGUUAAUCCUGAUAACCCACAACCUAAGAGAUACGAUAAGAAUGACUUCACUACUAGGAAGCAUGGUAAAGAAAGGGAGCCAUGGGUUCAGAGACCUAUGCCCUUUCCUCCUAAGCCAUCCAAGAAAAAGGAUGAUGAGGAUUUUGAGCGCUUUAUUGAAAUGAUAAGACCCGUCUUUCUGCAGAUGCGGUUAAUUGAUAUGCUCAAAAUGUCUCCAUAUGCCAAGUACAUGAAAGAUAUUGUGACUAAUAAACGAAAGAUACCAGAUCUUGAGAUCUCCACCAUGCUCGCCAAUUACACUUUCAAAGGUGGAACUCCUAAGAAACUUGGUGAUCCCGGAGUGCCCACUAUACCUUGCUCCAUUAAAGGAAACUACGUAAGAACUGCCUUAUGUGACCUGGGAACCGGUGUUAGUGUUAUGCCUCUGAACUGGAUAAGUUGACACUCACUGAAAUUUCUCUGCAAAUGGCCGGCAAAUCAACUGUUUUCCCUGUCGGCAUUUGCGAGGAUGUGCCUGUUGUGGUUGCUAACACCACUAUCUUAACAGACUUUGUUAUCUUGGAUAUUCCCGAGGACGAUGCCAUGGUUGUCAUCCUCGGAAGACCCUUUUUAAACACUGCAGGGGCUGUUAUAGAUUGCAACAAAGGCAAUGUCACUUUCCAUGUCAAUGGUAAUGAGCAUACAGUACACUUUCCGAAGAAACUAUAUCAAGUACAUAGCAUCAUUGCUAUCGAAAAACUUCAUCGAUUCUUAUUGGGAGCUUUGAAUGCCCUAUUCCUCGUGUUAAGAUGAAGUAUGAUUUGCUUGUUGGGGAGAUUCAUAUCCCCAUUGAGGUGACUUAGUGGCUAUUCGACAAUUCUCCGUUUCCUUUUGCAAUUCGGAAAAGUUUUGUCAUGAGGAUUUGAUCAACCCCAUUGACAGAUUUCUUUCGAUGACCAUGAAAUGGAUGAAUCAAAGAGUCACGUACCUCUGUUUUAAGCUUUCACUUUCUGUUGCUUAGAAGAAAAAUGAUAGGUUUAGUUUAGUUUUCCCUGUUUCCUGUUUUAGCAUCCCGGAGAAAAGUACCCCGAAAAUAAAAGUUCUUCGAUGGUCCUGAAAAUCUGGUAUGAUAUUUUUUGAAAUAUUCGAAAAAUACUGGGACUGAGAGCUUGCCUGGGGGCCACACCAGUGGGCCACAAGACCUGACCCCGCGGCCUUCCCCCUGGCCGAGGGGACCAAGCUUGUGGGGCUCAUAUGGACCCCCUCCACUCAUUCCAACUCGCAUCCUCUUCUUCUACCUCCAGAAAAAAUUGUUUCGCAGCUCAAACCCGUGUUCUUGCUCAUUUGGCUGUGAUUUUCGAUCUCCUUGCUCAAAGCACCAUUCUCCGAACCGUUUUGGGGAAAUUACUCCUUGGUAAGUGACUCCUCCAUUGGUCAAAUUAGUUUCUACUCUAGUGCUUAAUCCUUCGCGUAUUCUUGCUACCUUGGUGACCCUGUUCUUGAGCUUGAAAUAUUGAUUUUAGCUAGUCCCAAGUAGUUUUAGCGCGUGAUACGGUCUCUAGGCACUAGUAUGAGUAGUUGCUACGAGUUGGGUUAAUCCUUAUUCACCUUUCUUUCGAAGUCUCUAAAAAUUUCAGAAUUUUUCACAGUUAGAAAAAGGAAAAGAUAAGGAGGUUCUUGAGAGGCUCUUCAAGCCGUAACCCCAAGGAGGAUGAGAAGAACCACCCCAAGUACGUGGUUCCUCGAGUCACAGAAGUUCGAGCGUGCGAGUGGCCCAGUGAUGAAUUUUUCCACGCCGCUGGGCUUUAUGAAGACUUUUAUUACCUGGUGGAGAACACAGGUCUUACCGCGUUCGUUGAAGAGAAGUGUCCACAAUACCUCCUCCUCACCAAUAUUUUCGUUCAAAGCUUCAACAUUUAUCCGAGGAAGAAUCCUCCUAUGGUUGAGUUCAUGUUAUACGAUAUCCCCCAGUGCAUGACACUAUAGGAUUUUUGCAAUGUAUGCAAAUUACCUUAUGUUGGGGAUAUUCAUGAUCCUCGUCCAAGGGACUUGGAGGAUUUCAUAGGUACUAUUGCUGUUGGAGAGGAGAGAGGAGUGUUUCACGCUAGAAUUGCUAGCAUACAUUUUCCUGUGCUUCGGUACUUCUCAUUAUUUGUGGGAAAAUGUUUGAUUGGCCGUGGGGAGGCUGGAUCACUUAGCUCUCCAGACCUUGCGGUUUUGCGUGAAGGCCUUUAUAACAAUAAGACUUAUAGCCUAGGUGCUAUAGUAGCUCAACGGUUGAACACAAACCGUUCCAAAGGUGUCGUCUAUGGAGGUAUCUAUGCUACUCGUCUUGUAGACACUUUGAGAUACCUAUUAGACUUCGCGAGGAAGAAUAAAUGCUUCUUCCUGAGAAAUAUCUGGAUUAUGACAACUUGGUUCGCCAUGAUUUUCUGGAUAGAGAUGCUAGUAGACGGAUGAUUUAUAACCUGGUAUUUAGUCAGGGUACUCGAGAGACUAUUACUUUGCCUGCUCCUUCUUUGUUCGAUCUUCAUGCAGGCAGGUACACUAUUAUGCCCUCGGACAUCUACGCAUAUUGGGGCUUGUCCCAACCACAGGUGCCUGUGCUCGAGCCGCCAGUCGAGUACCAGAUGCCAGUUUAUCAGUGGGAGCCACAGGAGCUCACACAGCACUGGCAUCCACAGUCCGCCCCGGAGUAUCCCGGAGCUGGUUAUUUCCCUCCUUGGGAGUAGACCAAGCUAGGCCAAAAGCCUAAGCUUGGGGGAGUACGUGUUUGCACCAGCUUUACAUUCAUGCUUUCACUUUGUUAGUCGGUGUUUACACUUUGCCACUGUAUUAUCCAUGCUAGUUUAUUUUUGUUUUCUUGUUUUCUUGUUUUGUGUCCUUUUGAGAAAACCCAAAAAUAUUUUCCUUUCUUCUUUUGCUUGUUGGGAGCUUUCCCGUGUAAAUAGUUUUCUUUUUCUUUGGGUCAAGGUAGAAGAUAUCGGUUACAAUGUUUAGUGGCUCUUGUAUGCAUACCUGUUUAGCUUUCAAAGAACCAUAUUACUUUGUCUUCUCCUUUGUGUUUGCCUGUAGAUUCCAACUUUAGUCCAAUGCACGAGCACUCUUAUUAUUGUUCACAUCGUUCGAUCGUGCAAGUGAAAGGCAAUAAUGUUGAUAUAUGAUGAAGUGACUGAGAUUGGAAAAGUUGGUAUGAACUCUAUCUAUUUUGUUUUUGUAAAUAUGACUAGCUUGUCGUCCCAGAUUCAGCUUUUUUGAGAGAGAACCAUGUUUGCAAUAACAACUUAGAGAUCAUAGUUUCUGAUGCCAUGCUUAUUUAGCUAGGAGCUUAUAAUGGUUUGUCUUGAAUGCCAACAUAGAUUUUGAGAUGACUAUGAUGUAGUAUGAUAGGAUGGUAUUCUCCUUUGAAUGAUUCAAGUGGCUUGACUUGGCGCAUGUUCAUGCAUGUAGUUGAAACAAAAGCAACAUAGCCUCUAUGAUGUUCGUGUUCAUGGUGAUUUAUAUCCUGCUCAUGCUUGCACUCCAUGUUAGUCAAACUCAUUGCAUCUUGAUGACUGUUGUCGCUCUCUAGUUGGUCGCUUCCCAGUCUUUUGCUAGCCUUCACUUGUACUAAGCGGAAUACUGCUUGUGCAUCCACUUCCAUAAACCCAAAAGUUUUUCCAUGAGAGUCCACCAUACCUACCUAUUUGCGGUAUCUACCUGCCGUUCCAAGUAAAUUUGCAUGUGCCAUUCUCUAAACCUUCAAGAAAUAAUCUGUUUUGCAUGCCCGAACCGCUCAUGUGGUGACAGGGGGCUAUUGGUAUCUUCCAUGUUAGGCGUGUUAUCCUCAACAUGUGUUUAUUCACUGUCAUUCAUGAGAAAGGGGCCGGUAAUUGGAAUGCCCAGUUCCACGCUUAAAUCAAAAACAUAAUUGUAAAACAAGACUCCCCCGGAUUGAUGUUAGUAUGGACGGUACCCGAGGAUUCGGCUAGCCGUGGAGUGUGAUUGAUUGGUGGUGGGGGAGUUAAAACUUUACUUUUCUGUUUGGGAACCGCCUACAACAUGAAUAGCAUGGAAGAUAUUGAGAACUCUUGGUCAUUGCAUUGACAAUGAAAGCAUGCCACCCAAAAUUAUUAACUCUGUUUUCAAAGCUUGAGCUCUAGCACCUCUGCAAAUAAAUGCUUCCCUCUGCGAAGGGCAUGUCUAUUUAUUUUCCUGUUGAGUCAUCCUCUUCUUAUAUAAGCACCAAUUAGAGAGCACCUCUGUCAUUUUUAUGCUUUGCUUUUGAUUCAUAUUGAGUAUGACUAUGACUGGAUCUUCGUUGCUAUGAAUUACAAUGUUUGGUCAGCCCUUGAUCUUUGAAAGUGCUCUGCAUUUAUGUUUUGCGGUCUCAGAAAGAUCUAGCGAGAUACCACCUAUUCAUAUUGCUUCAUGCUUGUUUUGAUUGAAUUGUUGGUAUCUGAAACUCAUUAUUAUUUGCUCGCUAGCUGAUUAUGUCAUUGAUAUUAGUUUCCCGUGAGACCUUUGUGUCACUUGCUUAUGUGGUUAACUUGUGAUCUUGCUGAAAUUCUGGUUAUGAGUUAGACAUAGUUGCAACAACAAGAUGAAACGGAGUUUGUCAAAGUUUUUCUUUCUCUUUCAGUUUGUCAACUGAGUUGCUUGAGGACAAGCAAGGUUUUAAGCUUGGGGGAGUUUGAUACGUCUCCAUCGUAUCUACUUUUCCAAACUCUUUUGCCCUUGUUUUGGACUCUAAUUUGCAUUAUUUGAAUGGAACUAACCCGCACUAACACUGUUUUCAACAGAAUUGGCAUGGUGUUGUUUUUGUGCAGAAAUAAAAGUUCUCGGAACGUCCUGAAAAUUUACGUAGAAUAUUUCUGGAAAAUAUGAAAAAUACGUGCGCAAAGAUCCACCGGAGGGGACGGGCUAGUGGGCCACAAGCCCUGACGCCGCGGCCUCCCCUCCUGACCGUGACAAUCAAGCUUGUGGGGCCCACGUGGCUCUGCCGCCCCCAAGUCUAGCGCUAUUUAUUCCCUUUCGUCCCGAAAAAAUCAAGAGAGAAGAUUUCAUCGCGUUUUCGAUCCAGAGGCGCCACCACAUCCCGUUCUUCAUCUGGAGGGCAGAUCUGGAGUCCAUUUUGGGCUCCGGAUCAUGGAGAUCGUCGCCAUCGUCAUCAUCAACCUUCUUCCCUCUCCAAUUCCAUGAAGCUCUUCAUCGUUCGUGAGUAAUCUAUUCGUAGGCUCGCUGGGUGGUGAUGAGUAGGAUGAGAUCUAUCAUGUAAUCGAGUUAGUUUUGACGGGGAUUGAUCCCUAGUAUCCACUAUGUUCUGAGUUUGAUGUUGCUACUACUUUGCCAUGCUUAAUGCUUGUCAUUAGGGCCCGAGUGCCAUGAUUUCAUAUAUGAAAUUAUUAUGUUGUCACCAAUAUAUGUGUGUUUUAGAUCUGAUCUUGCAAGUUAUAGUUACCCACUAUGUGUUAUGAUCCGGCAACCCCGGAGUGACAAUAACCGGAACCACUCCCGGUGAUGACCAUAGUUUGAGGGGUUCAUGUGUUCACCAAGUGCUAAUGCAUUGGUCCGGUUCUUUAUUAAAAAGGAGAACCUUAAUAUCCCGUAGUAUCCUUUUGGACCCCGCUACCAUGGGAGGGAUGGACAAUAGAUGUCAUGCAAGUUCUUUUCCCUAAGCACGUAUGACUACACACGGAAUGCAUGCCUACAUCACAUUGACGAACGGGAGCUAGCCACAUAUCUCUCCGUGUUAUAACUGUUGCAUGAUGAAUGUCAUCCGACAAAUCGCCGACCCAUUGCCUACGAGUUUGUCCCACUACUGCUGCUGUUACUUGUUUUUCUCUGCUGCUGUUACUACUGUUGCUGCUACUGUUACUCGCUUUGUCCUGAUGCUGUUGUUACUUGUUUUGCUCUGCUGCUGUUACUACUGUUACUGCUAUUGUUACUUGCUGCUGCUGUUACUCGCUACUGCUGCUACUUGCUACUGCUGUCACUACUGCUGUUCCUUGCCACUUCUGUUACUCGUUACACUGCUGCUACCCGCUACAAUACUUUUUCUGGCACCGUUGCCGGGAAAGAAUAUUUCCCGUCCACGGGCAACUUACUGGCGCCAUUUAGGAMCUAGUGUGCCUUGUCAAAAGAUCGUUUCUGGCACCGUUGUUAUCAUACUACUUUGCUGCUUAUAUCCUGCUUGCAGACAGUAAUCUUUCAGGUGUGGUUGAAUCUGACACAUUCAGCUGCUAAUACUUGAGAAUAUUCUUUCACUUCCCGUCGCGCGAACCAACAAAUUUGGGUUGAAUACUCUACCCUCGAAAACUGUUGCAAGACAAUUUCUAAUUGUUGAGCAACUCGAAGCAGCUCUUUUCUGGCUCCGUUGCCAUGGAGGCAUCAAGUCAGGAAUAGUUGCACGUCAACACGCCCUGCGACUCAUUGGUUGAAGUGACGGUUCAAUAACCUCAUCAAGUUUCCACCAUCCUCCCACUCAAUUCUUUUGAGAGAAACUUUUCUCGAGAAAGGACCCGUUUCUAGAAACAAACACUUUGCUUCCGAAUUUGAGAUAGGAGGUAUACCCAACUGUUUUGGGUGUCCUAUGAAGAUGCAUUUAUCUGCUUUGGAUUCAAGCUUAUCAGGCUGAAACUUUUUCACAUAAGCGUCGCAGCCCCAAACUUUUAAGAAACGAGAGCUUAGGUUUCUCCAAACCAUAGUUCAUACGGUGUCAUCACAACGGAAUUGCGUGAUGCCCUAUUUAAAGUGAAUGACUUUUUUACUACUUAAACUUAACCCUAAACCCUAAAAAAACGAUUAACGUAGGUUAAACUAACCAAAAAUAGUAACAAUACAAUAGUAAUGCGCCAAUAUACCAAUAGGGCAACGANNNNNNNNNNNNNNNNNNNNNNNNNNNNNNNNNNNNNNNNNNNNNNNNNNNNNNNNNNNNNNNNNNNNNNNNNNNNNNNNNNNNNNNNNNNNNNNNNNNNACAGAAAAACUAUGGAGUUCAAAUAAGUUCAAAAAAUGAAAUCCCUUUGUAACAAACGAGUUUCCGUAUGAAACUCUGAUACUUCGAAAGAGAUUGUCCGUUUUCUACACGAAGUGCAUCCAGUUUUUGCCGUAACCCUCUCAACUUUCUCGCACAUGCUAUGUGGGUGAAAUGAUGAUACCAUGCCAACUUGGAACCUUUUCAGAGUUCAUUUCAAAUGCUUUUCAAUUUCAUGGUCUUAUAGCUCAAAAUAAUCAGUAAAUGCAUGAAAAAGAACAAAUGAAGUUAGAAAGGGUUAUAAAUUGAUGAUGUGGCUUUGAAUGGUGCAUUUUGAACACAAAAAAACUAUGGAGUUCAAAUAAGUUCAAAAAAAUAGAAAUCCCUUUGUAACAGACGAGUUUCCGUAUGAAACCCUGAUACUUCGAAAGAGAUUGUCCGUUUGUACACGAAGUGCAUCCAGUUUUUGYCGUAACCCUCUCAACUUUGUCGCACAUACUAUGUGGGUGGAAUAGAUGAUACCACUGCCAACCUACGGUACCGUUUACCUAGNNNNNNNNNNNNNNNNNNNNNNNNNNNNNNNNNNNNNNNNNNNNNNNNNNNNNNNNNNNNNNNNNNNNNNNNNNNNNNNNNNNNNNNNNNNNNNNNNNNNAGAUCGUGGGACUGAUCGCGGGAUUGUUCGCGGGGCGGAUCGAGGGACGUGAGGACGUUCCACUACAUCAACCGCGUUCUCUAACGCUUCUGCUGUGCGAUCUACAAGGGUACGUAGAUCACUCAUCCCCUCUCGUAGAUGGACAUCACCAUGAUAGGUCUUCGUGCGCGUAGGAAAUUUUUGUUCCCAUGCGUCGUUCCCCAACACAAAUAAGUUACAAAAAAUGAAAUCCCUUUGCAACAGACGAGUUUCCGUAUGAAACCCUGAUACUUCGAAAGAGAUUUGUCCGUUUUGUACACAAAGUGCAUCCAGUUUUUGUCGUAACCCUCUCAACUUUCUCGCACAUGCUAUGUGGGUGAAAUGAUGAUACCAUGCCAACUUGGAACCUUUUCAGAGUUUAUUCGAAAUGCUUUUCAAUUUCAUGGUCUUAUAGCUCAAAAUAAUCACUAAAUGCAUGAAAAAUAACAAAUGAAGUCAGAAAGGGUUGUAAAUUGAUGAUGUGGCUUUGAAUGGUGCAUUUUGAGCACAGAAAAACUAUGGAGUUCAAAUAAGUUCAAACCAAAUGAAAUCCCUUUGUAACAGACGAGUUUCUGUAUGAAACCGUGAUACUUCGAAAGAGAUUGUCCGUUUUGUACACGAAGUGCAUCCAGUUUUUGUCGUAACCCUCUCAACUUUGUCGCACAUACUAUGUGGGUGGAAAUGAUGAUACCAUGCCAACUCGGAACCUUUUCAGAGUUCAUUUCAAAUGCUUUUCAAUUUCAUGGUCUUAUAGCUCAAAAUAAUCAGUAAAUGCAUGAAAAAGAACAAAUGAAGUUAGAARGGUUAUAAAUUGAUGAUGUGGCUUUGAAUGGUGCAUUUUGAACACAAAAACUAAUGGAGUUCAAUAAGUUCAAAAAUAGAAUACCCUUUGUAACACGACCGAGUUCCGUACGUAGAAACCUGUACUACGUACCGAAACGAGGUACGUUCGGUACCGGUUUCGGACCAACCGAAACGUCGACGUAACGUUNNNNNNNNNNNNNNNNNNNNNNNNNNNNNNNNNNNNNNNNNNNNNNNNNNNNNNNNNNNNNNNNNNNNNNNNNNNNNNNNNNNNNNNNNNNNNNNNNNNNCCAACCUUUUACCUUUUCGGUAAAGUUAACAAAGUUUACUUACCACUAAAGACCUUGUAUUAAACCCUAAAACGAACUUUGUAUCAUCUUAUUCAAAGACAUAUAUUCCAACUCCAAGAUGCUUGCUCCAGUCCAUAGAAGGAUCGUUGGAGCUUGCAUACUUGUUAGCAUCCUUAGGAUCAACAAAACCUUCUGGUUGUAUCACAUACAACCUUUCCUCAAGGAAACCAUCGAGGAAACAAUGUUUUGACAUCCUAUCUACAAGAUUUAAUAAAUAAUGCAACAACUGCUGACAUAAUUCCAACAGACUUUUAGCAUCGCUACGAGUGAGAAAGUCUCACCAUAGUCAACACUUUGAACUUGUCGGAAACAUCUUUGCGACAAGUCGAGCUUUCUUAAUGGUGACAUUUACCAUCAUUGUCUGUCUUCCUUUUAAAGAUCCAUCUGUACCUAGCAGCCUUAUGACCAUCAAGUAGUUUUUCCAAAGUCUACACUUUGUUUUCAUACAUGGAUCCUACCUCGGAUUUCAUGGCGUCCAGCGAUUCGUCGGAAUCCAGGCCCACCAUCGCUUCUCCAUAGCUCGUAGGUUCAUUGUUGCUUAGCAACAUGACCUCCAAGAUAGGAUUACCAUACCACUCUGGAGCAGUACAUUUCCUUGUUCGACCUACGAGGUUUGGUAGUAACUUGAUCCGAAGCUUCACGAUUACCAUCAUCAGCUUUCCACUUCAACUAGUGUAGGCGCCACAUGAACAUCUUCCUGCGCCCUGAUACAUCUCCAUCGUAUCUACUUUUCCAAACUCUUUUGCCCUUGUUUUGGACUCUAAUUUGCAUGAUUUGAAUGGAACUAACCCGGAGUAACGUUGUUUUCAGCAAAAUUGCCAUGGUGUUGUUUUUGUGCAGAAAUGAAAGUUCUCGGAACGUCCUGAAAAUUUACAGAGAAUAUUUCUGGAAAAUAUGAAAAAUACCUGCGCAAAGAUCCACCGGAGGGGACGGGCCAGUGGGCCACAAGCCUUGAUGCCGCGACCUCCUCCCUAGCCGCGGCAAUCAGGCUUUUGGGGCCCACGUGGCUCUGCCGCCCCCAACUCCAGCGCUAUUUAUUCCCUUUCGUCCCGGAAAAAAUCAAGAGAGAAGAUUUCAUCACGUUUUCGAUCCAGAGGCACCGCCACAUCCCGUUCUUCAUCUGGAGGGCAGAUCUAGAGUCCGUUUUGGGAUCCGGAUCAAGGAGAUCGUCGCCAUUGUCAUCAUCAACCUUCUUAUCUCUCCAAUUCCAUGAAGCUCUUCAUCGUUCGUGAGUAAUCUAUUCGUAGGCUCGCUGGGCGGUGAUGAGUAGGAUGAGAUCUAUCAUGUAAUCGAGUUAGUUUUGACGGGGAUUGAUCCCUAGUAUCCACUAUGUUCUGAGAUUGAUGUUGCUACUACUUUGCCAUGCUUAAUGCUUGUCACGUACGGGCCCGAGUCGCCAUGUAUUUCAGUAUCUAGUAAAAUUUAUUAUUGUUCGUACCAACCUAAAUUANNNNNNNNNNNNNNNNNNNNNNNNNNNNNNNNNNNNNNNNNNNNNNNNNNNNNNNNNNNNNNNNNNNNNNNNNNNNNNNNNNNNNNNNNNNNNNNNNNNNAUGAUCAUCUGAGGACCAGUGACGMASWGUGYGUUCAUGAUGAUCUGGAAGGACCGGGUGAAGAAGAGGGCGUUCAUGACGGCUCCGUUGACCGAACCGAGUCCGGCGAGGUAUAUAUAUAUUAGUUAAGCCCGUGCUGACUAGUUAAUUGAUGCAUUCAUUGUUUUCAUAUGUACACAUAUUAAUUAACUCUCGUCUUUCUUCUUUUUUCUCUAGCCCUCCGGAUCGACCUCAACUUCGGUAAAGAAACGAGGCCCGAAGAAAAAGUUGCGCUCGGAUGAAAGGUUUGAGAUCACAGCAAUCGCGCGCGAUGGCAAGCCGAUUGAACCCAUCCGGACAAGGGAUGCAUUUCGUGCUCAGUGCGGGGUUCUUGUUAGGGACAAGAUCCCGAUCAGUAUCCAGCAAUGGUUAAAGCCAAAGAAGGAAGACCCUGAGGUGCCGACGUCUUAUGUCUCCGAUAAACAGAAAGAAGAUCUUUGGACAACGCUUAAGGAAAAUUUCACCCUACCGCCAGAGGAGGAUCCAGAGAAGCGAGUUAAAGAGGAAUUGAUCAAGUCUCAUGCUCUUAAGAAGAUGGCAGAACUAUUAAGGAGGUGGAAGAAUGAGCUGAAAACGUUUGUCGACAAAGAAGAGACACCAGAAUUCACUGGCCGGUUUGAGAAGAUCAGAGAUCAAUGGCCCGCAUUUGUGGCCCACAAGACAGCGGAAAAGAGUAAGAAGAUGUGAGCGACAAACAAGAAAAAUGUUGCGAAGAAGAAGCAUCACCAUCGCACGGGGUCAGGUGGUUACCUCAAAGCCCGACCUUUGUGGGACAAGGCUGAGAAUGACUUGAUUGCUAAAUGGGUCGAACCAGAGACAUUGAGAUGGCUACACCGUUGUCGAACUUGGUUCUUCGGGGUUGGCGGAACCUUGGACCUUGUAUCAGGGGAGUGCGUUUGGACAGAAGAGCAACUGCAAAUACCCGUCAGGAAGCUUCAGCACUAUAUCGCCGCAACACAGGAAGGGGCUUCAUUCCAUACAGAGAGAAUGAUGAGCUCACAAUGGCCCUCGGCAAUCCUGAGCACCCUGGACGGACACAAGGCACACAGGGGAUASGNNNNNNNNNNNNNNNNNNNNNNNNNNNNNNNNNNNNNNNNNNNNNNNNNNNNNNNNNNNNNNNNNNNNNNNNNNNNNNNNNNNNNNNNNNNNNNNNNNNNCUCCGCUGAUGUCGAAGAAGAGACGAUGCGAAUAGNGAAAGAGCUUGAUCCCAGAGAUGGCUUCUGAAGGAUAGCGCUGCAUUGGCUCUCCUCAGGCUGGAGGCUUGCGUCGAUUAUGUAUUGGGAUGUUUCAAAUGGCUCCAGCUGGCCGUUGGGGAUAUAGAACAGGAGAAAACCCUUAGAUGAUGUAUCCCUGAAGGACACCUAGACCAUCGUGAACCGUGUGAAGGCCAUCCCCAAUGAACUCAAGUCUUGGAAGAAGUCAUCGUCAAGGGCCGGAGCCGACAUCGCCCUUUCGCUCGUUUGCAUCCAUUGUAAAGGGGUGGAUGAAGAGAAGUUGAAGAGUCUCCGGGUUGUUAACCGGAAAAGAGCCAGGUUCGAAGACUUCAUGGAGAUGUUUAUGGCAUCCGCCACUCGGAUUGCGAAAGGAAUCGAUCUUCACACCUUCAUGGAAGCAGCGGGAUCUACGGCUCGGAGUGAUGCUCGGAGGAAAACAUUUAAGUUUCAAUUCUCCUCGGGAUGCCGAGUGGUUUUAUGUAACCCCAAACUUUGAGUGGGCCUUGGGCUCUCUCUUAUGUGCACUUUUUGCUGAACUUCAUUCCAUUUACCCAUAUUCGAGUUUUGAUCUUAUUUGCUUUAUCGUCCUUAUUUGGGGUCACUUUUACUCGACCGAAAGCCGGUUCGCAUCCGAGUCCCCGAGUGUGGAAGUUAUCCUCACUCGAGAUCGUUUUUGACUUAGGCGAAAGCUGGUUCACAGUUAAGCCCCCGAGUGUGGAAGUUGUCCUCACUCGGGAUUGUUUUUGACUUAGGUGAAAGUUGGUUCGCAGCUAAGCCUCUGAGUGUGGAAGUUGUCCUCACUCGGGAUCAUUUUGGACUUAGGCGAAAGCUGGUUCGCAGCUAAGCCCCCGAGUGUGGAAAUUGUCUCACCCGGGACCGUUUCUUGACUUAGGCGAAAGCCGGUUCACAGCUAAGCCCCCCGAGUGUGGAAGUUGUCCUCACUCAGGAUCAUUUUUUGACUUAGGGAAAGCUGGUUCGCAGCUAAGCCCCCCGAGUGUCGAAAGUUGUCCUCACUCGGGAUCNNNNNNNNNNNNNNNNNNNNNNNNNNNNNNNNNNNNNNNNNNNNNNNNNNNNNNNNNNNNNNNNNNNNNNNNNNNNNNNNNNNNNNNNNNNNNNNNNNNNGGAUUACUGGACAACGUCAAAGUUAUCCUUAGUAAUUAGUGGUACUAAGUAKUUUUUUUUCUUUCGUAUUAUGGAGGUGAUAAAGAAUUACGUCGUAAAGGGUUACGUCGAUGCAAGCUUUGACACUAAUUUGGAUAGCUCUGAAUAGUAAACCGGAUUCGUAUAGUGGAGCAUUCAUUGACUAAAUCAUUGAUCAAAGAUGGUCAAGGUUUCCUGGCGAUAGACAAGUGUUGUCACAUCAUAACGGGAUCACAUCAUUAGGAGAAUGAUGUGAUGGACAAGACCCAAACUAUGAACGUAACAUAUGAUCGUGUCAGUUUAUUGCCACUGUUUUCUGCAUGUCAAUGUAUCUGUUCCUAUGACCAUGAGAUCAUGCAACUCCCGGACACCGAAGGAAUACCUUGUGUGUAUCAAAUGUCACAACGUACCUAGGUGACUAUAAAGGUGCUCUACAGGUAUCUCAGAAGGUGUCUGUUGGGUUGGCGUGAAUCAAGACUAUGAUUCGUCACUCCGUGUGACGGAGAGGUAUCGUCGACGGGCCCACUCGAUAAUNNNNNNNNNNNNNNNNNNNNNNNNNNNNNNNNNNNNNNNNNNNNNNNNNNNNNNNNNNNNNNNNNNNNNNNNNNNNNNNNNNNNNNNNNNNNNNNNNNNNGCUAAAAGUACUAGUUGGAAUUAUAGUCUAGCAGUUGUUGUCAUUAUUUAUUUAAAUCUUGUAGAUAGGAUGUCAAACAUUGUUUCCUCGAUGGUUUCCUUGAGGAAAGGUUGUAUGUGAUACAACCAGAAGGUUUUGUUGAUCCUAAGGAUGCUAACAAGUAUGCAAGCUCCAACGAUCCUUCUAUGGACUGGAGCAAGCAUCUUGGAGUUGGAAUAUAUGCUUUGAUAAGAUGAUCAAAGCUUUUGGGUUUAUACAAGGCUUAUGAGAAACUUGUAUUUCCAAGAAAGUGAGUGGGAGCACUAUAAAAUUUCUGAUGAGUAGAUGUGGUUGACAUAUUGUUGAUCGGAAAUGAUGUAGAAUUUCUAGAAAGCAUAUAUGGUUGUUUAAAAAGUACUUUUCAAAGCAAAACCUGAAUUAAGCCUACUUGAACGUUGAGCAUCAAGAUCUAUAAAGAUAGAUCAAGACGCUUGAUAAAACUUUUGAUGAAUGCAUACAUUGACAAGUUUUGAAGGAGUUCAAAGUAGAUCGGUCAAACAAGGAUUUCUUGGCUGUGUUGUAAAGGUGUGAAAUUUGAGUAAGACUCAAAGCCCCAUCAUGGCAGAAUAAAGAGAAAGUACGAAGGUCGUCCCCUAUGCAGUGACCAUAGGCUCUAUAGUAUGCAAUGUUGUGUACCGCACCUGAUGUGUGACUUGCCAUGAAUUUGUCAAGGGAUACAAAGUGAUCCAGGAAUGGAUUACUGGACAACGGUACUAAAAGUUAUACCUUAAGUAAUUAGGUAGGUACUUAAGUUAUUUUUUUCUMSUAUUAUGGUAGGUAGNNNNNNNNNNNNNNNNNNNNNNNNNNNNNNNNNNNNNNNNNNNNNNNNNNNNNNNNNNNNNNNNNNNNNNNNNNNNNNNNNNNNNNNNNNNNNNNNNNNNAAAAGUAACGGUAACGGUAGUUUAAGUUUUAAAUUACUUACUUAAUUUAACUUCCUAAGUUAAAUUUAAUUUAACUACUAGUAAAGUAAAUACUAACCUAARUCGACAAARGGGCCGAAUCUGGAGGCGCAAUUUAGUAAAUAGCGCCAAGGGCGCGGGAUGGAUCUCACCUCGGGGGGGGCUCUUGGGCUGGAGGGGCGCAGUGGAAGGCAGCCGGCCUGGCUGCCGAAGCUGGAGGUGGGCCGCGGGUGAGGCCGAAGCCUGGGCCUGGGGCGAAGGAGUUGGCCACGUGGGCCGAGGGAGCUGGUGCGGCCCAGGCCAGGGCAACCGCUGGCGACGGACGGUGGCGCUGGAGCUGUCGCGGCGGCCGGCGACAUAGCUUCCGGCGGAGGGGAAGGCGGGGGAGGCCGGAUCCGAGUGGACGGGGAGCGUCCGGAUCCGUCCACGUUCCCCGGGGGUUUGACGGGCGGCGCGUGGCGAGGGCGGCGGAGGAGAGCGAGCGAACGGACGGCGAGAACGUGGGCGAGGCGGCGAGCGCGCGUCGGGCGGGCCGGCGGGCCGGCGGACGGACGUCCGUGGGCGUCGGCCGGCCGACCCGGACCGGGCCGGGNNNNNNNNNNNNNNNNNNNNNNNNNNNNNNNNNNNNNNNNNNNNNNNNNNNNNNNNNNNNNNNNNNNNNNNNNNNNNNNNNNNNNNNNNNNNNNNNNNNNUACGCAGGCAGGCUGUACUACCGCUCUCGGCAACAACCAAGAACAAACCGACGACGAGGAAGGAAGGAAACGGAGGUCUCAGCAGCCCCGAGAAUCUCUCCGCGGCCGACGACGGCAACCGAUUCCGCCUGCUCUGCCGGGGCAAGGAAGGAGUUUGCCGGGUCCGGGCAAGACCAGGAGGCGCGAUCCUCUCCUCGCUGCGGCUGAAUUGGGGAAGGAGGAAUCGGGGGAGGGAGGAGGCAGAGAGGUUGGUGGGAGGUGGGGGGUGGGAGAGCACAGCGCAGCACAGGUGGGGAGGAGACUAUACAGCUCAGGGACAGGGCGGCAGCGGAAUAUUUAUACUGAGCCUCUCAGAGGAGAGGAGGCGUGCGUGGGAGUGAGCGAGCGAGGGAGAGCAUGUGGAUUCUGGAGUAAGAAACAGGGCAAGCAAGUGGGUAAAACAUCCGGCGGUGCAGCCGCAGCCGACGGCCGGCCGGCCGGCCGGCGCGUCCCUUCCUUCCCGGCAACCGGCGUGUACUGUACUACUCGGGAACAUAUUCUCUGCAUGCUCUUUCCCGUGACACAAAGAAAAAAGUGGCGCGGCACGCCGUUGGCGUGGGGGGCGGAAGCGGCAGUGCGGUGAGGCGUGGACGCCUCGCCACUGUUGCUUUUUUACCCAWUGUUUUUUUGCCCUGUUUUUUGCUGUGUCCGUGUCGUGCGGUGCCAUCCGAACCCGGCGACGGCUUGGACGGAAGAGGAAAGCGGGCUCCGCCGCCGGCGUCGCCGGUGGCUUGGUCGGGACGGCUGGGCGUUGGCGUCGGCGUUGGCAUCCUUGCUAGGCCUUAGCCUCCAAGCAACCGUGGCGUCCCUUCCCGGCCAAACAUGCCACUUAGUCGCGUGCCGAUUGGCACAACAACCUCGCUUUUUGCCUCGCUUUCUUCCUCCUUCUACCUGCCCUGCUCUUGUUCUUUUCGCCCUUUUCCAUCGCCCCGACGUACGUGUCGCCGGGAGUAGACGAGCAGCAGCGGUGAUCAUCGGGGAUUUGACGAGCUUUUGGCGGUAGUUGUACUGUACUACUGUGGCUUUGCCCCCAACGCGUUGCCGACUUGGGUAAUAAUCGUGGAAGUGACAGCGUGCGAUCAUGCUACUGCUACUACAAUGAAUCGUGCAUGCACCGUCAUGCGCCGACGUAUAAGCCGGGAAAGGGUAGGGGAGGGGCUAGGCUAGGCCUGUUUUUGGUAUGGCACGCGGCGGUGCUCUGCUUCGCUCGCUCCAUCGGUGGCUACGGCUACGGCUAGCGGCGACACCACCCUGGGGCUGGGAGUGCAUGUAGACAUGCACUAGUACACUUUUACCGUACCGAAUACCUCGAGCCGUAUCUGCCAACAGCCGCGGUGCCCCAAUGAGGCGAAGCUGCGGCUCGACAAAGCGAAUGGCCGCAUGCAUGACAGAAUGGAUGAGGCAUCAGCUGGUGCAGUAGCUCCUGAUGGCCUCGUGCACCGGCCGGCGAGCGCAAGCAAAAAAGAAGGUUCUGGUCGUGCGGACACGCGGUGCACCUAACAUUGACCUGGUCAGACGGGUAAAUAGUGUGAACUGUUCGAUCGGUGACUGGACCUGCUCUCUCGAGCAGCGACACCGACAUGCUCCAGAGCUCAGUAGUUGAGUUCAUACUCAGGUCUUUCGUUUCACUNNNNNNNNNNNNNNNNNNNNNNNNNNNNNNNNNNNNNNNNNNNNNNNNNNNNNNNNNNNNNNNNNNNNNNNNNNNNNNNNNNNNNNNNNNNNNNNNNNNNGUCUCACCCCCUUUAUUUACGCAUGACUGUUCGGUGUAUGACAUACACAUUUGCACGCCUUCUUCCUAGGCACCUUUGUCGAUCACGGUUCACGGUCGUCGGUCACGCCGCCAGCAUGGCGCAACACUAAAGACGCUGGAUAAAUCAUCGGUAUCUUCAUACCUAGUUCAAUCUCGUUAUCGACAAGUCUCCUUACUCGUUCCAUAAUACAAGAUCACGUGGCUAACUCUUUAGUCACAUUGCUUGCAAGCUUGUUGUGAUGUUGUAUUACUGAGUGGGCCCUGAGAUACCUCUCUGUCACACGGAGUGACCAAUCCCAGUAUUGAUCCCUGUCAACUCAACAGACACCCUUGGAGAUACCUAUAGAGCACCUUUAUAGUCACCCAGUUAAGUUGCGACGUUUGAUACACACAAGGUACUACUCCGGUGUCAAUGAGUUGCACGAUCUCAUGGUCAUAGGAAUAGAUACUUGAUAUGCAGAAAAAAUAGCAAUAAACUGACACGAUCAUAUGCUACGUUCAUAGGUUGGUUCUUGUCCAUCAUAUCAUUCUCCUAAUGAUGUGAUCCCGUUAUCAAAUGACAACUCAUGUCUAUGAUUUUCCCACAAUAUCUUCUGUAUUUUCCAUUACAUGAUUUUAAGGAUCCACAUUACAAAUAAAGAGAUACAAAGAUGAUCAGACAUAUUAUUACCUCCCACAUGGUAUUUGUUUUUCUUAUGUAUUCGUGUUAUUUUCUAUUUACCAAUUAUAUUAUUUACUUUAAAUUUAUUUUGUUUUUAGCUAGUAGUANNNNNNNNNNNNNNNNNNNNNNNNNNNNNNNNNNNNNNNNNNNNNNNNNNNNNNNNNNNNNNNNNNNNNNNNNNNNNNNNNNNNNNNNNNNNNNNNNNNNAACUAAAGUUGGAGAAACCGUCACUUGCCAGUCAUCUUUGAGCAAAGGGGGUUACUCGUAACGAUGAAACCAGUCUCUCGUAAGCGUACGAGUAAUGUCGGUCCAAGCCGCUUCAAUCCAACAAUACCGCGGAAUCAAGAAAAGACUAAGGAGGGCAGCAAAACGCACAUCACCGCCCACAAAACCUUUUGUGUUCUACUCGAGAAGACAUCUACGCAUGAACCUAGCUCAUGAUGCCACUGUUGGGGAACGACGCAUGGGAAACAAAAAUUUCCUAGCGCACGAAGACCUAUCAUGGUGAUGUCCAUCUACGAGAGGGGAUGAGUGAUCUAUGUACCCUUGUAGAUCGCACAGCAGAAGCGUUAGAGAACGCGGUUGAUGUAGUGGAACGUCCUCACGUCCCUCGAUCCGCCCCGCGAACAAUCCCGCGAUCAGUCCCACGAUCUAGUACCGAACGGACGGCACCUCCGCGUUCAGCACACGUACAGCUCGACGAUGAUCUCGGCCUUCUUGAUCCAGCAAGAGAGACGGAGAGGUAGAAGAGUUCUCCGGCAGCGUGACGGCGCUCCGGAGGUUGGUGAUGAUCUCGUCUCAGCAGGGCCUCCGCCCGAGCUCCGCAGAAACGCGAUCUAAGGAAGGAAAACUGUGGAGGUAUGUGGUCGGGCAGCCGGUAGGAAGGUAAAGUUCGUACUACAAAUCACGUACCCCUWAAAMCGUCCGUAAUAGUAGUAGGGUAGGGGAGGGGAGGGGAGGAGGNNNNNNNNNNNNNNNNNNNNNNNNNNNNNNNNNNNNNNNNNNNNNNNNNNNNNNNNNNNNNNNNNNNNNNNNNNNNNNNNNNNNNNNNNNNNNNNNNNNNGCCUUGCCUUGAUCGAUCCCUUGGACGCUCGAAGGGAGCUAGGGUUCUUCACCCUAGAUCUGAUAGGGUUUUGUGGAGAACCCUAGCUCCCUUCGAGCAUCCAAGGGAUCGAUCAAGUCAAGGUGAAGAUCCAGGGAUCGUCGUGUUAGAACAAAUUUUGAAGAUUAGGAACAUUUUUUGAAAUUUUGAACAUUUUUUUGCAAAUUUGGAACAAAAAAAUUCCAAACAUUAAUUUUGAAAACAGAAACCUAAUUUUAAACCACAAAGAAUUUAUGAAAUUCUAGAAAAAAUGAAAGCAAGAACAUUUUUUAAAUUCAGAUUUUAGAAAGAAAAAAAGUACAAUCAAAUUCAACCAAAACAUUCCAAACAUUUUUAAAAAAACAAGAAGAAAGUAAAACACCAAAAUAAAGGAGUGGAUUUUUCGUAUGUCUCGCUUGUUGUGAGGAACAGUGAUGCGUCACUCAUCCCUAGGGGGUGUGUGGAUCUUUCCCCGCAACGGACCCCUCUAGCGAUCGAUUACUCCACCCCCCCCCCAAGGCCUUGUUUGAUACUAGGGUUUUUCAGGAGAUUGGUGGGGAUAACUCCCCACAGGGAUUGGGUGAAACCCCAUCCUUCACCCAAUCCCCUACAAACUCCCCAUUUACUCCCCAAUACACUAGGUAGGSGUAUGUAUUGAGUAUUGAGAAAAUACACUAAAUUUAGAGAAUUGGUAGGGGAAAUGGUAGGGGAAUAAACAUGUACAAAUACACUAGAACCAAUGGCGUUAUGGGAUAGUGGUGGGGAUUUAGGGAUUUGGACCGGGUAUAACGUCCCUAACUUAANNNNNNNNNNNNNNNNNNNNNNNNNNNNNNNNNNNNNNNNNNNNNNNNNNNNNNNNNNNNNNNNNNNNNNNNNNNNNNNNNNNNNNNNNNNNNNNNNNNNAAUGGUUCUGCUCAACUUCGGCCUCGUGGCGGCGGAGAAUCCACGAAAAAGCUCCACCCUGAUUUUUUCUCGGACGAAACCCUUCAUAUAGCAAAAGAGGGGGGCCAGUGGUCCGCCAUGGUGCCCACAAGCCCUGUAGCCGCCGCCAGGGGGGUAGGUGGCGGCUACCGGGCUUGUGGGCUCCUGGUAGCUCCCCUCUCGUACUCCUUUCGCCCAGUAUUUUUUAUAUAUUCCCAAAAAAUACCAUGUUGAUUUUCAGGGCAUUUGGAUUUGCGUAGAAUAGAGGACUCGGACUUUCUCCUUUUCCAGUCCAGAAUUCCAGCUGCCGGUAUUCUCUCUCUUCAAAUAAACCUUGCAAAAUAAGAGAGAAAAGGCAUAAGUAUGGUACCACAAAGUAAUAUAACAAUCCAUAAAGCGAUAAAUAUCAACAUGAAAGCAUGAUGCAAAAUGGACGUAUCAAGGCACACAGGGGAUAGGUUAUGUUCUUACUUCACACAUGAUUUGAGUAGAUAUUAGUAUAUUUACUUGAUGAAACACAAGUCUGAAUUAUUGAAAUAUUCAAGUGAUUUCAGAGUGAAGUUGAAGAUCAUCGUGACAAGAAGAUAAUAUGUCUACGAUGUGAUCAUGGAGGUAAAGUAUAUAAUCUGAGUUGCGUAGUUUGGUAUACAUUUAAGACAAUGUGAAAAUUGUUUCACAACUCAUGACCAACCUUGGAACACCAUAGUGUCGAUGGCGUGUACCGAAACGUCAAUAAGGUCGUGCCCUAUUACGGACUAUGGCGCAUACCUAUGAUGUCUAUUUGGUACUUACCACUAUUCGUUUUGGGUAGUAUUAGAGUAAAAGCAUUACACUUUAAAUAGGGNNNNNNNNNNNNNNNNNNNNNNNNNNNNNNNNNNNNNNNNNNNNNNNNNNNNNNNNNNNNNNNNNNNNNNNNNNNNNNNNNNNNNNNNNNNNNNNNNNNNAACUUUACGGUCCGAACCCUUAACGGUUUCGUAGGUCGUGCCGUCCUCCCCUCCCCUCCCAMCCUACUAUAUACGGAGGUUUUAGGGUACGUGAUUUGWGACGACUUCUCUCACGGCCUGCCCGACCACCAUACCUCCACUAGUUUUYCYUCUAGAUCGCGUUUCUGCGGAGCUCGGGCGGAGCCCUGCUGAGACGAGAUCAUCACCAACCUCCCGGAGCGCCGUCACGCUGCCGGAGAACUCUUCUACCUCUCCGUCUCUCUUGCUGGAUCAAGAAGGCCGAGAUCAUCGUCGAGCUGUACGUGUGCUGAACGCGGAGGUGCCGUCCGUUCGGUACUAGAUCGUGGACUGAUCGCGGAUUGUUCGCGGGCGGAUCGAGGGACGUGAGGACGUUCCACUACAUCAACCGCGUUCACUAACGCUUCUGCUGUAUGAUCUACAAGGGUACGUAGAUCACUCAUCCCCUCUCGUAGAUGGACAUCACCAUGAUAGGUCUUCGUGCRCGUAGGAAAWUUUUGUUUCCCAUGCGWCGUUCCCCCAACACAAAUAAGUUCAAAAAAAUGAAAUCCCUUUGCAACAGACGAGUUUCCGUAUGAAACCCUGAUACUUCGAAAGAGAUUUGUCCGUUUUGUACACAAAGUGCAUCCUAGUUUUUGUCCGUAACCCUCUCAACUUUCUCGCACAUGCUAUGGUGGGUAGAAAUGAUGACUACCAUGACCCUAACGUUCGGUAACCUUUUCAGUAGUUCUAUUUACUAAAUGUUCNNNNNNNNNNNNNNNNNNNNNNNNNNNNNNNNNNNNNNNNNNNNNNNNNNNNNNNNNNNNNNNNNNNNNNNNNNNNNNNNNNNNNNNNNNNNNNNNNNNNGUGCUGCACCUUGACCUCGCCGUCGGCGGCGAUGGCGUCGAGCUUGACCAGCUCCGUCAUAAGCGCCUCGGUGAGGGCGACCACGUCGGCCUCCACCACCUUCCCGCCCUUGCCCACGAUGGUCUGCAGCGCAGACACCUGCAGUGCACCGCCACCCAAAUUCGAUCAGCACAGCGCCCUCCCAAAGUCGAUCGGCGGACGGCGAAAGUGAACAAGGGAAGGAGCACGAGCAGAGUGGUCGUACCUUGGUGGCGAGCUUGUCGACGUCGAGGCUGAUGCGGGAGAUGGACUUGGCGGCGCGCUGGGCCUUGUCGGAGCGGCGCUGCUCGAUGAGGCGCUUGGCCUGCGCGUCGGGUCCUCGAGCAGCAGCAGCUUGGAGCGGUCCUUGACGCCGGACAUGUCGAGGAAGGCCUUGGAGUCCAUCUCCUUGCUCUUGUAGAGCACCUUCUGGUCCUCGUGGUGCAGGCCGGUCUUGUCCGACAUCAUCUUCUUCAGCUCGCCUGCACCACCAAUCACCGUCACGCCCACAAUCAGCAGCUAGCUCGAGUCGAGUCAGAUCAAAUCAAAAAAUCCAGCGGGCGAAGCAAGGCAAAGCAAUUGAUUUGAUUUGAUUCGCGUGCAUUACCGAAGGAUGCCUGGGAGUUGAUGUAGAUCUCGUGGGAGACGCCGUUGAACUUGACCUUGAGGCGCACGGUGGGCACGGGCGCGCCGGCGGGGGCGUCCGAGUCCGGGCCCCGCUUCUGCACCAGCAUCCCGCCGGGCCGCACCUCCCACUCGUCCUCCUUGAGCGCCUCCUUGGCCGCGGCCGCGGCGGGAGAGACGGUCUCCUUCAUGGCGUCCAAGAAUGUAGCUUUGCCCUUGGCGCGCAUCAUCUUCUCAUGGCACGUACUUAUAUGCCUCCCGCUACAAACAAAGAAUCAGCCGAGCAACCCUAGCAGGCAGGCUGUACUACCGCUCUCGGACAACAACCAAGAACAACCGACGACGAGGAAGGAAGGAACGGAGGUCUCAGCGACGCCCGAGACUCUCGUCCGCGGCCGACGACGGCAACCGNUCCGCUGCUCGUCGGCCGGGACGAAGGGNNNNNNNNNNNNNNNNNNNNNNNNNNNNNNNNNNNNNNNNNNNNNNNNNNNNNNNNNNNNNNNNNNNNNNNNNNNNNNNNNNNNNNNNNNNNNNNNNNNNGAAACAAUUCCACAUUGUUUUAAGUGAGUACCAAACUCGAAACUCAAAUAUUCACCCCCACGAUCAGACCGUAGGAACUUGAUCUUCUUGUUACGAUGAUUUUCCACUUCACUCUGAAAUUGCUUGAACUUUUCAAAUGUUUCAGACUUGUGUUUCAUCAAGUAGACAUAACCAUAUCUACUCAAAUCGUCAGUGAAGGUGAGAAAUAACGAUAUCCGCCGCGUGCCUCCACGCUCAUCGGACCACACACAUUGGUAUGUAUGAUUUCCAACCAGUCACUUGCACGCUCCAUUGUUCCGGAGAACGGUAGUCUUUAGUCAUCUUGCCCAUGAGGCAUGGUUCGCACGUGUCAAGUGAAUCAAAGUCAAGUGACUCCAAAAGUCCAUCAGCAUGGAGUUUCUUCCAUGCGCUUUACACCAAUAUGACCUAAGCGGACAGUGCCANAAAAUNUGGCGCUAUCCAUUGUUACCCAUAUUUCCAACAGUCUCCCACUUGCACUAGAGUCAAUAUCUAGUUCANNNNNNNNNNNNNNNNNNNNNNNNNNNNNNNNNNNNNNNNNNNNNNNNNNNNNNNNNNNNNNNNNNNNNNNNNNNNNNNNNNNNNNNNNNNNNNNNNNNNUUGGGUCCGGCCGACGUUAACGGGUCCCGUUUUCGGGGUCCGUCGUCCCAACCCACGCCCACCUAACGGGCGUCGAUGCGCCACCCUUACGUCGGCCUACGUCGGGCGUUCCCCGGGGUCGGGUUCGGCCCCCCGGUCGAACCUACCCGGAACCCACUUCGUCACUUCCCGGUACACUUCCCGGUAACUACCGAAAACCUUACCGGUAAUACAAAUGAGGUCAUCGUAUAUAUCAAUCUUCGUUUCCGGACCAUUCCAGAAACCCUCGUGACGCCCGUGAUCUCAUCCGGGACUCCGAACAACAUUCGGUAACCAACCAUAUAACUCAAAUACGCAUAAAACAACGUCGAACCUUAAGUGUGCAGACCCUGCGGGUUCGAGAACUAUGUAGACAUGACCCGAGAGACUCCUCGGUCAAUAUCAAAUAGUGGGACCUGGAUGCCCAUAUUGGAUCCUACAUAUUCUACGAAGAUCUUAUCGUUUGAACCUCAGUGCCAAGGAUUCAUAUAAUCCUGUAUGUCAUUCCCUUUGUCCUUCGGUAUGUUACUUGCCCGAGAUUCGAGCGUCAGUAUCCGCAUACCUAUUUCAAUCUCGUUUAUCGGCAAGUCUCUUUACUCGUUUCGUAAUACAAGAUCCCGCAACUUACACUAAGUCACAUUGCUUGCAAGGCUUGUGUGUGAUGUUGUAUUACCGAGUGGGCCCCGAGAUACCUCCCGUCCGUACACGACGGUAGUACGAACUAACCUACCCGUAGUUCGUACGUACCUACCUAACUUAACCUUAACCUAACCUAAACCUAACCCGUACCGGUUACGGAAGNNNNNNNNNNNNNNNNNNNNNNNNNNNNNNNNNNNNNNNNNNNNNNNNNNNNNNNNNNNNNNNNNNNNNNNNNNNNNNNNNNNNNNNNNNNNNNNNNNNNAAAAGUGCAUUUCCCCACAGGAAGGACUACAGAUCUUGCACAAGAUCCACUCGGGAACCUAUGGACAUCAUGCGUCCCCUCGGACCAUGGUGGCCAAGGCCUUCCGAGCAGGUUUUUAUUGGCCUCGAGACAACGAGGGAGCAAAAUACUUGGUCGAUCUGUGCGUUGGAUGCGAGUUCUACAAGAAUCAGUCGCACAAGCCUGCAUCCAUGCUGAAAAUGAUUCCACUCACUUGGCCAUUCACCGUGUGGGGUAUUGACUUGGUCGGCCCUUUGUGCACCAGGACCAGUGGAUUUAGCCACCUGCUAGUUGUAGUGGAUAAGUUCACCACGUGGGUCGAAGCUAAACCCAACAAAAGCAUGGACGGGCGACUACCGUCAGCUUCAUUCGACAGAUCAUCUUCAAAUUUGGAGUCCCUCACGACAUCAUCACCGACAAUGGAACCAACUUCGACUCGGAGGAAUUCCGCGAGUUCUGUCACUCCCAAGGCACACAGGGGAUAGGNNNNNNNNNNNNNNNNNNNNNNNNNNNNNNNNNNNNNNNNNNNNNNNNNNNNNNNNNNNNNNNNNNNNNNNNNNNNNNNNNNNNNNNNNNNNNNNNNNNNUAAAUAGAACAAUAAGAAAAGAAACAAUAGGAAGUUAGAAAGGGUUAUAAAUUGAUGAUGUGGCUUUGAAUGGUGUCAUUUUGAACAACAAAAACUAUGGAGUWCAAAUAAGUUCAAAAAUGAAAUCCCUUUGUAACAGACGAGUUUCCGUAUGAAACCCUSAUACUUCGAAAGAGAUUGUGUGUUUGUACACGAAGUGCAUCCAGUUUUGCCGUAACCCUCUCAACUUUCUUGCACAUGCUAUGUGGGUGAAAUGAUGAUACCAUGCCAACUUGGAACCUUUUCCCGUAAAGUUUCCCCUAAGUUUUCGUAAAGUCCGUCGUUUUCAAAGUUUACCACUACGGUACGUUAUAACUCAGUAAAUAAAUCAAUAAAAUGCAUGAAAAGUAACAAAUGAAGUCAGAAAGGGUUGUMAAUUGAUGAUGUGGCUUUGAAUGGUGCAUUUUGAACACAGAAAAACUAUGGAGUUCAAAUAAGUUCAAAAAAAAUAGAAAUCCCUUUGUAACAAACGAGUUUCCGUAUGAAACCCUGAUACUUCGAAAGAGAUUGUCCGUUUUGUACACGAAGUGCAUCCAGUUUUUGCCGUAACCCUCUCAACUUUCUCGCACAUGCUAUGUGGGUGAAAUGAUGAUACCAUGCCAACUUGGAACCUUUUCAGAGUUCAUUUCAAAUGCUUUUCAAUUUCAUGGUCUUAUAGCUCAAUAAUAAUCAAGUAAAUGCAUAGAAAAAUAAUAAAUAGAAGUCAAGUAAAGGGUACUUAGUAAAUUGAUGAUAGUGUUGGUACUUUGGAAGUGGUGUUNNNNNNNNNNNNNNNNNNNNNNNNNNNNNNNNNNNNNNNNNNNNNNNNNNNNNNNNNNNNNNNNNNNNNNNNNNNNNNNNNNNNNNNNNNNNNNNNNNNNGUGCGUAACCCUCUCAACUUUCUCGCACAUGCUAUGUGGGUGAAAUGAUGAUACCAUGCCAACUUGGAACCUUUUCAGAGUUCAUUUCAAAUGCUUUUCAAUUUCAUGGUCUUAUAGCUCAUAAUAAUCAGUAAAUGCAUGAAAAAUAAUAAAUGAAGUCAUAAAGGGCUGUAAAUUGAUGAUGUGGCUUUGAAUGGUGCAUUUUGAACACAGAAAAACUAUGGAGUUCAAAUAAGUUCAAAAAAAUAAAAUCCCUUUGUAACAGACGAGUUUCUGUAUGAAACCCUGAUACUUCGAAAGAGAUUGUCCGUUUUGUACACGAAGUGCAUCCAGUUUUUGCCGUAACCCUCUCAACUUUCUCGCACAUGCUAUGUGGGUGAAAUGAUGAUACGAUGCCAACUUGGAACCUUUCCAGAGUUCAUUUGAAAUGCUUUUCAAUUUCAUGGUCUUAUAGCUCAAAAUAAUCAGUAAAUGCAUGAAAAAUAACAAAUGAAGUCAGAAAGGGUUGUAAAUUGAUGAUGUGGCUUUGAAUGGUGCAUUUUGAACACACAGAAAAACUAUGGAGUUCAAAUAAAGUUSAAAACAWAUUGAAAAUCCCUUUAGUAACUAGACGUAGUUUACCUGUNNNNNNNNNNNNNNNNNNNNNNNNNNNNNNNNNNNNNNNNNNNNNNNNNNNNNNNNNNNNNNNNNNNNNNNNNNNNNNNNNNNNNNNNNNNNNNNNNNNNCCGUACGACGAACCGGUACCCAAAUGGCUUUUGCUAUAUAAGCUAGCAGUUGUGAAAAUUUCGUCAGUUUUCUUUGAUUCCUCCGACGACGCCGCCAGGCUGCCCCGAGCUCGCCGUCGUCGCCCCUGCCCCCCGACACGCCGUCGUUGCCCCGGCCCGACCACGCCGUCGUAGCCCCUUGCCCCCCCGACAUCGCCGCGCGCCCCUGUCGUGCCCUCUACCGCGCCCCCUACCCGCCCCGUGACGCCGUCGCCGCCCUUUGCCCCCGUUGAUCGCCAUUCGCCCCCCGUCCCGACACGUCCGUUGUCGGCCCCCUUGCCCCGACCACGCCGUCGCCGUUCGCCCUCUACACCGACGUCGGCGCCGUGCCUCUCCUUGGCCAGGCCUAGCGCCGCCCACCCUGUCCUCUCCUUUGUUCAUAUAAAUGAUGAUUUUUUUUUGCUAUUUUAUAAAAUGUAUAUAUGUAUGUAUGUUCUCUAUGCAGUAUAAAAGUUAUUAUUUUUAGUACUAGUUUGGGUACUAGUUUUAGGUUAGUUUAUNNNNNNNNNNNNNNNNNNNNNNNNNNNNNNNNNNNNNNNNNNNNNNNNNNNNNNNNNNNNNNNNNNNNNNNNNNNNNNNNNNNNNNNNNNNNNNNNNNNNGUUGGUCGACCUUUCGGUAGGUACAAAACCGGGACCGAACUACUCUUCGUAGUUAGUCGUAGGGUUACUAUACGGAAAACUCGUUUGUUCUAAAGGGAAGUUUCUUAUUUUUUUGAACUUAUUUGAACUCCUAUAGUUUUYYUGUAGUUCAAAWYGCACCAUUCAAAGCCACAUCAUCAAUUGUACAACCCUUCUGACUUUAUUUGUUAUUUUUCAUGCAUUUACUGAUUAUUUUGAGCUAUAAGACCAUGAAAUUGAAAAGCAUUUGAAAUGAACUCUAGAAAAGGUUCCRAGUUGGCAUGGUAUCAUCUAUUUCCACCCCACAUAGUAUGUGCGACAAAGUUAGAGAGGGUUACGACAAAACUAGGAUGCACUUCGUGUACAAAACGGACAAUCUCUUUCGAAGUAUCACGGUUUCAUACGAACGAACUCGUCUGUUACAAAGGGAUUUCUAUUUUUGUUUAGUAACUUUAUUUGUACGGUCCGACGUAGUUUUCUGGUAGAACUUACCUNNNNNNNNNNNNNNNNNNNNNNNNNNNNNNNNNNNNNNNNNNNNNNNNNNNNNNNNNNNNNNNNNNNNNNNNNNNNNNNNNNNNNNNNNNNNNNNNNNNNUCUUUGAUCAACGAGCUAGUCAACUAGAGGCUUACUAGGGACAGUGUUUUGUCUAUGUAUCCACACAAGUAUUGUGUUUCCAAUCAAUACAAUUAUAGCAUGGAUAAUAAACGAUUAUCAUGAACUAAGAAAUAUAAUAAUAACUAAUUUAUUAUUGCCUCUAGGGCAUAUUUCCAACAGUCUCCCACUUGCACUAGAGUCAAUAAUCUAGUUCACAUCACCAUGUGAUUCCAACGAAUCCAACACCCAUAUAGUUAUGGGGUCUGAUCAUGUCUUGCUUGUGAGAGAGGUUUUAGUCAACGGUUCUGAAACUUUCAGAUCCGUGCGUUCUUUACAAAUUCUUUAUGUCAUCUUAUAGAUGCUGCUACUACGUGCUAUUCGGAAAUGCUACCAAAUAUCCACUCUACUAUAUGAAUCCGUUUCACUACUCUAUAGUUAAUUUCCAGAUUAACGUGUCAAAGCUUGCAUCGACGUAACCCUUUACGACGAACUCUUUAACCACCUCCAUAAUCGAGAAAAUUCCUUAGUCCAUUUGUUACUAAGGAUAAAUUUGACCGCUGCUAGUGAUUCAAUCAUGGAUCACUCUCUGUACCCUCAACAGACUUUGAGUCAAGGUCACACUACGGAGGUAGGCGGUACACAGCAUGGCAUACUUAGAUUCUACGCUAAGGCAUAGAGACGACCUCGUCUAUUCUUCUUACUUNUGUCCGGUGGUUCCGGGUUUGUAGUCUUACUCUAAANNNNNNNNNNNNNNNNNNNNNNNNNNNNNNNNNNNNNNNNNNNNNNNNNNNNNNNNNNNNNNNNNNNNNNNNNNNNNNNNNNNNNNNNNNNNNNNNNNNNACGCAUGUGACUAGCAUCAACUACAAAGAGUAAUCAACACUACUAGCAACCUUACAAGUACCAAUUGGAGUCGCGAGAUGGAGAUUGGUUACAAGAGAUGAACUAGGGUUUGGAGAGGAGAUGGUGCUGAUGAAGAUGUUGAUGGAGAUGACUCCCCUCCGACGAGAGGAGUGUUGGUGAUGACGAUGGCGAUGAUUUCCCCCUCAGGGAGGGAAGUUUCCCCGGCAGGAUCGUCCUGCGGGAGCUCUAGAAUGGUUCUGCUCAACUUCGGCCUCGUGGCGGCGGAGAAUCCACGAAAAGCUCCACCCUGGAUUUUUYSUCGGACGAAACCCUUCAUAUAGCAAAAGAGGGGGCCAGUGGUCCGCCAUGGUGCCCACAAGCCCUGUAGCCGCCGCCAGGGGGUAGGUGGCGGCUACCGGGCUUGUGGGCUCCUGGUAGCUCCCCUCUCGUACUCCUUUCGCCCAGUAUUUUUUAUAUAUUCCCAAAAAUACCAUGUUGAUUUUCAGGGCAUUUGGAUUUGCGUAGAAUAGAGGACUCGGACUUUCUCCUUUUCCAGUCCAGAAUUCCAGCUGCCGGUAUUCUCUCUCUUCAAAUAAACCUUGCAAAAUAAGAGAGAAAAGGCAUAAGUAUGGUACCACAAAGUAAUAUAACAAUCCAUAAAGCGAUAAAUAUCAACAUGAAAGCAUGAUGCAAAAUGGACGUAUCAAGGCACACAGGGGAUAGGCAUNNNNNNNNNNNNNNNNNNNNNNNNNNNNNNNNNNNNNNNNNNNNNNNNNNNNNNNNNNNNNNNNNNNNNNNNNNNNNNNNNNNNNNNNNNNNNNNNNNNNAAAGAGGGGCCAGUGGUCCGCCAUGGUGCCCACAAGCCCUGUAGCCGCCGCCAGGGGGGGUAGGUGGCGGCUACCGGGCUUGUGGGCUCCUCGGUAGCUCCCCUCUCGUACUCCUUUCGUCCCAGUAUUUUUUAUAUAUUCCCAAAAAAUACCAUGUUGAUUUUCAGGGCAUUUGGAUUUGCGUAGAAUAGAGGACUCGGACUUUCUCCUUUUCCAGUCCAGAAUUCCAGCUGCCGGUAUUCUCUCUCUUCAAAUAAACCUUGCAAAAUAAGAGAGAAAAGGCAUAAGUAUGGUACCACAAAGUAAUAUAACAAUCCAUAAAGCGAUAAAUAUCAACAUGAAAGCAUGAUGCAAAAUGGACGUAUCAAGGCACACAGGGGAUAGGUUAUGUUCUUACUUCACACAUGAUUUGAGUAGAUAUUAGUAUAUUUACUUGAUGAAACACAAGUCUGAAUUAUUGAAAUAUUCAAGUGAUUUCAGAGUGAAGUUGAAGAUCAUCGUGACAAGAAGAUAAUAUGUCUACGAUGUGAUCAUGGAGGUAAAUAUAUAUCUGAGUUGCGAGUUUGGUAUACAUUUAAGACAAUGUGAAAAUUGUUUCACAACUCAUGCCACCUGGAACACCAUAGUGUGAUGGCGUGUCCGAACGUCAUAGUCGUGCCCUAUUGGAUAUGGCGCAUACUAUNNNNNNNNNNNNNNNNNNNNNNNNNNNNNNNNNNNNNNNNNNNNNNNNNNNNNNNNNNNNNNNNNNNNNNNNNNNNNNNNNNNNNNNNNNNNNNNNNNNNGAAGAGUGUUACAGGAGUCAGUCAAAAGUGCAUUUCCCCACAGGAAGGACUACAGAUCUUGCACAAGAUCCACUCGGGAACCUAUGGACAUCAUGCGUCCCCUCGGACCAUGGUGGCCAAGGCCUUCCGAGCAGGUUUUWWUGGCCUCGAGACAACGAGGGAGCAAAAUACUUGGUCGAUCUGUGCGUUGGAUGCGAGUUCUACAAGAAUCAGUCGCACAAGCCUGCAUCCAUGCURRAAAUGAUUCCACUCACUUGGCCAUUCACCGUGUGGGGUAUUGACUUGGUCGGCCCUUUGUGCACCAGGACCAGUGGAUUUAGCCACCUGCUAGUUGUAGUGGAUAAGUUCACCACGUGGGUCGAAGCUAAACCCAACAAAAGCAUGGACGGGGCGACUACCGUCAGCUUCAUUCGACAGAUCAUCUUCAAAUUUGGAGUCCCUCACGACAUCAUCACCGACAAUGGAACCAACUUCGACUCGGAGGAAUUCCGCGAGUUCUGUCACUCCCAAGGCACACAGGGGAUAGGNNNNNNNNNNNNNNNNNNNNNNNNNNNNNNNNNNNNNNNNNNNNNNNNNNNNNNNNNNNNNNNNNNNNNNNNNNNNNNNNNNNNNNNNNNNNNNNNNNNNGUUUUGUCUUAGUAACGACGGUAGCAUUAUGAGGUGAGUCUCUCACUAAAAUUUACUAAGACGAAAUUAGUGUUCUCCCCGACCUGUGCACCGUUGCGACAGUUCUUCGUUUCGUAGACACCACGUGAUGAUCGGGUGUGAUAGACUCAACGUUCACAUACAACGGGUGCAAAACAGUUGCACACGCAGAACACUCGGGUUAAGCUUGACGAGCCUAGCAUGUGCAGACAUGGCCUCGGAACACGUGAGACCGAAAGGUCGAGCAUGAAUCGUAUAGUUGAUAUGAUUAGCAUAGGGAUGCUUACCACUGAAACUAUUCUCGACUCACGUGAUGAUCGGACUUGAGAUAGUGGAUUUGGAUCAUGUACCACUCAAAUGACUAGAGAGAUGUACUUUUUGAGUGGGAGUUCUUAAGUAAUAUGAUUAAUUGAACUAAUUUUCAUGAACAUAGUCUAAUGGUCUUUGCGAAUUACGAUGUAGCUUGCGCUAUAGCUCUACUGUUUUUUUAUGUUCCUAGAGAAAAUUUAGUUGAAAAUUGAUAGUAGCAACCUUUGCAGACUGAGUCUGUAAAACCGAGGAUUGUCCUCGUUGCUGCGCAGAAGGCUUAUGUCCUUAAUGCACCACUCGGUGUGCUGCACCUCGAGCGUCGUCUGUGGAUGCUGUGAACAUCCGACAUACACGUUUCUGAUGACUACACGAUAGUUCAGUGCAAAGUACUUAAUGGCUUAGAAGCAAGGCACACGAGGGGAUAGGNNNNNNNNNNNNNNNNNNNNNNNNNNNNNNNNNNNNNNNNNNNNNNNNNNNNNNNNNNNNNNNNNNNNNNNNNNNNNNNNNNNNNNNNNNNNNNNNNNNNCUUUGAUUAUAUCUUCGAGAAGUUCUUCCUCUUCGAGGUUCCUGAUAUGUGGAUCCCUAGUUCUGCAAAAAACGGACAUUUGAUUAACUAAUAAACUAACAAACUAUAUAAGAGGGGUUGGAAACUUCGAAGUGUCGUUUUAUAUAGGAGGACCUUUAGUCCCGGGUCUUGGCUAGAACCUAAACUUCGAAGUUCUAUUAAUUUUCUUGCUAAAAAUAAACUAUUAACACUUAAGCAUAUACAAUAGCAAAAUUAAACUAUUAACACUUCAGCAUAUACAAUAGCAAAAUUAAGCAAUAAUCUAAGAAACACUAUUAACACUUAAGCAUAUACACUAUACAAUAGCAAAAUUAAAUGACAAAAAAUAUAUUUCUUCUUCUUGUAACCCUAAACUAAUUUUUCCUCUUCUUCUAUUUCUCCUCUUCUUCUAUUUCUUAUUCUACUUCUACUUCUCCUCUUCUUCUACUACUUCUCCUCUUCUCUUCUUCUACUUCUCCUCUCCUCCUCUUCUAAUUUUUCUCUUCUUCUACUUCUCCUCUUCUUCUUAUUUUCCUCUUCUUCUCCUCUCCUCCUCUUCUUAUUCUCCUUUUCUUCUUUUCUUCUCCUCCUCUUUUAUUUUCCUUUUCUAAUUCUACAUUAUUACUAACCUAAUAAUCUAGCACAAACCUAAUAACAAKDGASGUAMRUUAAAUAGAAAACUAAAAAAAAUUUACUUUUUUCUUUCCUUUUUCCCUUUUCCCUUUUUUCCCUUUCCCCUUUUCCUUUCCUUUCCCUUUUUUCCUUUCCCUUUUCCUUUCCUUUCCCUUUUUUCCUUUCCCUUUUUCCCUUUUCCCUUUUUUAUUUUACUUUUUCCUUUCCUUUCCCUUUUUUACUUUUACUUUUUCCUUUCCCUUUCCCCUUUUUCCCCUUUUUUCCUUUCCCNNNNNNNNNNNNNNNNNNNNNNNNNNNNNNNNNNNNNNNNNNNNNNNNNNNNNNNNNNNNNNNNNNNNNNNNNNNNNNNNNNNNNNNNNNNNNNNNNNNNAAACUUUAAUAGCAAAAAGAAUUAUCAUAAAAUAAAAUUAAUAAGUAAUUAUAAACAAAACAAAAUAAAAUAAAUAAGUAUUUUGUUGUAAGUAGAAACAAAACAAAAUAAGCUAGCUAGCACUUUGAAUUUAAGUAGAAACAAAACAAAAUAAACAAAAGAAAAAAUAAAAGAAAAAUAAUCAAUAAAUGCAACUAAAAUUAUCAAAGUAUUUUCUGUUAAAAAUCAUUAAAAGGAAAAGAAUUUUCAUAAAGAACUUUUUUUGUUAGAAACUUUAAUGGACAAAAAUAAUUAUCAUGAAAUAAAAUAAAUAAGUAAUUAGAAAACAAAAAAAUAAAAUAAUAAGUAUUUUGUUGUAAGGAGAAACAAAACAAAAUAAGCUAAACUAAAAAAAUAAACAAAACUAAAAUAAAAGAAAAAACAAAACUAAAAUUAAAUAGGAAAAAAAUUAAAAAAUAAGAUGUUCUCUCCACGUUGCAGCCGCGGCGGAGCUUAUAAACNGGCUCGGAAGUCCUUCGCUUGACACNNNNNNNNNNNNNNNNNNNNNNNNNNNNNNNNNNNNNNNNNNNNNNNNNNNNNNNNNNNNNNNNNNNNNNNNNNNNNNNNNNNNNNNNNNNNNNNNNNNNGGUCCGUUCUUGGCAACAAAGGUUUUACCUUCGGAUCUAAGAUAGAAGGUAUACCCAAUAGUUUCCUUAGGGUAUCCUAUGAAUACGCAUUUCUCCGCUUUGGGUUCGAGCUUUUUUUGGUUGAAGUUUCUUCACAUAAGCAUCGCAGCCCCAAACUUUAAGAAACGACAACUUAGGUUUCUUGCCGAACCAUAGUUCAUACGGUGUCAUCUCAACGGAUUUAGACGGUGCCCUAUUUAAAGUGAAUGCUGCAGUUUCUAAUGCGUAUCCCCAAAAUGAUAGCGGUAAGUCGGUAAGAGACAUCAUAGAUCGUACCAUAUCUAAUAAAGUGCGAUUACGAUGUUCAGACACUCAGUUGCGUUGCGGUGUGCCAAGCGGUGUCAGUUGUGAAACGAUUCCACACUUCCUUAGGUGUGUGCAAAACUCGUGACUCAAAUAUUCUCCUCAUGAUGAGAUCGUAGACACUUUAUUUUUCUGUCACGUUGAUUCNCGACCUCACUCUGAAAUUCCUUGUAACUUUUCAAAUGUCUCAGUAUUUGUGCUUCAUACAAGUAGAUACUACCCAUACCUACUNNNNNNNNNNNNNNNNNNNNNNNNNNNNNNNNNNNNNNNNNNNNNNNNNNNNNNNNNNNNNNNNNNNNNNNNNNNNNNNNNNNNNNNNNNNNNNNNNNNNAGUCCUCAUUCUACGCAAAUCCAAAUGCCCUGAAAAUCAACAUGGUAUUUUUUGGGAAUAUAUAAAAAAUACUGGGCGAAAGGAGUACGAGAGGGGAGCUACCAGGAGCCCACAAGCCCGGUAGCCGCCACCUACCCCCCUGGCGGCGGCUACAGGGCUUGUGGGCACCAUGGCGGACCACUGGCCCCCCUCUUUUGCUAUAUGAAGGGUUUCGUCCGAGAAAAAAUCAGGGUGGAGCUUUUUCGUGGAUUCUCCGCCGCCACGAGGCCGAAGUUGAGCAGAACCAUUCUAGAGCUCCCGCAGGACGAUCCUGCCGGGGAAACUUCCCUCCCUGAGGGGGAAAUCAUCGCCAUCGUCAUCACCAACACUCCUCUCGUCGGAGGGAGUCAUCUCCAUCAACAUCUUCAUCAGCACCAUCUCCUCUCCAAACCCUGUUCAUCUCUUGUAACCAAUCUACNUCUCGCACUCCAAUUGGUACUUGUAAGGUUGCUAGUAGUGUUGAUUACUNUUUGUAGUUGAUGCNNNNNNNNNNNNNNNNNNNNNNNNNNNNNNNNNNNNNNNNNNNNNNNNNNNNNNNNNNNNNNNNNNNNNNNNNNNNNNNNNNNNNNNNNNNNNNNNNNNNCGGGUACACCACUACUACUUAAGUUAGGGAAAGUAACUACUAUUGGAUAGGUCGGUAAUAACCGAAACCCCUAAAACUUAAAGUAACGGUAACGUACGACUAGUUUGGUUAGUACGUCGGUUCGUACUUUAGUUUUUGGUUGUACUACGUUUUCGUUUUACGUCGGUCGGUUCGUAACGUAAGUUUAAUUUUACCUUACCUUGUCCGACCUAGUAGAAGUACCAUAUAACYCACUGACACCGGAGGAAUGCUUUGUGUGUAUCAAACGUCGCAACGUAACUGGGUGACUAUAAAGAUGCUCUACAGGUAUCUCCGAAGGUGUUAGUUGAGUUAGUAUGGAUCAAGACUGGGAUUUGUCACUCCGUGUGACGGAGAGGUAUCUCGGGGCCCACUCGGUAAUACAACAUCACACACAAGCCUUGCAAGCAAUGUAACUUAGUGUAAGUUGCGGGAUCUUGUAUUACGGAAUGAGUAAAGAGACUUGCCGGUAACGAGAUUGAAAUAGGUAUGCGGAUACUAACGAUCGAAUCUCGGGCAAGUAACAUACCGAAGGACAAAGGGAAUGACAUACGGGAUUAUAUGAAUCCUUGGCACUGAGGUUCAAACGAUAAGAUCUUCGUAGAAUAUGUAGGAUCCAAUCGUGGGCAUCCAGGUCCCGCUGUUGGAUAUUGACCGAGGAGUCUCUCGGGUCAUGUCUACAUAGUUCUCGAACCCGCAGGGUCUGCACACUNNNNNNNNNNNNNNNNNNNNNNNNNNNNNNNNNNNNNNNNNNNNNNNNNNNNNNNNNNNNNNNNNNNNNNNNNNNNNNNNNNNNNNNNNNNNNNNNNNNNCUCGUUACCGGCAAGUCUCUUUACUCAUUCCGUAAUACAAGAUCCCGCAACUUACACUAAGUUACAUUGCUUGCAAGGCUUGUGGGUGAUGUUGUAUUACCGAGUGGGCCCCGAGAUACCUCUCCGUCACACGGAGUGACAAAUCCCAGUCUUGAUCCAUACUAACUCAACUAACACCUUCGGAGAUACCUGUAGAGCAUCUUUAUAGUCACCCAGUUACGUUGCGACGUUUGAUACACACAAAGCAUUCCUCCGGUGUCAGUGAGUUAUAUGAUCUCAUGGUCAUAGGAAUAAAUACUUGACACGCAGAAAACAGUAGCAAMMAAAUGACACGAUCAACAUGCUACGUCUAUUAGUUUGGGUCUAGUCCAUCACAUGAUUCUCCUAAUGAUGUGAUCCCGUUAUCAAGUGACAACACUUGUCUAUGGCCAGGAAACCUUGACCAUCUUUGAUCAACGAGCUAGUCAACUAGAGGCUUACGUAGGGACUAGGUUGUUUUGUCUAUGUACUCCNNNNNNNNNNNNNNNNNNNNNNNNNNNNNNNNNNNNNNNNNNNNNNNNNNNNNNNNNNNNNNNNNNNNNNNNNNNNNNNNNNNNNNNNNNNNNNNNNNNNAAAUUUGAUGAACUCUUUUAAAAUUCAAUAAACUUUCUUUCAAAAUCGGUGAACUUUUUUCUAAAAUCGGUGAACUUUUUUCAAAAUUGGUGAAUUUUUUUCAAAAUUCAAUAUUUUAUUUUCAAAAUCAUGAUCUUUUAUUAAAAUCGAUAGACUUUUUCAAAUUUGAUGAACUUUUUUCAAAAUUGAUGUUUCCAUAUUAGAUAUUUAUUUUGAAAUAUACUGAACAUUUUCAAAUUUAACGACUCUUUUGCAAAUUCAAUGAACUUUUCUUUUUCAAAUUUGAUGAUUUUUCUCAAAAUCGAUGAACUUUUUUUACAUUCAAUUGUUUUUCAAAUUACAUUAUUUUUUUCAAUUUCAAUGAACUUUUUUCAAACUUGAUUAACUUUUUUUCAAAAUUAUUGAACUUUUUAACAUUUUGAUGAACCUAUUUUAUAAAUUGAUGAACUCUUUUUAAAAUGCGAUGAACUUUUUUCAAUUCGAUGAAUAUCAUAUUUUCAAAUUGAAUGAUUUUUUUCAAUUUGAUGAACAAAUUUCAAGUCCUAUAAUUUUUUUCAAAUUUAUGAACUUUUUUCAUAUUUGUGAAAGAAAUAUACAAAAUCGAUAUUUUUUUUAGAAUUAAUCUAUGAACUUUUCUAACAAAAGUAUUCAAAAUUGAAAAAAAGGCGGUCAAUCUUUUUUCCGAACCACAAUGGCAGCACAGCCGAAGAACUAAUCCAGCGAGGCGAGUUAGUUUCUUUUCAGCGGUCGAGCGAACCGACAAGGAGCCAUGUUUUUAAUGGGCCCCGUUUUUGGAAGCUUUCCGGCCUGGGUAUGAAGCUUCGAGAACCUUCCGGUCGGUUUGUUUUUUGGUUUUUGAAAACUUGGCUUUGUUUUUUUGUGUGCUUUUUUAAUUUGCUUUUUUAAUGCUUGAACUUCAUAGGAAACUGAAAACUUUUACAAAUUUGUGAUUUGGUUUUGAAUUUUAUGAGCUUUUCCUAAUCCGCAAAAAAAUUCAGUUCCGCUAUUUCGAGUGAUCUUUUUCUUGAUUUAAUGAACUUUUUUCAGUUUUUGCUAACCUUUUAGUGAAGCUCUAAAAUUUUUACAAACUUUUAAGUAACCUGAUUAUAUUUAUAUAAAAUGUUCCUCUAUCAGAAGAUAGUUAAUGUGUUUGAAAAGAAUAGUAUAUAAAAAGAUCAUCAUGUUUGGAGAAAGUCGUACGACCUUUUAUGUGUGAAUAGAGAUUGUCGUACAUUAUCUUCAUAAAUUUUGAAAGAAAAUCAUGCACACCACUUCUUAAAAAAAUUCAUGUACUUGACCCCUUACGGAUUGUACAUUAGGGAUAGGCCUAUAAACCUUUUCCCCAAGACCCACCUAAGGCCCCAUACGAACAUCAAUGUCCUACAAGUCACCGGUGCAGUUUCGACCUCAUUCGAUACAACGUGUCCUCAGUCGGCUUACAUGAAGUCAUUCGGAUCACCUUGUGUCAGUGGGACGCACCAUGGUACUCGAACCACAGCAAGACGAUGACACCGAAUAGGCUACAACGACUAAGGACUUCAACUAUCACAUGAAGUGCAGUGAAGACCCGCGUUACAUGUAACGCUAGGAGUUAUAACUCUCGUUUCUAGUAACUCCCUUAUUUAUUAGCAUUAAUUCACCUUGUAGUGAAGCUUAGCCGGUCAUGGCAUACUCUAUAUAGGCCACUCCCGGGCUCGAGUUCAAGGGUUCAGCACCUUGUAAUCUCACAUACCCCAUAAGAAAACAUGAGCCUCAAGGCUCGAGACGUAGGGUUGUUACCACUUCCGAAUGGGGCCCAAACUCGUACAUCCGAGUGUAUUCAUAGGGCUUAGUUAGGCUUCGCCCCUCCGUUCGUACCCCCACUACUAUUAUCAGGGUCAUUUCCAGACACUUGGCGCACACCGUGGGGCUGCGUGUCUAGCAAAUCCAACAUGAUGACACUCGGCGGAGAGAUCCUCUUCGGUUCCCUCACCUUCGUUGUCGUGGGAAUGAUCCUGACAAUAGUACGAGGGGUACGAACUAAGGGGCGAAGUCUAGCUAGGCGCAGUGGAUACACUUGGAUGUACAAGUUCGGGCCCCACUGGGAAGUGGUAAAGACCCUACAUCUCAAGCCGUGAGGCUCGUGAUUUCUUAUGGGGUAUCUGAAAGUACAAAAUGCUUAACCCUUGAGGGGGAGCCCAGGAGUGGCUUAUAUAGAGUGUGCCACGACCGACCGAGCACCGUCACUAGGGUAUUUAAUGCUAAUAACUACGUGAUUUACUAAAAACGGUGGCUUUAAUUACAACGUUACACGUAACAUGGGUCUUCACGCAGGUGUUUAAGUCCUUGGCAAUUGUGAUGGGGAACGUUGCAUGGAAAACAAAAAAUUUCGUACGCAAACGCAAUACCUAUCCAUGGUGAUGAUCAUCUACGAGAGGGGAGAGUAAAUAUACAUACCCUUGUAGAUCGCUAAGCGGAAGCGUCUAUAACGCGAUUGAUGUAGUGGAACAUCUUCGCGAUCCAAAUCACAGCCCUUCCUGCGAUCUCAUCACGAUCCAUCCCGAUCUAGUGCCGAACGGAUGGCACCUCCGCGUUCAGCACACGUACAACUCGAUGACAAUCCCCGUCUCCUUGAUCUAGCAAGAGGGGCGGAGAGGUAGAUGCAUUGUCCAACACGACGGCGUGGUGGUGGUGGUGGUGGAAAAUCUAGCAGGGCUUCGCCAAGAGGUGCGAAACUAAUCUAGAGAAGAAAACGAUCUAGAGAGAGAGACGACAUCACGUGGCUAAUUAGGGACUCCUUCCUAAUUUGGAAACUCUUUCCACCUUUUGGCUUUUUGCUUUAUCCCUCCACUCGAGCCGCAUGGGCCCUUAGGGGAGGCUUCGGCCAGCCCACCAGGGGCUGGUCUGCCUCCUCUCACAGCCCAUGAAACCCUUGGGUCAUCACACCCAUCCCGGUGGUCCCUCGGUACCCUCCCGGUACUCCUGGUAUACUACCGAUGAGUCCAAAACUUUUUCGGAGACCAAAACAGGACUUCCUAUAUAUCAAUCUUUACCUUCGGACCAUUCCGGAGCUCCUCGUGACGUCCAGGAUCUCAUUUGAGAUUCCAAACAACCUUUGGUCACCAACACCUAUAACUCAACUAUACCGAAACGUCAUCGAACCUUAAGUGUGCACACCCUGCGGGUUUGAGAACUAUGUAGACAUGACCCGAGACAUUCUCCGGCCAAUAACCAAUAGCGUGACCUGGAUGCCCAUAUUGUCUCCCACAUAUUAUACAAAGAUAUUUAUCGGUUGAACCUCUAUGUCAAGGAUUCAAUUAAUCCCAUAUGUUGUUCCCUUUGUCCUUCGGUAUGUUACUUGCUCGAGAUUCAAUCAUCGGUAUCUCUAUACCUAGUUCAAUCUCGUUACCGGCAAGUCUCUUUACUCAUUCCGUAAUACAAGAUCCCGCGACUAACUCCUUAGUCACAUUGCUUGCAAGGAUUGUUGUGAUGUUGUAUUACCGAGUGGGCCCCGAGAUACCUCUCCGUCACACNNNNNNNNNNGUCAACCAAACAUACACCUUGUGUGAUCGUGUCAGUUUAUUGGUACUGUUUUCUGCAUGUCAAUGUAUUUGUUCCUAUGACCAUGAGAUCAUGCAACUCCCGGACACCGGAGGAAUACCUUGUGUGUAUCAAUCGUCAGAACGUAACUGGGUGACUAUAAAGGUGCUCUACAGGUAUCUCCGAAGGUGUCUGUUGGGUUGGUAUGGAUCAAGACUGGGAUUUGUCACUCCGUGUGAUGGAGAGGUAUCUCAGUGCCGACUCGGUAAUACAACAUCACAACAAGCCUUGCAAGCAAUGUGACUAAGGAGUUAGUCACAGGAUCUUGUAAUACGGAAUGAGUAAAGAGACUUGCCGGUAACGAGAUUGAACUAGGUAUAGAGAUACCGACGAUCGAAUCUCGGGCAAGUAACAUACCGAAGGACAAAGGGAACAACAUACGGGAUUAAUUGAAUCCUUGACAUAGAGGUUCAACCAAUAAAGAUCUUCGUAGAAUAUGUAUGAACCAAUAUGGUCAUCCAAGUCCUGCUAUUGGUUAUUGACCGUAGAAGUGUCUCGGUCAUGUCUGCAUAGUUCUCGAACCCACAGGGUCUGCACACUUAACGUUCGGUGACGCUAGAGUAGUAUUGGGAUAUGUAUGUUGGUGAAUGAAUGUUGUUCGUAGUCCCGGAUGAGCUCCUGGAUGUCACGAGGAGCUCCGGAAUGGUUCGGAGGUAAAGAUUUAUAUAUGGGAAGUCCUAUUUUGGCUACCGGAAAAGUUCCAGGUUUUAUCGCUAUUGUACCAGGAAGCUUCUGGAAGUUCCACAGGGUUCUAGAGGGUUCCGGAGGAGUCCGGAAGGUUCCCUCCAGCCCCUAGGACGUGCAUGGGCUUAAGGAGGUGUCCAAGCCUUGUUGGGCGAGCCCCCAAGGGCCCAUACGGUUGGGAGGAAAGAGUCCCUAAAGGGGAAGGCACCUCCUAGGUGCCAUGAGGAGGGAGGAAACCUCCCUAGGCCCACGCCCCCUCCUUGGAGGAGGGGCUAGGUAUGCGACCCAACCCUCCUCCUUGCCUCCCAUAUAUAGUGCGGGAGAGGGAGGGUCUGAACACACCAAUUCCCACACCACGGUGGCAGCCCUACCUCUCCCAUAACUCCGUUUUCUCCUCAGAUCAGUUCUGGCAGCGCUUUGCGAAGCCGUGCUGGCACUGCUCCACCAUCAUCUCCACCAUGCCGUCGUGUUGGUUGAGAUCCCAUAUACUUCUCCUUCCUCUCUUGCUGGAUCAAGAAGGAGGAGACGUCAUCGAGCCGUACGUGUGCUGAACGCAGAGGUGUCGUCCGUUCGGCACUAGAUCGGGACGGAUCGUGAUGGGAUCGUGGGACGGAUCAUAAUGAGAUCGCAGGACAGGCUGCGAUUUGGAUCGCGAAGAUGUUCCACUAUAUCAACCGCGUUAUAUAUAUGCUUCCACUUAGCGAUCUACAAGGGUAUGUAGAUGCACUCUCUCCUCUCGUAGAUGGUCAUCACCAUGGAUAGAUCUUGUGUGCGCGUAGGAAUUUUUUUAUUUCCCAUGCAACGUUCCCCAACAUGGAGGACUACCAAGUGGCCGUCCAGAUAGGUGGCGGCGACGACUACAUCACAAUGAAGCAUAUGCCCCUCAUGUUAGAAGGGUUGGCGAGGGCGUGGCUCAAUCAGCUUCCCUCCAGCAACAUCCAUAGCUGUGUUUACCUCACCUGAGUGUUCGUCAAGACCUUCGAGGGCACUUACAAGCGUCCAAGCGGCCUGACCGAGCUGCAACACUAUGUCGAGAAGAGCAAGGAGACUCUCACAGAGUACAGCCAGCGGUGGACCACACUGCACAACACGGUGGAGAAUGUCACCGAGCAUCAGGCCGUGUGCACUUCCAAAGAAGGCACUCAUCCUCAAGUUUGGCCGAUCAAGGGAUGUGUCCCUUAGUUGGGCCAUAGAAGUCGCUAAUCGGUAUGCGAAUGGCGAAGAAGAAGACUACCUCCGCAGCGGCAAAGGCCGAGCCAGCAAAGCCCCUUAGUCGGACAAUGCUGGGAAGAAGCACAAGCAAAAGGGCGACCCAUCGGGCAAAGCCGAAGUAGCUAUUGUCCCGGGGCAAAGCCAAAACAAGUCCAAGAAGAAGAAAAAAUAUUGGGUAGGCAAGAAGAAGGCCAAGUCCAAGAGCAACCUUUUGGAUCAGCCGUAUCCAAUUCAUGCUAGGAACGACAAAGAUGAGGAGACCAUCCCUGCCAAGCACACGACUCGAGAUUGCCGCUUCCUCCAGAAGGAGAUGAGCGGAGAACCCUCCGGGGACAAAGAGUAUGAGGAUGACCCAGAGGAUGCCUCCGGGUACCCGAAUAUCGAGGGGACCCUCAUGAUCUUUAAUAAUGUCGAGAGCAAGAGCCAAUUGAAAGUUAUCAACCGGGAAGUGAACAUGGCAGCCCCGGCUAUCAUGAAAUACCUCGACUGGGCGAAGACGCCCGUCACAUUUGACCAAUCGGAUCACCCGACCAACAUUGCCACCCCUGGGAGGUAGGCGUUGGUGCUUGAUCCAGCGGUCAAUGGGUACCGACUGUGGAAAGCCCCCAUGGACGGUGGCAGUGGCCUUAACAUCAUAUACAUCGACACUCCAAAGCUAUGGACAUUCCGUUGUCCCGGUUGAGCAAGAGUGACAUGCAAUUUCAUGGGGUCAUCCCCGGAAAGAAGACCGAAUCACUUGGGCAGAUCACCCUGAAUGUCGUAUUCGGCAGCGAGAAGAAUUACCGAAAGGAGAGGUGGACCUUUGAAGUGGUCGACUUUCAAAGUGCCUAUCACGCCAUCCUGGGUAGGCCCACUAACGCUCGUUUCAUGGCCUGUCCAUGUUACGUGUGUCUUAAGCUUAAGAUGCCAGGGACAAAAGACGUGAUCACGGUGACUGUCAAUCGAAAGGUCGUUGAAGAGUGCCUCCAGCAAGGUUCAAGGAUCGCCAACGAGCAGGUCCUCGCUGUCGAGAUCGAUGGGUACAAGAAGGAAGUGGAUACCGCAAACCUUCUCAAGUCAAAACGGCCGGCUACUGAGUCCUCCUUUCACUCGGCUGGUGAGAAGAACCAGGUCCACGUCCAUCCAACCGAUCCGAGUGUUUCCGCGACAAACAUCUCCACUUCACUCGGAGAAAAUAGGAAGCCCAACUCAUCAAGUUCCUCUGUGAGAACUAGGAUAUCUUCACAUGGAAGCCAUCUCACAUGCGGGGGUUCCCAGGGAACUAGCUGAGCACCGCCUCCGAGUGGAAUCAAAGGUCAAGCCCGUCAAGGAACACCUGCGCCGCUCCUCCAUGGAGAAGCAUAGGGCGAUUGGCGAGGAGACCGCUUGGCUCCUAGAUGUCGAGUUCAUCCACGAGGUUUACCACUCUGAGUGGUUGGCGAACGUGGUCAUGGUGCCAAAGAAGAACAGUUCACUACGAAUGUGUAUUGACUUCAAGCAUCUCAAUCGGCCUUCCCGAAGGACCACUUCCCUCUACCUCGCAUAGAUGAAAUCAUAGAUUCAACUACCGGAUUUGAACGAUUGUCGUUCCUGGAUGCGUACUCUCGGUACCACGAGAUCCGAAUGUAUGAAACUGAUGAAAUAAAAAAACCUUCAUGACCCCGUUCAGGUGUUUUUCCUACAUCACGAUGCCAUUCGGCCUCAAGAAUGCCGGAGCCACUUUCCAGUGCAUGAUCCAAAAGUGCUUACAAGAACUAUUCAGUCGGAACAUUGAAGAAUACAUGGACGACAUCGUGGUUAAGUCCAGGAAAGGUUUCGACCUUCUGGCCGACCUCGCCGAAACCUUUGCGAACCUUUGAUGCUUCGGGAUUAAGCUCAGUCCAGCCAAAUGCACCUUCUGUGUUGCGGCUAGAAAGCUACUCGGUUUCCUCGUUUCCGAACGAGGCAUCGAUGCCAAUCCCGACCAGAUCGGUGCCAUCGUCCAGAUGAGACGUCCAGAGCGCAUCCAUGACGUGCAAAGGCUUAUGGGUUGCCUUGCAGCCCUGAGCUGCUUCAUCUUGAGACUCGAUGAGAAGGCUGUGCCUCUUUACUGAUUGAUGAAGAAAUCCAACAUAUUCGAGUGGACCAACGAGGCACAGGUCGCAUUCGACCAACUCAAAUCUCUCCUUUCCACCCAACCGGUGUUAGCUGCUCCAAGCAGCCAGGAGCCCUUUCUCCUGUACAUUAUUGCCACUAGCCAACUGGUUAGCACCAUACUCAGUGUAGAGCUUGAGAAAGCGGGCAAUGCGUACAAGGUACAAAGGCCCAUUUACUACAUCUCUGAGGUACUAACCCCCUCAAAGCAAAGAUAUCCACACUACGAGAAGCUGGUUUAUGGGAUCUACCUGAUAGUAAAGGAGUUAGUCCACUAUUUCCAAGAUCACUCGGUCACUGUCAUCAGUGACGCCCCCUGGAGGAAAUCCUACACAAUCGGGACGCUACCGGCACAGUGGCCAAAUGGGUGAUUGAGCUCCUCCCGCUGGAGAUCAAAUUCAAAGCCAAGAAGGCGAUCAAGUCUCAUGCCUUGGUGGACUUCCUGGACGAAUGGAUAGAGCAAGAAGAACCGGCUCGUAGCAUCCCUGAGCAUUGGACCAUGCUCUCCGAUGGAUCCAAAAUGCUCCAUGGCUCGGGGGCUGGAGUGAUUAUCGUUUCCCCCAGGGGAGCCCGACUCAACUAUGUGCUCCAAAUCCACUUCGAUUCAUCCAACAACGAGGUCGAGUACGAGCCCUCUUGUAUGGGCUCCGCAUGGCUAUCUCACUUUGCAUUCGACAUUUGAUGGUCUAUGGCGACUUGGAUCUCGUUGUCAAUCAAGUAAUGAAGGAAUGGGACAUUCGAAGUCCAGCAAUGACAGUCUACUGCAACACAGUCAAGAAACAGGAGAAAAACUUCGAAGGGUUGGAACUACACCACGUGCACCGAGCCAAGAAUCAAGCGACCGAUGACUUGACAAAGAUCGGAUCCACUCGGAAGGUCAUUCCAAAGGGCGUGUUCCUCAAACAUUUACGCACUCCCUCGGUCAAGGAAGAUCCCUUCACAGAAGAGCCCCCACAAGCAAUCAGUCCAUCUAAUCCGAUUGAGAUCGACGUCCCGACGGUGGUCGACCUCGUCCAUAAGAUGUUGGUCAUCACACCCGAACAGACAUAGCCUUAUCUGGCUUACUUGCUCCGACAAGAGCUCCAUGAAGACAAAGAGGAAGCCCACCAAAUCGUUCGGCGGUCUAAAGCUUUCGAAGUACUCGGAGACAAGCUGUACAAGAAGAGUGUUACAGGAGUCAGUCAAAAGUGCAUUUCCCCACAGGAAGGACUACAGAUCUUGCACAAGAUCCACUCGGGAACCUAUGGACAUCAUGCGUCCCCUCGGACCAUGGUGGCCAAGGCCUUCCGAGCAGGUUUUUAUUGGCCUCGAGACAACGAGGGAGCAAAAUACUUGGUCGAUCUGUGCGUUGGAUGCGAGUUCUACAAGAAUCAGUCGCACAAGCCUGCAUCCAUGCUGAAAAUGAUUCCACUCACUUGGCCAUUCACCGUGUGGGGUAUUGACUUGGUCGGCCCUUUGUGCACCAGGACCAGUGGAUUUAGCCACCUGCUAGUUGUAGUGGAUAAGUUCACCACGUGGGUCGAAGCUAAACCCAACAAAAGCAUGGACGGGGCGACUACCGUCAGCUUCAUUCGACAGAUCAUCUUCAAAUUUGGAGUCCCUCACGACAUCAUCACCGACAAUGGAACCAACUUCGACUCGGAGGAAUUCCGCGAGUUCUGUCACUCCCAAGGCACUCGAGUUAAUUACGCCUCUGUGGCGCACCCGCAGUCGAAUGGGUAGGUAGAAUGGGUGAAUGGUAUGAUACUUCAGGGAUUGAAACCUCGACUGAUGAGAGAUCUCAAAUAUGCCUCACGAGCAUGGGUAGAAGAAUUACCAUCCGUCUUGUGGGAUAUGCGAAUGACUCUGAAUCGUUCAACCAAGUGUACUAUUUCUUCAUGGUGUAUGGGUCGGUAGCCAUUCUGCCAAGUGACUUACGUCACAACUCCCCCUGAGUGGAGCAGUACAACGAAGCUGAAGCCGAAGCAGCACACCAAGACAAUUUGGAUCUUCUGGAGAAAGAGAGAGAGAUGGACCUCAUUCGGUCCACAUUGUACCAGUAAGACCUAUGGCUCCACCAUGACAAUCAAGUCAUGGGCCGAGCAUUUCAAGAGGGCGACUUGGUCCUCCGACUGGACCAACAGAAACCCCACAAGCUGGCACCUCCGUGGCAAGGGCCAUNNNNNNNNNNNNNNNNNNNNNNNNNNNNNNNNNNNNNNNNNNNNNNNNNNNNNNNNNNNNNNNNNNNNNNNNNNNNNNNNNNNNNNNNNNNNNNNNNNNNUGUGAAGUUGAGUCUAUCACACCCGAUCAUCACGUGGUGUCUCAAAAUGACGAACUGUAGCAACGGUGCACAGUCGGGGAGAACACAAUUUCGUCUUGAAAUUUUAGUGAGAGAUCACCUCAUAAUGCUACCGUCAUUCUAAGCAAAAUAAGGUGCAUAAAAGGAUUAACAUCACAUGCAAUUCAUAAGUGACAUGAUAUGGCCAUCAUCACGUGCUUCUUGAUCUCCAUCACCAAAACACCGGCAUGAUCUUCUUGUCACCGGCGCCACACCAUGAUCUCCAUCAACGUGUUGCCAUCGGGGUUGUCGUGCUACUCAUGCUAUCACUACUAAAGCUACAUCCUAGCAAAAUAGUAAACGCAUCUGCAAGCACAAACGUUAGUAUAAAGACAACCCUAUGGCUCCUGCCGGUUGCCGUACCAUCGACGUGCAAGUCGAUAUUUCUAUUACAACAUGAUCAUCUCAUACAUCCAAUAUAUCACAUCACAUCAUUGGCCAUAUCACAUCACAAUCAUACCCUGCAAAAACAAGUUAGACGUCCUCUAAUUUUGUUGUUGCAUAUUUUACGUGGUGACCAAGGGUAUCUAGUAGGAUCGCAUCUUACUUACGCAAACACCACAACGGAGAUAUAUGAAUUGCUAUUUAACCUCAUCCAAGGACCUCCUCGGUCAAAUCCGAUUCAACUAAAGUUGGAGAAACCGUCACUUGCCAGUCAUCUUUGAGCAAAGGGGGUUACUCGUAACGAUGAAACCAGUCUCUCGUAAGCGUACGAGUAAUGUCGGUCCAAGCCGCUUCAAUCCAACAAUACCGCGGAAUCAAGAAAAGACUAAGGAGGGCAGCAAAACGCACAUCACCGCCCACAAAACCUUUUGUGUUCUACUCGAGAAGACAUCUACGCAUGAACCUAGCUCAUGAUGCCACUGUUGGGGAACGACGCAUGGGAAACAAAAAUUUCCUACGCGCACGAAGACCUAUCAUGGUGAUGUCCAUCUACGAGAGGGGAUGAGUGAUCUACGUACCCUUGUAGAUCGUACAGCAGAAGCAUUAGCGAACGCGGUUGAUGUAGUGGAACGUCCUCANNNNNNNNNNGUGAUUAUUUUGAGCUAUAAGACCAUGAAAUUGAAAAGCAUUUCGAAUAAACUCUGAAAAGGUUCCAAGUUGGCAUGGUAUCAUCAUUUCACCCACAUAGCAUGUGCGAGAAAGUUGAGAGGGUUACGACAAAAACUGGAUGCACUUUGUGUACAAAACGGACAAAUCUCUUUCGAAGUAUCAGGGUUUCAUACGGAAACUCGUCUGUUGCAAAGGGAUUUCAUUUUUUUGAACUUAUUUGUGUUGGGGAACGACGCAUGGGAAACAAAAAUUUCCUACGCGCACGAAGNNNNNNNNNNNNNNNNNNNNNNNNNNNNNNNNNNNNNNNNNNNNNNNNNNNNNNNNNNNNNNNNNNNNNNNNNNNNNNNNNNNNNNNNNNNNNNNNNNAAUCCCGCGAUCAGUCCCACGAUCUAGUACCGAACGGACGGCACCUCCGCGUUCAGCACACGUACAGCUCGACGAUGAUCUCGGCCUUCUUGAUCCAGCAAGAGAGACGAAGAGGUAGAUGAGUUCUCCGGCAGCGUCACGGCGCUCCGGAGGUUGGUGGUGAUCUAAUCUCAGCAGGGCUCCGCCCGAGCUCCGCAGAAACGCGAUCUAGAGGAAAAACCGUGGAGGUAUGUGGUCGGGCUGCCGUGAAAAAGUCGUCUCAAAUCAGCCCUAAAACCUCCGUAUAUAUAGGUGGGAGAGGGGGGGCCUUGCCUUGGGGCUCAAGGAGCCCCAAGGGGGUCGGCCGAGUCNNNNNNNNNNNNNNNNNNNNNNNNNNNNNNNNNNNNNNNNNNNNNNNNNNNNNNNNNNNNNNNNNNNNNNNNNNNNNNNNNNNNNNNNNNNNNNNNNNNNGGAUUAUAUGAAUCCUUGGCACUGAGGUUCAAACGAUAAGAUCUUCGUAGAAUAUGUUGGAUCCAAUAUGGGCAUCCAGGUCCCGCUAUUGGAUAUUGACCGAGGAGUCACUCGCGUCAUGUCUACAUAGUUCUCGAACCCGCAGGGUCUGCACACUUAAGGUNNNNNNNNNNNNNNNNNNNNNNNNNNNNNNNNNNNNNNNNNNNNNNNNNNNNNNNNNNNNNNNNNNNNNNNNNNNNNNNNNNNNNNNNNNNNNNNNNNNNNNNNNNNNNNNNNNNNNNNNNNNNNNNNNNNNNNNNNNNNNNNNNNNNNNNNNNNNNAUGUCACGAGGGUUUCCGGAAUGGUCCGGAAACGAAGAUUGAUAUAUAGGAUGACCUCAUUUGAUUACCGAAAGGUUUUCGGAGUUACCGGGAAUGUACCGGGAAUGACGAAUGGGUUCCGGGUGUUCACCGGAGGGGGGCAACCCACCCCGGGGAAGCCCAUAGGCCUUGGGGGUGGCGCACCAGCCCUUAGUGGGCUGGUGGGACAGCCCAAGAAGGCCCUAUGCGCCAUAGGAAGAAAAUCAAAGAGAAAAGAAAAAAAAGGAGGAGGUGGGAAAGGGAAGAAGGACUCCACCCACCAAACCAAGUUGGACUCGGUUUGGGGGGGGAGACCUUCCCCCCUUUGGCUCNNNNNNNNNNNNNNNNNNNNNNNNNNNNNNNNNNNNNNNNNNNNNNNNNNNNNNNNNNNNNNNNNNNNNNNNNNNNNNNNNNNNNNNNNNNNNNNNNNNNUAAAUGAAGUCAUAAAGGGCUGUAAAUUGAUGAUGUGGCUUUGAAUGGUGCAUUUUGAACACAGAAAAACUAUGGAGUUCAAAUAAGUUCAAAAAAAUAAAAUCCCUUUGUAACAGACGAGUUUCUGUAUGAAACCCUGAUACUUCGAAAGAGAUUGUCCGUUUUGUACACGAAGUGCAUCCAGUUUUUGCCGUAACCCUCUCAACUUUCUCGCACAUGCUAUGUGGGUGAAAUGAUGAUACGAUGCCAACUUGGAACCUUUCCAGAGUUCAUUUGAAAUGCUUUUCAAUUUCAUGGUCUUAUAGCUCAAAAUAAUCAGUAAAUGCAUGAAAAAUAACAAAUGAAGUCAGAAAGGGUUGUAAAUUGAUGAUGUGGCUUUGAAUGGUGCAUUUUGAACACAGAAAAACUAUGGAGUUCAAAUAAGUUCAAAAAAUGAAAUCCCUUGUAACAGACGAGUUUCCGUAUGAAACCCUCAUACUUCGAAAGAGAUUGUGUGUUUUGUACACGAAGUGCAUCCAGUUUUGCCGUAACCCUCUCAACUUUCUUGCACAUGCUAUGUGGGUGAAAUGAUGAUACCAUGCCAACUUGGAACCUUAUCGAAGUUCAUUUCAAAUGCUUUUCAAUUUCAUGGUCUUAUAACUCAUAAUAAUCAAUAAAUGCAUGAAAAGUAACAAAUGAAGUCAGAAAGGGUUGUAAAUUGAUGAUGUGGCUUUGAAUGGUGCAUUUUGAACACACAAAAACUAUGGAGUUCAAAUUGUUGGAAAUAUGCCCUAGAGGCAAUAAUAAAUUAGUUAUUAUUAUAUNNNNNNNNNNACCAAGGUUACCUGGCCAUAGGCAAGUGUUGUUACUUGAUAACAGGAUCACAUCAUUAGGAGAAUCAUGUGAUGGACUAGACCCAAACUAAUNNNNNNNNNNUUCUUUGUUCAUAAUAACCGUUUAUUAUCCAUGCUAUAAUUGUAUUGAUUGGAAACACAAUACUUGUGUGGAUACAUAGACAAAACACUGUCCCUAGUAAGCCUCUAGUUGACUAGCUCGUUGAUCAAAGAUGGUCAAGGUUUCCUGGCCAUAGACAAGUGUUGUCACUUGAUAACGGGAUCACAUCAUUAGGAGAAUCAUGUGAUGGACUAGACCCAAACUAAUNNNNNNNNNNUGCUAUAAUUGUAUUGAAUGAAGACUCAUUUACAUGUGUGGAUACAUAGACAAAACACCGUCCCUAGCAAGCCUCUAGUUGGCUAGCCAAUUGAUCAAAGGUAGUCAGUGUCUUCUGAUUAAGAACAAGAUGUUGUUGCUUGAUAACUGGAUCACGUCAUUAGGAGAAUCACGUGAUGGACUAGACCCAAACUAAUAGACGUAGCAUGUUGAUCGUGUCAUUUUGUUGCUACUGUUUUCUGCGUGUCAAGUAUUUGUUCCUAUGACCAUGAGAUCAUAUAACUCACUGACACCGGAGGAAUGCUUUGUGUGUAUCAAACGUCGCAACGUAACUGGGNNNNNNNNNNAGUGUGUCAAGUAUUUAUUCCUAUGACCAUGAGAUCAUAUAACUCACUAACACCGGAGGAAUGCUUUGUGUGUAUCAAACGUCGCAACGUAACUGGGUGACUAUAAAGAUUCUCUACAGGUAUCUCCGAAGGUGUUAGUUGAGUUAGUAUGGAUCAAGACUGGGAUUUGUCACUCCGUGUGACGGAGAGGUAUCUCGGGGCCCACUCCGUAAUACAACAUCACACACAAGCCUUGCAAGCAAUGUGACUUAGUGUAAGUUGCGGGAUCUUGUAUUACGAAACGAGUAAAGAGACUUGCCGAUAAACGAGAUUGAAAUAGGUAUGCGGAUACUGACGCUCGAAUCUCGGGCAAGUAACAUACCGAAGGACAAAGGGAAUGACAUACAGGAUUAUAUGAAUCCUUGGCACUGAGGUUCAAACGAUAAGAUCUUCGUNNNNNNNNNNAGUAAAGAGACUUGCCGAUAAACGAGAGUGAAAUAGGUAUGCGGAUACUGACGAUCGAAUCUCGGGCAAGUAACAUACCGAAGGACAAAGGGAAUGACAUACGGGAUUAUAUGAAUCCUUGGCACUGAGGUUCAAACGAUAAGAUCUUCGUAGAAUAUGUAGGAUCCAAUAUGGGCAUCCAGGUCCCACUAUUUGAUAUUGACCGAGGAGUCUCUCGGGUCAUGUCUACAUAGUUCUCGAACCCGCAGGGUCUGCACACUUAAGGUUCGACGUUGUUUUAUGCGUAUUUGAGUUAUAUGGUUGGUUACCGAAUGUUGUUCGGAGUCCCGGAUGAGAUCACGGGCGUCACGAGGGUUUCUGGAAUGGUCCGGAAACGAAGAUUGAUAUAUACGAUGACCUCAUUUGAUUACCGGAAGGUUUUCGGAGUUACCGGGAAUGUACCGGGAAUGACGAAUGGGUUCNNNNNNNNNNAGUUCACCGGGGGGGCAACCCACCCCGGGGAAGCCCAUAGGCCAUAAGGGUGGCGCAUCAGCCCUUAGUGGGCUGGUGGGACAGCCCAAAAGGGCCCUAUGCGCCAUACAAAGAAAAAUCAAGGAGAAAGAAAAAAAAAAGGGAGGUGGGAAGGAAGGGAAGGACUCCCACCCACCAAACCAAGUCCAACUCGGUUUGGGGGGGAGCCUUCCCCCCUUGGACUCGGCCGACCCCCUUGGGGCUCCUUGAGCCCCAAGGCAAGGUCCCCUCCCUCCCACCUAUAUAUACGGAGGUUUUGGGGCUGAUUUGAGACGACUUUUCCACGGCAGCCCGACCACAUACCUCCACGGUUUUUCCUCUAGAUCGCGUUUCUGCGGAGCUCGGGCGGAGCCCUGCUGGGACAAGGUCAUCACCAACCUCCGGAGUGCCGUCACGCUGCCGGAGAACUCUUCUACCUCUCCGUCUCUCUUGUUGGAUCAAGAAGGCCGAGAUCAUCGUCGAGUUGUACGUGUGCUGAACGCGGAGGUGCCGUCCGUUCGGUACUAGAUCGUNNNNNNNNNNNNNNNNNNNNNNNNNNNNNNNNNNNNNNNNNNNNNNNNNNNNNNNNNNNNNNNNNNNNNNNNNNNNNNNNNNNNNNNNNNNNNNNNNNNNGGUCUGCUACAUUCAGAUCCGUGUGCACUUUACAAAUCUUUAUGUCAUCUUAUAGAUGCUGCUACUACGUGCUAUUCGGAAAUGCUCCAAAUAUCCACUCUACUAUAUGAAUCCGUUUCACUACUCAUAGUUAUUCAGAUUAGUGUCAAAGCUUGCAUCGACGUAACCCUUUACGACGAACUCUUUAACCACCUCCAUAAUCGAGAAAAAUUCCUUAGUCCAUUUGUUACUAAGGAUAAAUUUUGACCGCUGCUAGUGAUUCAAUCAUGGAUCACUCUCUGUACCCUCAACAGACUUUGAGUCAAGGUACACAUCAGGUGCGGUACACAGCAUGGCAUACUUUAGAUUCUACGGCUAAGGCAUAGAAGACGACCUUCGUCUAUUCUCUUUAUUCUGCCGUGGUCGGGUUUUGAGUCUUACUCAAAUUCACACCUCACAACGCAACCAAGAACUCCUUCUUUGCUGGUCUAUUUUGAACUCUUUCAAAAAACUUGUCAAGGCAUGCAUCUUGUUGAAACUUCUAUUAAGCGCUUUCGAUCUAUCUCCAUAGAUCUUUGAUGCUCAACGUUCANNNNNNNNNNNNNNNNNNNNNNNNNNNNNNNNNNNNNNNNNNNNNNNNNNNNNNNNNNNNNNNNNNNNNNNNNNNNNNNNNNNNNNNNNNNNNNNNNNNNCGAAUAGAUUACUCACGAACGAUGAAGAGCUUCAUGGAAUUGGAGAGGGAAGAAAGUUGAUGAUGACGAUGGCAACGAUCUCCUUGAUCCGGAGCCCAAAACGGACUCCAGAUCUGCCAUCCAGGGUAAGAACGGGAUGUGGCGGCGCCUGUGGAUCGAAAACGCGAUGAAAUCUUCUCUCUUGAUUUUUUUCCGGGACGAAAGGGAAUAAAUAGCGCUGGAAUUGGGGGCGGCAGAGCCACGUGGGCCCCACAAGCUUAGUAGCCGCGGCUAGGAGGGGAGGCCGCGGCUAUAGGUCUUGUGGCACACUGGCCCGUCCCCUCGAGUGGAUCUUUGCGCAGGUAUUUUUCAUAUUUUCCAUAAAUAUUCUCCGUAAAUUUUCAGGACGUUCCGAGAACUUUCAUUUCUGCACAAAAAUAACACCAUGGCAAUUCUGCUGAAAACAGCGUCAGUCCGGGUUAGUUCCAUUCAAAUCAUGCAAAUUAGAGUCCAAAACAAGGGCAAAAGAGUUUGGAAAAGUAGAUACGAUGGAGACGUAUCACCAGAAAAAACCCACAACUCGAAGAGAAUUACAAAGAUAUGAAAUCAUGCAUAAGAGAGAUCAGAAGAAACUCAAAUAAGAUUCAUAGAUAAUCUGAUCAUAAAUCCACAAUUCAUCGGAUCUCGACAAACACACCGCAAAAGAAGAUUACAUCAGAUAGAUCUCCAUGAAGAUCAUGGAGAACUUUGUAUUGAAGAUCCAAGAGAGAGAAGAAGCCAUCUAAUUACUAGCUAUGGACCCGUAGGUCUAUGGUGAACUACUCACGCAUCAUCGGAGAGGUCAUGGUGUUGAUGAAGAAGCCCUCCGUGUCCAAAUCCCCCCUCCGGCAGGGCACCAGAACGUGCCCCAGAUGGGAUCUUGCGGAGACAGAAGCUUGCGGUGGCGGAAAAGUACUUUCGAUGAUCUCCUGAUUAUUUUGAGAUUUUUAGGGAAUAUAUAGGCGCAACCCCUAGGUCAGGGGACGCUCAGGGGGCCCACAAGCCUGGAUGGCGCGGCCUCCCCCCUCGUCGCGGGGUGAGGGCUUGUGGGGCCCCUAGGGUUCCGCUGCCUUGGCUCGCAAACUCCCCGAUCUUCUUCCGUUCCAGAGAAAAUCUUUCCGGGGAUUUUCUUCCGUUUGGACUCCGUUUCAAAAUCUCCUCUGAAAGGGGUCAAAAACAUGGAAAAAACAGGAACUGACACUUGGCACUGAGUUAAUAAGUUAGUCCCAAAAAAUAAAUAAAAGGCAUGCAAAACAUCCAAAGUUUGACAAGAUAAUAGCAUGAAACCACCAAAAAUUAUAGAUACGUUGGAGACGUAUCAGCGUGUACGAAUUUUUUUGUUUCCCAUGUGACGUUCCCCAACAGCGCGCUGAGCGCACCCACUAGGUAUAGUCCCCGAGGCUGUCAUCGACUGAAGCAGUCGGCGGUAGUCUCAGUUUCCUUGUUUGUUCAAUAAAGGCUCGUAGGGUGUGGACCCCUUUUCUUUCCUCUAUCCCUCCUGUGGGGGGCGCUGAGCGCACCCACUUGGUGUAGUCCCCGAGGCUAUCGUCGACCGAAACAGUCGGUAGUAGUCUUACAGUUGCGAUAUUGUAUUUUGCUUUACUUGUGUUUGUUGAUGGCAGACUGCUUUUGUGCCCGGGGGCCAUGAUGAUGCCAUGGAGAAAGAGUUUCAGGGACUCCGACUCAGCCUUGACGCAGAAAAAGCCAAGAACAAGCGAGUGGAGAAGGAGAAACGGACAACUGAAGGUAAGCUUUUGUUGUCCAAUUGAUUCCCGCUUUGGUUGUCUUUCCUAUCCGAUUGAGUUUGUCUUGUGAGGUCGCCUUUCUGAGAGGCUGAAGAAUUACAUUUCUCUAGUUACCAUGGAGGACGCUCUCGAGAAGAGGGAUGAAGAGCUCGCGCUGGCUUGGAAGGAGGACAAGUUGAAGACCCAGGCGGUCGAAGCCAAGCUUAAAACGGUUGGAAUGCUUGAAGAAGAUAAUCGGCUUCUAAAGGCCGGUGCGAAGAAAACUGAUGCAGAGCUUGCCGAGCUGAAGAGGCAUUAUGCCGAGUGGGAGGCCAAAUUUGAGAAAGUCACCGCCAAGAAAGAUGAGCUGGAGAAGGUCAUUGAGGACUUCAGCGUGGAACACUACGAGAAGCUUAAAGGUAUGUUAAGUGUCGGAAUGCUUUCCUAUUGCCACUUUGCAAUUUCCGAGUGACGUUCUCUCAUCCUUUUGUUUUCUCACUAAAUUCAGCCUUCUCCGCUGAUGUCGAAGAAGAGACGAUGCGAAUAGAGAAAGAGCUUGAUCCCAAGAGAUGGCUUCUGAAGGAUAGCGCUGCAUUGGCUCUCCUCAGGCUGGAGGCUUGCGUCGAUUAUGUAUUGGGAUGUUUCAAAUGGCUCCAGCUGGCCGUUGGGGAUAUAGAACAGGAGAAAACCCUUGAUGAUGUAUCCCUGAAGGACACCUAGACCAUCGUGAACCGUGUGAAGGCCAUCCCCAAUGAACUCAAGUCUUGGAAGAAGUCAUCGUCAAGGGCCGGAGCCGACAUCGCCCUUUCGCUCGUUUGCAUCCAUUGUAAAGGGGUGGAUGAAGAGAAGUUGAAGAGUCUCCGGGUUGUUAACCGGAAAAGAGCCAGGUUCGAAGACUUCAUGGAGAUGUUUAUGGCAUCCGCCACUCGGAUUGCGAAAGGAAUCGAUCUUCACACCUUCAUGGAAGCAGCGGGAUCUACGGCUCGGAGUGAUGCUCGGAGGAAAAACAUUUAAGUUUCAAUUCUCCUCGGGAUGCCGAGUGGUUUUAUGUAACCCCAAACUUUGAGUGGGCCUUGGGCUCUCUCUUAUGUGCACUUUUUGCUGAACUUCAUUCCAUUUACCCAUAUUCGAGUUUUGAUCUUAUUUGCUUUAUCGUCCUUAUUUGGGGUCACUUUUACUCGACCGAAAGCCGGUUCGCAUCCGAGUCCCCGAGUGUGGAAGUUAUCCUCACUCGAGAUCGUUUUUGACUUAGGCGAAAGCUGGUUCACAGUUAAGCCCCCGAGUGUGGAAGUUGUCCUCACUCGGGAUUGUUUUUUGACUUAGGUGAAAGUUGGUUCGCAGCUAAGCCUCUGAGUGUGGAAGUUGUCCUCACUCGGGAUCAUUUUGGACUUAGGCGAAAGCUGGUUCGCAGCUAAGCCCCCGAGUGUGGAAAUUGUUCUCACCCGGGACCGUUUCUUGACUUAGGCGAAAGCCGGUUCACAGCUAAGCCCCCCGAGUGUGGAAGUUGUCCUCACUCAGGAUCAUUUUUGACUUAGGGAAAGCUGGUUCGCAGCUAAGCCCCCGAGUGUCGAAGUUGUCCUCACUCGGGAUCAUUUUUGACUUAGGCGAAAGCUGGUUCAUAGCUAAGCCCCCGAGUGUGGAAGUUGUCUUCACUCGGGAUCAUUUUUGACUUAGGCGAAAGCUGGUUCAUAGCUAAGCCCCCGAGUGUGGAAGUUGUCUUCACUCGGGAUCGUUUUGGACUUAGGCAAAAGGUGGUUCGCAGCUAAACCCCCGAGUGUGGAAGUUGUCCUCACUCGGUUGACUUAGGCGAAAGGUGGUUCAUAGCUAAGCCCCCCGAGUGUAGAACUUGUCCUCAAACGGGAUCGUUCUUGACUUAGGCGAAAGCUGGUUCAUAGCUAAGCCCCCGAGUGUGGAAGUUGUCCUCACUCGGGAUUGUUUUUGACUGAGGAGAAAGCUGGUUCGCAACUAAGCCCGCGAGUGUGGACGUUUUGCUCACUCAGGAUCAUUUUUGACUUAGGCGAAAGCUGGUUUGUAGCUAAGCCCCCAAGUGUGGAAGUUGUCCUCACUCGAGGCAAGUUUUACCCUAAGCGAAAGCGGAUCCUCUGCUAAGGGACGAUUGUUCUAUUCAUCUUGGCGUCCGAAUGAAGGUCUUGUCUUCAUUCGGAACCGAUUUAACUUAGGCGAAAGCUAGUUCGCAGCUAAGCCCCCGAGCAUGGAGCUUGUCCCCACUCGGGGAAGGAUUUACCUUAGGCGAAACAGGUUUGCUACCAAGAAAUGAUUGUUGUGUUCAUCUUGGCGUUCGAAUGAAGAUCUUGCCUUCAUUUGGAACCACUUUAACUUAGGCGAAAGCUGGUUCGCAGCUAAGCCCCCGAGUGUGGAGUUUGUCCCCACUCGGGAAGGGUUUACCUUAGGAGAAACAGGUUCGCUACAAAGAUUAAACGAUAGUUCUUGUGAACAUGUUGAUGGUCCUUCCCAUGUCGAUAUCUAAAUGACGAUCAUGUCUCCAUUCUGAACUGUUUUAACUUAGCCGAAAGCUGGUUCGCAACUAAGCUCACGCGCGUGGAGGUUGUCCGCACUCGGGGAAGGUUUCAUCUUAAGCGAAAGCAGAUUCGCUCAUACACCCACUGGCGGCGUGUUUCACCGAAGUGAAGUAUUUGUGAAUAGUUGAAGAAAGUAAGCCCUUUAUUCUUCUAAUCAUUAGUAUUCAUUGGAGGGAUGAAAAGGGUAAGUUCUACGUGUAGAACUUGCGGAGCAGGUCCGCGUUCCAGGUCCUCGGCUCUUCCACCUCGUCAUCUAGGUUGUACAACCGAUAAGCUCCGUUGUGCAGGACUUUGGAGAUGGUGUAUGUGUUGGAAAUAUGCCCUAGAGGCAAUAACAAAAUGGUUAUUAUCAUAUUUCCUUGUUCAUGAUAAUCGUCUAUUGUUCAUGCUAUAAUUGUAUUAACUGGAAACAGUAAUACAUGUGUGAAUAAAUAGAUCACAAUGUGUCCCUAGCAAGCCUCUAGUUGGCUAGCUCGUUAGUCAAUAGAUGAUCAUGGUUUCCUGGUCAUGGGCAUUAGAUGUCAUUGAUAACGGGAUCACAUCAUUGGGAGAAUGAUGUGAUGGACAAGACCCAAUCCUAAGCGUAGCACUAGAUCGUAUUGUUCGUAUGCUAAAGCUUUUCUAAUGUCAAGUGUGUUUUCCUUCGACCGUGAGAUUGUGCAACUCCCGGAUACCAUAGGAGUGCUUUCGGUGUAUCAAACGUCACAACGUAACUGGGUGACUAUAAAGGUGCACUACAGGUAUCUCUGAAAGUGUCUGUUGGGUUGGUACGAAUCAAGAUCGGGAUUUGUCACUCCGCGUGACGGAGAGGUAUCUCUGGCCCACUCGGUAGAACAUCAUCAUCAGCUCAAUGUGACUAAGGAGUUAGUCACACGAUGACGUGCUACGGAACGAGUAAAGAGACUUACCGGUAACGAGAUUGAACAAGGUAUAGGUAUACCGACGAUCGAAUCUCGGGCAAGUUCUAUACUAACAGNNNNNNNNNNNNNNNNNNNNNNNNNNNNNNNNNNNNNNNNNNNNNNNNNNNNNNNNNNNNNNNNNNNNNNNNNNNNNNNNNNNNNNNNNNNNNNNNNNNNUAAAGGUGCACUACGGGUACCUCUGAAAGUGUCUGUUGGGUUGGUACAAAUCGAGAUCGGGAUUUGUCACUCCGCGUGACGGAGAGGUAUCUCUGGGCCCACUCGGUAGAACAUCAUCAUGAGCUCAAUGUGACUAAGGAGUUAGUCACACGAUGAUGUGCUACGAAACGAGUAAAGAGACUUACCGGUAACGAGAUUGAACAAGGUAUAGGUAUACCGACGAUCGAAUCUCGGGCAAGUUCUAUACUAACAGACAAAGGGAAUUGUAUACGGGAUUGAUUGAAUCCUUGACAUCAUAGUUCAUCUGAUGAGAUCAUCGUGGAGCAAGUAGGAGCCACCAUGGGUAUCCAGACCCCGCUGAUGGUUAUUGGCCAGAGAGGUGUCUCGGCCAUGUCUGCCUGUCUCCCGAACCCGUAGGGUCUACACACUUAAGGUUCGAUGACGCUACACUAGUGGGGACGGGGCCUUUAGCCCCGGCCCGUAAGGGGCUUUAGUCCCGGUUCACCAACCGGGACUAAAGGGGCGGGACUAAAGGCCUAACCUUUAGUCCCGGCCCUGUUACAAGCCGAGACUAAAGGUGCUCCACGUGGGCGCCUCGUAGCGCCCCAGGGGCAGGCCCUUUAGUCCCGGUUCGUUACGCGGACUGGGACUAAAGAGUUUCAGGGUUUAGGGUUUUUUUGAAUGAAAUUAUUUUAGGGUUUUAGGGUUUCAGAUGCCUCGUUUGGUGUUCGGGAAUUAGUUUUCAUAUAAUUUAAAUAGAAAUAAUUAUGCAUAUAUAUAUAAGAUUAACUUAUCUUACAAGCGAGCAUAUAUAUACAAUUAUAUGGAGAUCUGAAUUAUCGGGACUAGAGCCCGUCUAUUCGAUUACAUGGACGAACAUCAGUAAUGGCCCCUAGCUACACUAAAUCGUCCUUUGUCAUCUAUAGCUUCCGUCCUCAGAAAGGUCGCAAGCUCCUCUGCAACAGCAAUCACGCGUUGCUCUGGUAGGACCUUCGUCCUCAUGGUCGUGUACUAUAUAAGAAGAGGAGAUGAAUAUGAAUAUCAAUCAUGAUAACAAAGAAUGACAGGUAAAAAUAGAGGUGUGAAUGUUCAUUGCUUAUGUCGAAUCUGUGAUCCUUGUGCUCAGAGGUAAACGUGCGAAUGGUCUCGCAAACAUAUUACAAGUGAUUGUCGAACUUCAUAUGUAUACCUCGCCGGACUUUAUUAUUUCUUCACCGGCUCCUCCAUCAGUGGAGCUAUCACCUUCUCCAUCAUUGGACCUAUCUCCUGCCCCAUCGGCUUCAUCUUCGUGUCGCUCGACCUCCAUUCCAUAUCCGAAGGGGUUUAGAUAUGACGACGGAGAUUCAGCCGGUUCAACGUCGGGGCCGUCUUUGAUUAUAUCUUCGAGAAGUUCUUCCUCUUCGAGGUUCCUGAUAUGUGGAUCCCUAGUUCUGCAAAAAACGGACAUUUGAUUAACUAAUAAACUAACAAACUAUAUAAGAGGGGUUGGAAACUUCGAAGUGUCGUUUUAUAUAGGAGGACCUUUAGUCCCGGGUCUUGGCUAGAACCUAAACUUCGAAGUUCUAUUAAUUUUCUUGCUAAAAAUAAACUAUUAACACUUAAGCAUAUACAAUAGCAAAAUUAAACUAUUAACACUUCAGCAUAUACAAUAGCAAAAUUAAGCAAUAAUCUAAGAAACACUAUUAACACUUAAGCAUAUACACUAUACAAUAGCAAAAUUAAAUGACAAAAAAUAUAUUUCUUCUUCUUGUAACCCUAAACUAAUUUUUCCUCUUCUUCUAUUUCUCCUCUUCUUCUAUUUCUUAUUCUACUUCUACUUCUCCUCUUCUUCUACUACUUCUCCUCUUCUCUUCUUCUACUUCUCCUCUCCUCCUCUUCUAAUUUUUUCUCUUCUUCUACUUCUCCUCUUCUUCUAUUUUUCCUCUUCUUCUCCUCUCCUCCUCUUCUUAUUCUCCUUUUUCUUCUUUUCUUCUCCUCCUCUUUUUAUUUUCCUUUUUCCUAAUUCUACAUAUUACUAACCCUAAUAAUCUAGCACAAACCUAAUAACAAUAGGAAUUAAAUGACAAAAAAAAUAUUUUUCUUCUUUUCUUCCCUUUUUCUCCCUUUCUUCUCCUUUUUCUUCCUUUCUUCUCCUUUUUCUUCCUUUCUUCCCUUUUUAUUAUUUUCUUCUCCUUUUUCUUAUUUUCUUCUCCUUCCCUUUUUCUUCCUUUCUUCUCCUUUUUCUUCCUUUCUUCUCCUUUUUCUUCUUUUCUUCUCCUUUUUCUUCCUUUCUUCUCCUUUUUCUUCCUUUCUUCUCCUUUUUCUUCUUUUCUUCUCCUUUUUCUUCGUUUAUUCUACUGGCCGGAGUGUUGGGGAGGAGGGGGCGGGGGGCUUACCGGCCGGAGGUGUCGACGGCGCGCGGCGAGGAGGACGGCGGCGCGUGGCGAGGAGGACGGCGGCGGCGAGGAGGACGACGGCGACGACAAGGAGGACGGCGGGCAGCCUCACAGCGUCGUCGAGUUCGUCGUUGUGCCCCGCCGGGCAGGAGAACGAUGAAGAAGGAGAGAAGGAAAUGCGAUUUGGGUUGGAAAUUUUCUAACUCCCGCUUAUAUAGGUGGAUCUUUAGUCCCGGUUCGGGGCUCGAUCCGGGACUAAAGACCCCCUUUAGUCCCGGGUGGAGCCACGACCCGGGACUAAAGGCCCUUUUUCGGCAGACCAGAAGGCGGGAAGCAGGGGCCUUUAGUCCCGGUUUGUGGCAAGAACCGGGACUAAAGGUUAGGCUAUUAGUCCCGGUUUUAGACAAAAGCCGGGACUAAAGUGUUGCCUAUAUAAACCCUCGCCCCUGCCCACCAUCUCCCCUGUUUUUUGGUUGUUGAAGUGUGACCAUGUCAUGCUCUUGCCACUCUAGUUCAUGCACAUGACGUGUUCGAUGAAAUGCCCGAGCCACUCUACUUAAGCUUUCUCCUCUCCAAGCUCGACCUCCAAACUCCAUUUUCCUUAAUAUUUGUCUAGGUUUGGCCGUGCACCAACUGCACAAGUGUUUUAAAAGGUUAGCUACUUCAUCCUUUCAUUUGUCACUGCUAGUGUAGCUCAUUUGAAAUGCUCAAAUUAACUUCUUAGAGUCUGCACAUGCGUAGGGUGUCGUCCCGUGCCCGUCCUCACCAUUGUCGAUCGUCCCGCGACGAUCUCGUCGCGAGCACCACCGUGGUGAGCCUCUUGUUCUUAUCUUCUUUUUAAAACAAAAAAAAUCUUACUUGUAUGAUUUAGAUACAUGCUUGUAUAAAUUACUCACUUUCAUUAUUUUUUGUUAUUAUAUAGUGCGAUGGUUUUGGUAUCCGCCUCCGUCGGCCUUCGUCCUGUCUAUGAUUCGGAUGUGGUAUAUAUUAUCUUUUAUAACUAUUUUUUUAUUUAGUGUUUAUGACAAUUAUGACGCCAACGUGACAUAUAUUUUUUAAUCUAGGAGGUAUGUGAACCGGAAAUUCCAACCCACAUAGAAAUUCUUGUCGAGAAGUUAAAUUUGGUUGAAAAAGAAAACAAAUACUUGAAGAAAAAAUUGAAAAUAAUUGAGGAUAAGAAUAUGGAACUGGAGUUGCAUGUCGCUGAUGUCAUCGAUGAUCGCAAGAUGAAGAUCGAUGCGAUGCGGUUGAAGAUGAAUGCAAUGCGCUUGAAGAUGGAUGAAAUGCGCUUGAAGAUUAGGAAUAUUAGAAAAUAUGCCAUUGAUAAAGAGGCUUGGUAUCAUUAUGCUGUUGGGUCAAUUGUUACCUUAGUUGCGAUUUUGAUCGCAUUUUUUGUUUUAUUUAAAUGUUUUACAUAGUUGUAUGUUGUUUUAUGAGAGAACUUUAUGUAUUUAUUUUUUGCAAUAAUAACAUUUGAUCACUACUGUUCUUUGGCUUUAAUGUGAUGAUGAACUUGUAUUAAUUUGGUCAUAUGUUCUCCAAUGGUUUUUUGAUAUAUUUAAUUUCAUAAUAGAGAUGAAUCGCCAAUGACAAUAUUUAAUUUCAUAAUAUGGUUUUUUGAACUUAUUUGAACUCCAUACUUUUUGUGUGUUCAAAAUGCACCAUUCAAAGGCACAUCACAAAAUUUCAACAAUUUCUGACUUCAUUUGGUAUAUUUCGUGCAUUUACUUUUUUUUUUAAAGUUGAGAGGGCUACGACAAAAAUUGGAUGCACUUCGUGUACAAAACGGACAAUCUCUCUCGAAGUAUCAGGGUUUCGAACGAGAACUCAGCUCUUACAAAGAUUUAUUAAAAUUAUUUUUGCGUAUCUGAGAAUUUGACAAAACUAUGAAAAUGAAAAGUGUUUGAAAUUUAGUACAUUCCAUACAUGCAUUAGAUAAAAGGUUUAAUACAUUAUUACAUUAUUGCACCAAUAUUCCUAUCUAUUAUUUCUGUUUUCUUCUAGGUCGUAGCCAUGGAGAAUCUUCAUCAUUCAGUAGGAUGCUUGGGUCAGUUUUCACUUUGAAGGGCGGAAUUUCAUGAAACUUAUUAUAAUCUUCUGACAUGUUUGUCUUGUCAUCUACUCCCACGAUGUUUCUUUUCCCUGAAAGAACUAUGUGGCGUUUUGGCUCAUCGGACGAUAUCUUCUUUUGCUGAUUUCUUUUUCUCGUUUUUGUAGACAUGUCCUUCACAUAGAAAACCUGAGCGACAUCAUUGGCUAGGACAAAUGGUUCGUCCAUGUACGCAAGAUUGUUGAGAUCCACUGUUGUCAUGCCAUACUUUUGGUCUACAACUACCCCGCCUCCUGUCAGCUCCACCCAUUUGCACCGAAACAAAGGGAUCUUAAAAGUAGGUCCAUAGUCAAGUUCCCAUAUCUCCUCUAUGUACCCGUAAUAUGUUUCCAAACAGUGCCCAUUCUCGUCUGUUGCAUCAAAGUGGACACCACUAUUUUGGUUGGUGCUCUUUUUAUCUUGGGCAACCGUGUAAAAUGUAUUCCCAUUUAUCUCGUAUCCUUGGAAAGUACAUAUAGUCGAAGAUGGUGGCCUGGCCAAACAGUACAGCUCAUCUCCAACGGUGUCAUCAUUCAUGAAAUGUGUCUGCAACCAACUGCCGAAAGUCUUCUCGUGUUCCACUUUAAUCCAAGAGUCAGCCUUCCCCGGGUUUUCGGAGCGUAGAAUAUUCUUGUGUCUCACGAUAUACGGAGCCACCACGGUGGAAUUGUGUAGAACUGUGUAGUGUGCUUGAGAGAAAGAAUGCCCGUCCAUACAUACUUUUGCUUUCCUUCCUAGUGUGCCUUUUCCUGUCAGCCUACCCUCAUACCGAGAUUCAGGAACACCAAUCGGCUUAAGGUCAGGAAGAAAGUCCACACAAAACUCAAUGACCUCCUCUGUUCCAUAGCCCUUGGAGAUGCUUCCUUCUGGCCUAGCACGGUUACGAACAUAUUUCUUUAAGACUCCCAUGAACCUCUCGAAGGGGAACAUAUUGUGUAGAAACACAGGACCGAGAAUUCUAAUCUCUUCGACUAGGUGAACUAGGAGGUGUGUCAUUAUAUUGAAGAAGGAUGGCGGGAACAACAACUCAAAGAUGACCAGACAUUGGACCACAUCAGUCUGUAACCCUGGUAGACUUUCUCGAUCGAUUACCUUCUGAGAAAUUGCAUUGAGGAAUGCACAUACCUUCACAAUUGCCAGGCGAACAUUUUCCGGUAGAAUUCCCCUCAAUGCAACCAGAAGCAAUUGCGUCAUAAGCACGUGGCAGUCAUGAGACUUUAGGUUUUGGAAUUUUUUGUCUUUCAUAUUUACGAUUCCCUUUAUAUUCCACGAGAAGCCAUCCGGGACCUUGAUACUGAAAAGGACUUCAAAGAAGAUUUCCUUCUCUUCCUUAGUAAGAGCGUAGCUGGCACGCCCUUGAAACUGUCCUGGAUGCAUGCCAUCUCUUCCUUUAUGACGUUCCUGGUCCUCCCGUGCUUCCGGUGUAUCUUUUGACUUCCCAUACAAGCCCAGGAAGCCUAGAAUUUUCACGCAGAGAUUCUUCGUCAGGUGCAUCACGUCGAUUGCCGAGCGGACCUCAUGGACUUCCCAGUAGGGUAGCUCCCAAAAUAUAGAUUUCUUCUUCCACAUGGGUACGCGCUUAUCGGGGCCGUUAGGAACAGGUUGGCUGCCAGGCCCUUUCCAAAGAUUACUUUUAAAUCUUUGACCAUAUCAAAUACUUCAGCACCAGUACGGAUGACAGGCUUCCCCCGGGGUUCUGCCUUGCCAUUGAAAUGCUUGCCUUUUUUCUUUAAGGGAUGCUUGGGCGGAAGAAAACGACGAUUGUAUGGGUACACAUUCUUCCUACAUUUGUCCAGAUAUAUACUUUCUGUCUGAUCCAAACAGUGCGUGCAUGCAUUGUAUCCCUUGUUUGACUGUCCUGAAAUGUUACUAAGAGCAGGCCAAUCAUUGAUGGUUACGAAAAGAAACGCUUGAAGGUCAAAUUCCUCUUGUUUGUGCUCGUCCCACACACGUACACCUGGUUCGGCCCACAGCUGUAAAAGUUCAUCAACUAAUGGCCUUAGGUACACAUCAAUAUCGUUGCCGGGUUGCUUUGGACCUUGGAUAAGCACUGGCAUCAUAAUGAACUUCCGCUUCAUGCACAACCAAGGAGGAAGGUUUUAGAUACAUAGAGUAACGGGCCAGGUGAUGUGACUGCAACUCUGCACCCCAAAAGGAUUCAUGUCAUCUGUACUCAAACCUAACCAUAAGUUCCUUGCGUCAGCUGCAAAUCUCGGGAACUCUCUCUCGAUUUUUCUCCACUGCCGACCAUCAGCGGUGUGCCUCAACUUAUCGUCUUUCAUACGAUCUUCCAUGUGCCAUCGCAACAACUUCGCAUGAUCUUUAUUUCUGAACAGACGUUUCAACCAUGGUAUUAUAGGAGCAUACCACAUCACCUUGGGAGGAACCCUCUUCCUGGGUGGCUCGCCCUCAAUAUCACCAGGGUCAUCUUUUCUGAUCUUAUACCGCAAUGCAGUGCAUACCGGGCAUUUAUCCAUAUUCUCGUACUUCUCACCGCGGUAGAGGAUGCAGUCAUUAGGGCAUGCAUGUAUCUUCUGCACGUCUAAUCCUAGAGGGCAGACAAGCUUCUUUGCUUCGUACGUGCUAGCGGGCAAUUCGUUCUUUCUUGGAAGCAUCUUCUUCAUCAGUACCAGCAACUUUUCGAAUGACGAGUCAGUCACACCGGUCUCUGCCUUCCACUUCAGCAAUUCCAGUGUGCUACCCAGCUUCUUCUGGCCAUCUUCAAAAUUUGGGUACAACAAUUUGUUGUGGUCCUGUAACAUCUGCUCGAACUGCAACCUCUCCUUUUCUCUGUCGCAACCUCGCCGUGCAUCAGAAAUGACCCGGCCAAGAUCAUCAGCGGGCUCAUCUGGUUCCCGUUCUUCAUCCUGAUCUUCUUCUUCAUUGUCUUCCAUUGCGGUAUCAGCAUACUCAGGGAACAUAGAUCGGUAGUUGUCAUCAUCGUUCUCUUCUUCUUCAUCGUCGUCUUCCAUCAUAACCCCUCUUUCUCCGUGCUUGGUCCAAACAUUAUAGCCCGACAUAAAACCGGACCGAAGCAGGUGGCUCUGAAUGACUCUUGAGGAAGUGUAAUCCUUCUCAUUCCGACAUUCAACACAUGGACAAAACAUAUAGCCACCACCAUGCUUGUUCGCAUCGUCUGCAUCUCGAAAGAAUGCAUGCCUUCUCUGUAAGCGGUUGUGCGUCGAUCACCGUACAUCCAUGGAUGGCUCAUCUGUGUUAUACGACAGUAUAUCAAAUACAAUCACGAUCCUAAAAAUUAGUACCGCACGGUCUAAACGAGGAAAUAUAGUUGCUAAGCUUUUAGAAUAAGUAGAAAUAAAGAGGAAGAGGUUUAAGCGUGGCUCAGGCAUCUCAUAUCGUAGUUGUGUUCGGUGAACUGAAGCGGCAUCGCUCUAACACACAUUUCAACAAACACCUCUAGUGCAUCAAAAAAAGUGGAGAGCUAGCACACACCCACAAUCCUCCAUCCAAGAAAAAUGCAAGGAAGAGGGGAGAGGGGGGCUGUGCUAUAUAUAGGCAGAGGACUUUAGUCCCGGUUUGAGACACAAACCGGGACUAAAGGUGGCGCACAUGUGGGCUGCCCACCGCGUAGCCCUUUAGUCCCGGUUUGGGACACGAACCGGGACUAAAGGCUCCUUACGGGCCGGGACUAAAGCCUCAAGGGAGGCAUUGAGAAUUGGGGCGACGUGGCCGGGCCUUUAGUCCCGGCCCAGAGGCAGGCCGGGACUAAAGGGUCCCGGCCAAAGGCCCGUUUUCCACUAGUGCUAGGGUUAUAGGGAAUUGUUAUACGAGGUUAUCAAAAGUUGUUCGGAGUCCCGGAUGAGAUCCCGGAUGUCACGAGGAGCUCCGAAAUGGUCCGGAGGUAAAGAUUGAUAUAUAGGACGGAUGGUUUUGGACACCGGAAGUGUUUCGGGCGUCGCCGGUAACGUACCGGGACCACCGGGACCACCGGGAGUGGCCCCGGGGGUCCAUCGGAAGGGGGCCAUGACCCCGGGAGGCUAGAUGGGCCAAGUGCGGGAGGGAACCAGCCCCUAGGUGGGCUGGUGUGCCCCCCACACUCAGCCCAAGGCGGAGGAGGUGAAGAUGGGGAAACCCUAGGCGCUGGUGGGCCUAAGGCCCACCUAGGGGUGCGCCACCCCUCCCCCCUGCCCUGGCCGCCGCACCUCCCAUCUAGGGGGACUGCCGCACCACCUGGGGGGAACCCAAGAGUGGCACCCCCCUCCCCUCCUCCUAUAUAUAGUGGGGAUUUUGGGGCUGUUUCACACACAGUUUUCCAUCUCCCUCGACGCAGCCCUGCUCUUCUUUCUCCUCCUCUCUGCCGGUGCUUUGCGAAGCCCUGCCGGGAGACCUCGUCUCUCCAUCGACACCACGCCGUCGUGCUGCCGGAGAUCUUCCCCAAACUCUCACUCCUCCUUGUUGGAUCAAGGUGCGGGAGACGUCACCGGGCUGCACGUGUGUUGAACGUGGAGGUGUCGUGGUUCGGCACUAGAUCGGAAUCACACCGCGAUCUGAAUCGCCGCGAGUACGACUCCAUCAACCGCAUUCUAGCAACGCUUCCACUUAGCGAUCUUCAAAGGUAUGAAGAUGCACUCACCCCUCUCUCGUUGCUGGUCUCUCCAUAGGAAGAUCUGAAUAUGCGUAGGGAAAAUUUUGAAUUUAUGCUACGUUACCCAACAGUAUGGCCCUUGCCACGGAGGUGCCAGCUUGUGGGGUUUCUGUUGGUCCAGUCGGAGGACCAAGUCGCCCUCUUGAAAUGCUCGGCCCAUGACUUGAUUGUCAUGGUGGAGCCAUAGGUCUUACUGGUACAAUGUGGACCGAAUGAGGUCCAUCUCUCUCUCUUUCUCCAGAAGAUCCAAAUUGUCUUGGUGUGCUGCUUCGGCUUCAGCUUCGUUGUACUGCUCCACUCAGGGGGAGUUGUGACGUAAGUCACUUGGCAGAAUGGCUACCGACCCAUACACCAUGAAGAAAUAGUACACUUGGUUGAACGAUUCAGAGUCAUUCGCAUAUCCCACAAGACGGAUGGUAAUUCUUCUACCCAUGCUCGUGAGGCAUAUUUGAGAUCUCUCAUCAGUCGAGGUUUCAAUCCCUGAAGUAUCAUACCAUUCACCCAUUCUACCUACCCAUUCGACUGCGGGUGCGCCACAGAGGCGUAAUUAACUCGAGUGCCUUGGGAGUGACAGAACUCGCGGAAUUCCUCCGAGUCGAAGUUGGUUCCAUUGUCGGUGAUGAUGUCGUGAGGGACUCCAAAUUUGAAGAUGAUCUGUCGAAUGAAGCUGACGGUAGUCGCCCCGUCCAUGCUUUUGUUGGGUUUAGCUUCGACCCACGUGGUGAACUUAUCCACUACAACUAGCAGGUGGCUAAAUCCACUGGUCCUGGUGCACAAAGGGCCGACCAAGUCAAUACCCCACACGGUGAAUGGCCAAGUGAGUGGAAUCAUUUUCAGCAUGGAUGCAGGCUUGUGCGACUGAUUCUUGUAGAACUCGCAUCCAACGCACAGAUCGACCAAGUAUUUUGCUCCCUCGUUGUCUCGAGGCCAAUAAAAACCUGCUCGGAAGGCCUUGGCCACCAUGGUCCGAGGGGACGCAUGAUGUCCAUAGGUUCCCGAGUGGAUCUUGUGCAAGAUCUGUAGUCCUUCCUGUGGGGAAAUGCACUUUUGACUGACUCCUGUAACACUCUUCUUGUACAGCUUGUCUCCGAGUACUUCGAAAGCUUUAGACCGCCGAACGAUUUGGUGGGCUUCCUCUUUGUCUUCAUGGAGCUCUUGUCGGAGCAAGUAAGCCAGAUAAGGCUAUGUCUGUUCGGGUGUGAUGACCAACAUCUUAUGGACGAGGUCGACCACCGUCGGGACGUCGAUCUCAAUCGGAUUAGAUGGACUGAUUGCUUGUGGGGGCUCUUCUGUGAAGGGAUCUUCCUUGACCGAGGGAGUGCGUAAAUGUUUGAGGAACACGCCCUUUGGAAUGACCUUCCGAGUGGAUCCGAUCUUUGUCAAGUCAUCGGUCGCUUGAUUCUUGGCUCGGUGCACGUGGUGUAGUUCCAACCCUUCGAAGUUUUUCUCCUGUUUCUUGACUGUGUUGCAGUAGACUGUCAUUGCUGGACUUCGAAUGUCCCAUUCCUUCAUUACUUGAUUGACAACGAGAUCCAAGUCGCCAUAGACCAUCAAAUGUCGAAUGCAAAGUGAGAUAGCCAUGCGGAGCCCAUACAAGAGGGCUCGUACUCGACCUCGUUGUUGGAUGAAUCGAAGUGGAUUUGGAGCACAUAGUUGAGUCGGGCUCCCCUGGGGGAAACGAUAAUCACUCCAGCCCCCGAGCCAUGGAGCAUUUUGGAUCCAUCGGAGAGCAUGGUCCAAUGCUCAGGGAUGCUACGAGCCGGUUCUUCUUGCUCUAUCCAUUCGUCCAGGAAGUCCACCAAGGCAUGAGACUUGAUCGCCUUCUUGGCUUUGAAUUUGAUCUCCAGCGGGAGGAGCUCAAUCACCCAUUUGGCCACUGUGCCGGUAGCGUCCCGAUUGUGUAGGAUUUCCUCCAGGGGGCGUCACUGAUGACAGUGACCGAGUGAUCUUGGAAAUAGUGGACUAACUCCUUUACUAUCAGGUAGAUCCCAUAAACCAGCUUCUCGUAGUGUGGAUAUCUUUGCUUUGAGGGGGUUAGUACCUCAGAGAUGUAGUAAAUGGGCCUUUGUACCUUGUACGCAUUGCCCGCUUUCUCAAGCUCUACACUGAGUAUGGUGCUAACCAGUUGGCUAGUGGCAAUAAUGUACAGGAGAAAGGGCUCCUGGCUGCUUGGAGCAGCUAACACCGGUUGGGUGGAAAGGAGAGAUUUGAGUUGGUCGAAUGCGACCUGUGCCUCGUUGGUCCACUCGAAUAUGUUGGAUUUCUUCAUCAAUCAGUAAAGAGGCACAGCCUUCUCAUCGAGUCUCAAGAUGAAGCAGCUCAGGGCUGCAAGGCAACCCAUAAGCCUUUGCACGUCAUGGAUGCGCUCUGGACGUCUCAUCUGGACGAUGGCACCGAUCUGGUCGGGAUUGGCAUCGAUGCCUCGUUCGGAAACGAGGAAACCGAGUAGCUUUCUAGCCGCAACACAGAAGGUGCAUUUGGCUGGACUGAGCUUAAUCCCGAAGCAUCAAAGGUUCGCAAAGGUUUCGGCGAGGUCGGCCAGAAGGUCGAAACCUUUCCUGGACUUAACCACGAUGUCGUCCAUGUAUUCUUCAAUGUUCCGACUGAAUAGUUCUUGUAAGCACUUUUGGAUCAUGCACUGGAAAGUGGCUCCGGCAUUCUUGAGGCCGAAUGGCAUCGUGAUGUAGGAAAAACACCUGAACGGGGUCAUGAAGGUUUUUUUAUUUCAUCAGUUUCAUACAUUCGGAUCUCGUGGUACCGAGAGUACGCAUCCAGGAACGACAAUCGUUCAAAUCCGGUAGUUGAAUCUAUGAUUUCAUCUAUGCGAGGUAGAGGGAAGUGGUCCUUCGGGAAGGCCGAUUGAGAUGCUUGAAGUCAAUACACAUUCGUAGUGAACUGUUCUUCUUUGGCACCAUGACCACGUUCGCCAACCACUCAGAGUGGUAAACCUCGUGGAUGAACUCGACAUCUAGGAGCCAAGCGGUCUCCUCGCCAAUCGCCCUAUGCUUCUCCAUGGAGGAGCGGCGCAGGUGUUCCUUGACGGGCUUGACCUUUGAUUCCACUCGGAGGCGGUGCUCAGCUAGUUCCCUGGGAACCCCCGCAUGUGAGAUGGCUUCCAUGUGAAGAUAUCCUAGUUCUCACAGAGGAACUUGAUGAGUUGGGCUUCCUAUUUUCUCCGAGUGAAGUGGAGAUGUUUGUCGCGGAAACACUCGGAUCGGUUGGAUGGACGUGGACCUGGUUCUUCUCACCAGCCGAGUGAAAGGAGGACUCAGUAGCCGGCCGUUUUGACUUGAGAAGGUUUGCGGUAUCCACUUCCUUCUUGUACCCAUCGAUCUCGACAGCGAGGACCUGCUCGUUGGCGAUCCUUGAACCUUGCUGGAGGCACUCUUCAACGACCUUUCGAUUGACAGUCACCGUGAUCACGUCUUUUGUCCCUGGCAUCUUAAGCUUAAGACACACGUAACAUGGACAGGCCAUGAAACGAGCGUUAGUGGGCCUACCCAGGAUGGCGUGAUAGGCACUUUGAAAGUCGACCACUUCAAAGGUCCACCUCUCCUUUCGGUAAUUCUUCUCGCUGCCGAAUACGACAUUCAGGGUGAUCUGCCCAAGUGAUUCGGUCUUCUUUCCGGGGAUGACCCCAUGAAAUUGCAUGUCACUCUUGCUCAACCGGGACAACGGAAUGUCCAUAGCUUUGGAGUGUCGAUGUAUAUGAUGUUAAGGCCACUGCCACCGUCCAUGGGGGCUUUCCACAGUCGGUACCCAUUGACCGCUGGAUCAAGCACCAACGCCUACCUCCCAGGGGUGGCAAUGUUGGUCGGGUGAUCCGAUUGGUCAAAUGUGACGGGCGUCUUCGCCCAGUCGAGGUAUUUCAUGAUAGCCGGGGCUGCCAUGUUCACUUCCCGGUUGAUAACUUUCAAUUGGCUCUUGCUCUCGACAUUAUUAAAGAUCAUGAGGGUCCCCUCGAUAUUCGGGUACCCGGAGGCAUCCUCUGGGUCAUCCUCAUACUCUUUGUCCCCGGAGGGUUCUCCGCUCAUCUCCUUCUGGAGGAAGCGGCAAUCUCGAGUCGUGUGCUUGGCAGGGAUGGUCUCCUCAUCUUUGUCGUUCCUAGCAUGAAUUGGAUACGGCUGAUCCAAAAGGUUGCUCUUGGACUUGGCCUUCUUCUUGCCUACCCAAUAUUUUUUCUUCUUCUUGGACUUGUUUUGGCUUUGCCCCGGGACAAUAGCUACUUCGGCUUUGCCCGAUGGGUCGCCCUUUUGCUUGUGCUUCUUCCCAGCAUUGUCCGACUAAGGGGCUUUGCUGGCUCGGCCUUUGCCGCUGCGGAGGUAGUCUUCUUCUUCGCCAUUCGCAUACCGAUUAGCGACUUCUAUGGCCCAACUAAGGGACACAUCCCUUGAUCGGCCAAACUUGAGGAUGAGUGCCUUCUUUGGAAGUGCACACGGCCUGAUGCUCGGUGACAUUCUCCACCGUGUUGUGCAGUGUGGUCCACCGCUGGCUGUACUCUGUGAGAGUCUCCUUGCUCUUCUCGACAUAGUGUUGCAGCUCGGUCAGGCCGCUUGGACGCUUGUAAGUGCCCUCGAAGGUCUUGACGAACACUCAGGUGAGGUAAACACAGCUAUGGAUGUUGCUGGAGGGAAGCUGAUUGAGCCACGCCCUCGCCAACCCUUCUAACAUGAGGGGCAUAUGCUUCAUUGUGAUGUAGUCGUCGCCGCCACCUAUCUGGACGGCCACUUGGUAGUCCUCCAUGUUGGGGAACGUUGCAUGGGAAAUAAAAAAAUUCCUACGCGCACACAAGAUCUAUCCAUGGUGAUGACCAUCUACGAGAGGAGAGAGUGCAUCUACAUACCCUUGUAGAUCGCUAAGUGGAAGCAUAUAUAUAACGCGGUUGAUAUAGUGGAACAUCUUCGCGAUCCAAAUCGCAGCCUGUCCUGCGAUCUCAUUAUGAUCCGUCCCACGAUCCCAUCACGAUCCGUCCCGAUCUAGUGCCGAACGGACGACACCUCUGCGUUCAGCACACGUACGGCUCGAUGACGUCUCCUCCUUCUUGAUCCAGCAAGAGAGGAAGGAGAAGUAUAUGGGAUCUCAACCAACACGACGGCAUGGUGGAGAUGAUGGUGGAGCAGUGCCAGCACGGCUUCGCAAAGCGCUGCCAGAACUGAUCUGAGGAGAAAACGGAGUUAUGGGAGAGGUAGGGCUGCCACCGUGGUGUGGGAAUUGGUGUGUUCAGACCCUCCCUCUCCCGCACUAUAUAUGGGAGGCAAGGAGGAGGGUUGGGUCGCAUACCUAGCCCCUCCUCCAAGGAGGGGGCGUGGGCCUAGGGAGGUUUCCUCCCUCCUCAUGGCACCUAGGAGGUGCCUUCCCCUUUAGGGACUCUUUCCUCCCAACCGUAUGGGCCCUUGGGGGCUCGCCCAACAAGGCUUGGACACCUCCUUAAGCCCAUGCACGUCCUAGGGGCUGGAGGGAACCUUCCGGACUCCUCCGGAACCCUCUAGAACCCUGUGGAACUUCCAGAAGCUUCCUGGUACAAUAGCGAUAAAACCUGGAACUUUUCCGGUAGCCAAAAUAGGACUUCCCAUAUAUAAAUCUUUACCUCCGAACCAUUCCGGAGCUCCUCGUGACAUCCAGGAGCUCAUCCGGGACUACGAACAACAUUCAUUCACCAACAUACAUAUCCCAAUACUACUCUAGCGUCACCGAACGUUAAGUGUGCAGACCCUGUGGGUUCGAGAACUAUGCAGACAUGACCGAGACACUUCUACGGUCAAUAACCAAUAGCAGGACUUGGAUGACCAUAUUGGUUCAUACAUAUUCUACGAAGAUCUUUAUUGGUUGAACCUCUAUGUCAAGGAUUCAAUUAAUCCCGUAUGUUGUUCCCUUUGUCCUUCGGUAUGUUACUUGCCCGAGAUUCGAUCGUCGGUAUCUCUAUACCUAGUUCAAUCUCGUUACCGGCAAGUCUCUUUACUCAUUCCGUAUUACAAGAUCCUGUGACUAACUCCUUAGUCACAUUGCUUGCAAGGCUUGUUGUGAUGUUGUAUUACCGAGUCGGCACUGAGAUACCUCUCCAUCACACGGAGUGACAAAUCCCAGUCUUGAUCCAUACCAACCCAACAGACACCUUCGGAGAUACCUGUAGAGCACCUUUAUAGUCACCCAGUUACGUUCUGACGAUUGAUACACACAAGGUAUUCCUCCGGUGUCCGGGAGUUGCAUGAUCUCAUGGUCAUAGGAACAAAUACAUUGACAUGCAGAAAACAGUACCAAUAAACUGACACGAUCACACAAGGUGUAUGUUUGGUUGACAUGGAUCAAGACUGGGAUUUGUCACUCCGUGUGACGGAGAGGUAUCUUGGGGCCCACUCGGUAAUACAACAUCACAACAAUCCUUGCAAGCAAUGUGACUAAGGAGUUAGUCGCGGGAUCUUGUAUUACGGAAUGAGUAAAGAGACUUGCCGGUAACGAGAUUGAACUAGGUAUAGAGAUACCGAUGAUUGAAUCUCGAGCAAGUAACAUACCGAAGGACAAAGGGAACAACAUAUGGGAUUAAUUGAAUCCUUGACAUAGAGGUUCAACCGAUAAAUAUCUUUGUAUAAUAUGUGGGAGACAAUAUGGGCAUCCAGGUCACGCUAUUGGUUAUUGGCCGGAGAAUGUCUCGGGUCAUGUCUACAUAGUUCUCAAACCCGCAGGGUGUGCACACUUAAGGUUCGAUGACGUUUCGGUAUAGUUGAGUUAUAGGUGUUGGUGACCAAAGGUUGUUUGGAAUCUCAAAUGAGAUCCUGGACGUCACGAGGAGCUCCGGAAUGGUCCGAAGGUAAAGAUUGAUAUAUAGGAAGUCCUGUUUUGGUCUCCGAAAAAGUUUUGGACUCAUCGGUAGUAUACCAGGAGUACCGGGAGGGUACCGAGGGACCACCGGGAUGGGUGUGAUGACCCAAGGGUUUCAUGGGCUGUGAGAGGAGGCAGACCAGCCCCUGGUGGGCUGGCCGAAGCCUCCCCUAAGGGCCCAUGCGGCUCGAGUGGAGGGAUAAAGCAAAAAGCCAAAAGGUGGAAAGAGUUUCCAAAUUAGGAAGGAGUCCCUAAUUAGCCACGUGAUGUCGUCUCUCUCUCUAGAUCGUUUUCUUCUCUAGAUUAGUUUCGCACCUCUUGGCGAAGCCCUGCUAGAUUUUCCACCACCACCACCACCACGCCGUCGUGUUGGACAAUGCAUCUACCUCUCCGCCCCUCUUGCUAGAUCAAGGAGACGGGGAUUGUCAUCGAGUUGUACGUGUGCUGAACGCGGAGGUGCCAUCCGUUCGGCACUAGAUCGGGAUGGAUCGUGAUGAGAUCGCAGGAAGGGCUGUGAUUUGGAUCGCGAAGAUGUUCCACUACAUCAAUCGCGUUAUAGACGCUUCCGCUUAGCGAUCUACAAGGGUAUGUAUAUUUACUCUCCCCUCUCGUAGAUGAUCAUCACCAUGGAUAGGUAUUGCGUUUGCGUACGAAAUUUUUUGUUUUCCAUGCAACGUUCCCCAUCACAAUUGCCAAGGACUUAAACACCUGCGUGAAGACCCAUGUUACGUGUAACGUUGUAAUUAAAGCCACCGUUUUUAGUAAAUCACGUAGUUAUUAGCAUUAAAUACCCUAGUGACGGUGCUCGGUCGGUCGUGGCACACUCUAUAUAAGCCACUCCUGGGCUCCCCCUCAAGGGUUAAGCAUUUUGUACUUUCAGAUACCCCAUAAGAAAUCACGAGCCUCACGGCUUGAGAUGUAGGGUCUUUACCACUUCCCAGUGGGGCCCGAACUUGUACAUCCAAGUGUAUCCACUGCGCCUAGCUAGACUUCGCCCCUUAGUUCGUACCCCUCGUACUAUUGUCAGGAUCAUUCCCACGACAACGAAGGUGAGGGAACCGAAGAGGAUCUCUCCGCCGAGUGUCAUCAUGUUGGAUUUGCUAGACACGCAGCCCCACGGUGUGCGCCAAGUGUCUGGAAAUGACCCUGAUAAUAGUAGUGGGGGUACGAACGGAGGGGCGAAGCCUAACUAAGCCCUAUGAAUACACUCGGAUGUACGAGUUUGGGCCCCAUUCGGAAGUGGUAACAACCCUACGUCUCGAGCCUUGAGGCUCAUGUUUUCUUAUGGGGUAUGUGAGAUUACAAGGUGCUGAACCCUUGAACUCGAGCCCGGGAGUGGCCUAUAUAGAGUAUGCCAUGACCGGCUAAGCUUCACUACAAGGUGAAUUAAUGCUAAUAAAUAAGGGAGUUACUAGAAACGAGAGUUAUAACUCCUAGCGUUACAUGUAACGCGGGUCUUCACUGCACUUCAUGUGAUAGUUGAAGUCCUUAGUCGUUGUAGCCUAUUCGGUGUCAUCGUCUUGCUGUGGUUCGAGUACCAUGGUGCGUCCCACUGACACAAGGUGAUCCGAAUGACUUCAUGUAAGCCGACUGAGGACACGUUGUAUCGAAUGAGGUCGAAACUGCACCGGUGACUUGUAGGACAUUGAUGUUCGUAUGGGGCCUUAGGUGGGUCUUGGGGAAAAGGUUUAUAGGCCUAUCCCUAAUGUACAAUCCGUAAGGGGUCAAGUACAUGAAUUUUUUUAAGAAGUGGUGUGCAUGAUUUUCUUUCAAAAUUUAUGAAGAUAAUGUACGACAAUCUCUAUUCACACAUAAAAGGUCGUACGACUUUCUCCAAACAUGAUGAUCUUUUUAUAUACUAUUCUUUUCAAACACAUUAACUAUCUUCUGAUAGAGGAACAUUUUAUAUAAAUAUAAUCAGGUUACUUAAAAGUUUGUAAAAAUUUUAGAGCUUCACUAAAAGGUUAGCAAAAACUGAAAAAAGUUCAUUAAAUCAAGAAAAAGAUCACUCGAAAUAGCGGAACUGAAUUUUUUUGCGGAUUAGGAAAAGCUCAUAAAAUUCAAAACCAAAUCACAAAUUUGUAAAAGUUUUCAGUUUCCUAUGAAGUUCAAGCAUUAAAAAAGCAAAUUAAAAAAGCACACAAAAAAACAAAGCCAAGUUUUCAAAAACCAAAAAACAAACCGACCGGAAGGUUCUCGAAGCUUCAUACCCAGGCCGGAAAGCUUCCAAAAACGGGGCCCAUUAAAAACAUGGCUCCUUGUCGGUUCGCUCGACCGCUGAAAAGAAACUAACUCGCCUCGCUGGAUUAGUUCUUCGGCUGUGCUGCCAUUGUGGUUCGGAAAAAAGAUUGACCGCCUUUUUUUCAAUUUUGAAUACUUUUGUUAGAAAAGUUCAUAGAUUAAUUCUAAAAAAAAUAUCGAUUUUGUAUAUUUCUUUCACAAAUAUGAAAAAAGUUCAUAAAUUUGAAAAAAAUUAUAGGACUUGAAAUUUGUUCAUCAAAUUGAAAAAAAUCAUUCAAUUUGAAAAUAUGAUAUUCAUCGAAUUGAAAAAAGUUCAUCGCAUUUUAAAAAGAGUUCAUCAAUUUAUAAAAUAGGUUCAUCAAAAUGUUAAAAAGUUCAAUAAUUUUGAAAAAAAGUUAAUCAAGUUUGAAAAAAGUUCAUUGAAAUUGAAAAAAAUAAUGUAAUUUGAAAAACAAUUGAAUGUAAAAAAAGUUCAUCGAUUUUGAGAAAAAUCAUCAAAUUUGAAAAAGAAAAGUUCAUUGAAUUUGCAAAAGAGUCGUUAAAUUUGAAAAUGUUCAGUAUAUUUCAAAAUAAAUAUCUAAUAUGGAAACAUCAAUUUUGAAAAAAGUUCAUCAAAUUUGAAAAAGUCUAUCGAUUUUAAUAAAAGAUCAUGAUUUUGAAAAUAAAAUAUUGAAUUUUGAAAAAAAUUCACCAAUUUUGAAAAAAGUUCACCGAUUUUAGAAAAAAGUUCACCGAUUUUGAAAGAAAGUUUAUUGAAUUUUAAAAGAGUUCAUCAAAUUUAAAAAAAAUNNNNNNNNNNNNNNNNNNNNNNNNNNNNNNNNNNNNNNNNNNNNNNNNNNNNNNNNNNNNNNNNNNNNNNNNAAAAAAAAUCACCGAUUUUGGAAGAAAGUUCAUCGAAUUUGAAAAGAGUUCAACAAAUUUAUAAAAAAAUCACCGAUUUGGAAAAACGUUCAUUAAAUUAGGGGAAAAAUCAUCAAAUUUGAGAAAAGUUCAAAAAUUGUAAAUAGUUCAUCAUUUAAAAAACAAAAGAACAAAUUUGAUGAACUCUUUUCAAAUCAUUGAACCAGAUCAAAGAAACAAAAAGAAAAAUCUUUGAACCAGGUCAAAGAAAAAAAGCAAAGGAAAAAAGGAAAAAGAAAAAAAGGAGAAUGAAGCUGGAAAAAUACCUGUUUGGGACUGGAGAAUUUGUUAGAAAAAAGAACAGGAUUGAAACCUCGACUAUUCGAUGUUCGUUUUUUUUGAACAUUUUAGAAAAUAAACAGAUGAUAAAUGGCCGGCCAAGCUCGUACCAGUGGCGGAGUACCAAGAGAACAUGAUGCUUCGGUCUGUUAGAUUUUGUAGAAUCCAGCCUAGUAUUUGUGAAUUUUGGGCUCAUGGAAGGCGGGUUUGUUUAUAUCCCUCUCAUGAUCUAUUAAAAUGUUAUAUCUCCCUCUUAGCAAGGUCCUCUAUAGGACACCCAUAGGCGUAAGAUUGAUGAACCUUUGUGUAGGGUCGGCAUGACUUGGUAUAAUGUUUCCCUGUCGCUAGGGUUUAGCUGCACCUAGGGCGAUUUCUUGCCUAACCUGUCCACCAGUUUGAUUCUGACUGAUCACACAACAAUCUCUGGAUCGUUGCCUUGCCUUGAUCGAUCCCUUGGACGCUCGAAGGGAGCUAGGGUUCUUCACCCUAGAUCUGAUAGGGUUUUGUGGAGAACCCUAGCUCCCUUCGAGCAUCCAAGGGAUCGAUCAAGUCAAGGUGAAGAUCCAGGGAUCGUCGUGUUAGAACAAAUUUUGAAGAUUAGGAACAUUUUUUGAAAUUUUGAACAUUUUUUUGCAAAUUUGGAACAAAAAAAUUCCAAACAUUAAUUUUGAAAACAGAAACCUAAUUUUAAACCACAAAGAAUUUAUGAAAUUCUAGAAAAAAUGAAAGCAAGAACAUUUUUUAAAUUCAGAUUUUAGAAAGAAAAAAAGUACAAUCAAAUUCAACCAAAACAUUCCAAACAUUUUUAAAAAAACAAGAAGAAAGUAAAACACCAAAAUAAAGGAGUGGAUUUUUCGUAUGUCUCGCUUGUUGUGAGGAACAGUGAUGCGUNNNNNNNNNNNNNNNNNNNNNNNNNNNNNNNNNNNNNNNNNNNNNNNNNNNNNNNNNNNNNNNNNNNNNNNNNNNNNNNNNNNNGAUCGAUUAUCACCCCCCCCCCCAAGGCCUUGUUUGAUACUAGGGUUUUUCAGGAGAUUGGUGGGGAUAAUCCCCACAGGGAUUGGGUGAAACCCCAUCCUUCACCCAAUCCCCUCAAAUCCCCAUUUAUCCCCAAUACACUAGGUAGGGGUAGUGUAUUGAGUAUUGAGAAAAAUACACUAAAAUUUAGAGAAUUGUGGGGAAAUGUGGGGAUAAAACAUGUCAAAUACACUAGAACCAAAUGGCGUUAUGGGAUAUGUGGGGAUUUAGGGAUUUGACCGGGAUAAUCCCUACUAAUUUUCUGAAAUACACUAGUACCAAACAAGGCCCCAAGGAAAUCCAGCGGGGACUAGGCCUAAUAUAUAGGCUUAAUUAGUGCCCAGUUAUCAGACCGAGCCGUCAAAGCCAAGCCCAAGGCUGCAUGUUCUCAUACGUAGUAUCCAUCCAUUCAUUGACUGAUCUGAUGAUUGACUCUGUUAAUUGAUCCGCACGUUCGAUUUGAGCAGGACUUUUUCCUCCUAGACGCGCCAGUCGCUAGGGUUACAUUGACGCCGCCGCUCCGGCUGCCGCACCGUGGUCGACCGCGCUGCCGUGACUACACGAGAAAAUUGGAUUUUUGCCACUUUAUUCGUUGGGCUUCGCACAAUUGCCACUCUAAAGAUUUGAUUCGCACAAUUGUCACUUAAGUCGUUGCACAAUUGCCACUCUAGAGAUUUGAUUAGCAUGCCAUUAACCCCAUUUAAAUUAUUUUUUACAUUAAUUGGCUAGUGAAAAGACCAGCUUGCCCCUUAGUUAUGUACAUGUACGUACCUGGCAACGAAUCAACGCUACAACUGCAUCUGGCAACGAAUCAAUGCUACAACUGCAUCUGGCAACGAAUCAGCGCUACAACGACAAGGCUUGCGCUGGCUGCCAAUAAUAUAGCUAACUGUCAUACUACGAGUCCUUCGACGUCGCGCUCGAGCGACUCUUCUCGCCGUCUUGCGCCGCCGAUCGCCUGGACGCCGCGUGCCGCCGGCUGGACGUCUUGCGCCGCCGAUCGCCUGGACGUCGCGUGCUGAACCUCCUCAUCCUCCUGGGGCGCUCCUUCCUGGCCCUCAUCCCAGUCGAGUGGUCAGGCGACCGGGACGAGCGACGCGAGCACACUGGCGGGCGGUGACGGCGGUGGAGCGGAGGUAGCGACGGCGGUGGUCGGCUGGAGCGAGCGGCAAACGACGGUGGUCGGGCGGGGCGAGCGACCACGGCGGUCGAGCGAAGGUAGCGACGGCGAUGGUCGGGCGGGGCGAGCCGCAACGAUGGUGGUCGGACGGGGCGAGCGACCACGGCGGUCCGACGGGCGGGCAGCGACAUGGUCGGUCUGCACUCUGCAGCUUGUUCGUCCCUGCUCAUACAGAUAAGCCAUACAGAUAAGAUGUGAGUAUAUACAGUCAGGGGCAGUUUGGUCUUUUCUUGUGCUUACAGAUGUAAAAAGAAAAAGGAAAUCACUAAAAGGAGAGAAGUGGUAUGGUAAUCAACAAGCCAACAAACAGAGUGGCAAUUUUGCAAAGCCAACGUUGAAAAUGGCAAUUUUGAGAAACCACGUAUUGAAAGUGGCAAAAAUCCAAUUUUCUCUGACUACACAAAGUACACGCAUACGGCAGACGCUGGCUAAGCAGAACAUGUCCGACGGUCGGAGCCUACUCUUGACUCCAUGUGAGCGUGCUCGGCUGCUCUACUCCAGGUGAGCCUGCUCGGCUGCUCUACUCCAGCGGGACUAAUGAUUUAUGAAUUAGCUGAAUGUAACACGGACUAUAUAUACUACUGUAGCUGAAUCUAACACGGACUAUAUAUACUCCUGUAGCUACUUAUACACGGUUCAGUAGCUGAAUUAUCAUAUACAGAUAUACUGUACUUAUAAAAGGUUGCUUACUAUUUGGUUCAUUAGCUGAAUUUCUGGCAUAUAUAUAGAGGGAAAAUGGUUCCUAUUUUGAUACUUGUCAGAUGAAUUACAUAUUUGCAUUUUACUAAUAGAAGAACUGAAAACUGUAUAGGUCAUGAAUAAGAGGAAGAUACCGCCGAUAAGUAAUUUUUUCAAGUCAAAUGCUACAAACUCUAACUCAGCAGCUGAAAAUGCAAAUGCAACCGUGGAGGUAGAUGACACACAACAACCCACUGGUCAUAAUGUCCCCAAUCUCAGUUCGGUUGAUAUGCCACCCCCGAGCAAAAUAUUCAGGCAUAUGUGGAAGUUCUAUCCAGUAUUUUUCAGUUGAUAUGUCAAAUAUUUGCAGGCUUGUGGAAACAUUCUAUCCAGCAGAUUUUUCUAGUCAAGAGCAGGCUCACGUGGAGUCACGACUUCCACACUAUCAGUUAGAUGUUCGCAACCAUCUAGAGCUGAGAUCUUCGUCAUCACUUGCCGAUUUGACCGUUGCAUUGCAUAAAACAGAUAAAGCUUCUCUGUACCCAAUGGUUGAUAGAUUAUUGCGAUUGGUUAUCACUCUCUCUGUGUCAACUGCAACUGUGGAGAGAGCUCUCUCGGCAAUGAAGAUUAUCAAGACGCGUCUCCGAAGUAAAUUGGGUGACGAUUUUCUUCGCCAUUACAUGGUUGUAUACAUUGGGAAGGAAAUAGCUGCAAAGUUCAAUGUUGAUGAGAUUAUUGAUUUGUUCGAUCGACCAGCUGGGGGGCGUAGAUCUUCGUUCAAACUAGUAGAAAUGUAGUUUUCUUUUCGUAAAGCUUAUAUUGUUACAUGUUUGAAAUUUCUAAAAUAUUCAAGACUUGAAAUAUUUUUGUGUUAUGUCUCUUGUGUGUUUCAAUGUGUUCUUCGCACCCUCUAUGAUGAAAUCCUCGCUCCGCCCCUGAUCAUUCGGUGCCGUCAAAAUAUGAAAAAUAGCACUUGCAUAGUUUUCCUCUGAAAAAAUGUCAGGCUCCCGGCAAGCGCCAACGUUUUUUCAAAUAUAGUUCACUAAUUUAAAAGAUAUAAUUUUGAAAAUUCCUGAGUAACUCAAAACAUUUUAUUAAUUCCAGAAUGCUUGUAACCUUAAAAAAGUUGAUGAUUCAAAAAAUUUCCAUGAAUUCUAAAAAUAUUCAAGUAUUCAAGAAAAUUGUUCAAGAAUUGGAAAUAUGUUGGCAUCAAAUUCAGAAAAUGUUCACAAAAUAGAGAAAGUGCGCGAAUGCAAGGAAGUCUCUGUGAAUUAGCAAAAUCAUCAAGAAUUAUAUAUUCUUGCAAAUAUGAAUAUAUACCUGAUUUGAAACAACGUUCACAAAUAAAAAAAAUCAUAUUUUCAAAACUCUUACCGAUUUAAAAAAUAUUUGCGUGAAUUAGAAAAUUAUUUACAAAAUAUGCUAAAUAUCAUGAAUUUCAAAUUAUUCAUGAGUGUGAAAAUACGAUUGUGAAGCCAAAAAUAUUGUGUGAAUUUGAAAAGUUAUUCAUGAAUUCAAAAUAUGUUCAAGUAUUGAAAAACAGAAACUUCAAAAUGUUCCUGAAUUAGAAUGGAAGAGCAGAAAAUAAAAAAUGAGUAAUAAUAAAUACAUGAGGAAAAAAAGGUGCGACCCAGUAAAAUAGAGCCAUUUUUAGAAGAUCCGAAUUCCUAAAAUCGGCUUUCCAAAGAAAUCAAUACCAGGACUACCGACUUUCCAAAGAAACUACCUCCACGGUUCCAAAAUAAAUGCCGAAGAUCUAUUAUUAAUUUUGUAUAAAUUUUAUACCCCCUUUGUCACAGUUUAGAAGGCAUGAUUAAAUUUACGUGUGUUUCCAUAAUAAAUAAGUUUAAGACGCAUUGCAUUUAUUCCUAUUAGCUAAUUAGUACUCCGUUGUAUUACUUCCAUAUGCAUACAUAGCGUGAAUACAAUUUUUAAAUUCAUCUCAUAGCCAAUUAAUAGCCACCUAGAUUUUAAAUAAUUUCCAAACACGUUUUUUAAAUGGGGACUGCUACGCAUCUACCGAUGGAUUUGUAGAAACCAUCCACCACCUUUUUAACCGUCCGAUGCAUAAACGUGCACCGUUCGAUCAUCAGCUCGGUCGCAUCUGUCCACCACACAAAAUCCUGAAACAACGUUCCAGUUGCGGAAACAAGCACGCUGCUACGUCAUUCGGUUGACGGGUUAAAAAAUGACUGACGGUUCUUUUGCAACAUAGAUUAUGUUGCAAAAUUUUUUGCAACAAAAGAGCAUGUUGCGAAAACGUUCGUAUAUUUUUUUGCACUAGAAUUUGUUAUAGAAUAUUUUCUGCAACAAGGAUCAUGUUGCAGAAAUUUUUGUAACACAGGUCAUGUUGCAAAAACCUUUUGCAAAGUAGGUCAGGCUGUAGUUUUUUUUUGUAACAAAAGAUAUUUGUUCCAAUUUUUUGAAACACAGACCAAGUUGCAGAAACUCGUCAUUACGCUCUACUUGCACUAUGCGAUUGUAGAAAUCGACCGGCUGAUGGGAAGAGUUUUCGUUGUUAUAUAAUAUUUUCCACAACAAAAGAUCGUGUUGCGGAAACAUAUGCAGAAUUCUUUCUCUACAACAAAAGUCUUGUUCCAUAAAUAUUUUGCAACUGAGUGUUUGUUGUAGAAUUUUUUUUCUGCAACAGUAGAUAAUUCUUUUGCAACAAAAAGUCAUAUUGCAGAAUUUGUUUUUCCAGUUUUCUCUUUUUUGCAACACAUGUGUUGUUGCGGAAAUAAGUUUUGCAACACAUGUAAUGUUUCAGGAAAAAAAAAAUUAACGACCUUGCAAUCUAGAUUCUCACCCGCACCGUCCGCCAUCGACUUCAUAGUUGCGGCCCAACGCACGGACACGUGUCGUGCGCACGAGGAGGCGGAUGGAAAAUGUCCGAUCCGCCAGAUGAUUAUCAUCAUUUCCCUUUUUAAAUCGUGACAAAAAAAGUACUAAACUAACGACAUUUAUUUUGAGACCGGAGAAACAAUACCAGGAUUUCUUUACGGCCUAGUCGGAACGCGUGUGAACAAUCUGCCGCUACGGCCGGCAGUAGAGCAGACAAAUCCCAUGUCUACGUCUUCUUGGGCCGAGCGGAUGUUAGUUAGGCCUUGUGCUAUUUACGAAAUCUUGGUUUGCCUAAAAAAUGUAAAAGGUCUGUUUUGUCUAAAAAUAAAUGUAAAAAAUCUGUUCUCAAAUAUUUUUACCCGUAGCAGUUCAGUCACAUCUAAGAGCAUUUACAGCCCGACUGCCUCCUUCCUUCCUAAAUGUUCGUAAUAUCUGUCCGAUCAAAAAAAGUUGACCCAAUCAAACCUCUCACCUAAUUCCUAUACGUCCAGUCAGACUGACACCCCUCAAAUCGGGAUCAAAUGUAGGAACGAUAUGAGGGGACCCGGACAUGACCGAGCGUGACCGGGCACCGUUUCGUUUCAUAAAGGUCCCAACUCCAACCACCUGAAUAGGAGCUGUCUAGUGUGCUUUUGCUCUGACACACUCGACAACCUAAAUUUUAGUCCCACCUUGCCGUGUCAGCCGGACACGGACUAACUUAAAUAGCCGCGACGGGGGAUAGAGACAAGCUUCUCUAUUAAUUAUAUAGGUGAAUCAAUUCUUGUUGUUUGAAUGAAGUAGCGUGACACUAGAUUGCAUUCCAUCAACUGAUGAUUGUUUAUCGAGUGUCAAGUUUGUCUCAUUCAUGUACAUUGAUAGCCCUACUACAAUAAACAUGACUUUUAUUUUGUGAUCUAAAAAGAGCCGUGCAAACAUAUUUUAUGAUUCAAAAAAAAUCGUGCAAAUGUCAAUGCUCCAUUUGUGAAGGAGAUAGACAUGCCUACGAACUUCUUUGUGAUAAGCACAGAAGAUUCGUAGUAAUAGUCCAUUUGGUUCACAAAGUGUAUAAGGAUGACUGAAGCUUAUUAUUUCUAAACGACUCGGCUAUUUAAGUCGGCCAAUUAGCUCUUAGGCGGCAAGGUCAGACUAAAACAUGCGAAACCCACCGAGACAAGUAGAAAAUGUUAGUCGAUGUCCUACCAGCCCAACAUAGACCUGUUGAUCGAUGUGCAUGUCUUUGCAUGUAUAUGAUGUUUUGAAAAUAGGUUUUAUGGUUGCAAAUGGAAAAAAUCUAAGAGUCACACUAUAUCUCAUCUAUAUAACAUGACAUCAUCCAGUUUGACAUCUAACUAAAAUGAUUUGUUGUAUUGUUUGUUUGUCUUGAUGUUUUUUUUUCGCUUUUACGACACCCAACCCAAAAACGCCCCUUGACUGUGGACGCGUCCGACUGGGCCGGUCAGACCAUUUAUGUCAAACUCUAAACAACAGUCGUGCGCAAAAAAUCCAGAAAAAACUAAUAAGAGUGGCACAAUUCCAACCACAAACAUCUUGUGUGUGCACAAACACCACUAGCCACUACACCACACAACUUGCCAUGACAAAUUAGUUGUGGGAAGUUUAAAAAUUAAUGGAAGUGGCAUAAUUGCAUACUACUUGAAAUAUUGCAAACAAUAUUUUGAUUUUUGAUUUUUUAGAAAAUACAAAUAUUGAUUUGUUAAAACGAGCAAUUUUUAAUUUUUUAGUCAUUUUAUAAAUUGCGCAGGAAAUUUAAAAUUCCCCUAAAAAUAUUAAAUUUUAAAUAAAACUUAAAAGUAAGACCAUUUUUGCAAUCAUGAACAAUUUCUAAAAAAUGAACUUUUUUUACAAUUAAGCACUUUUUCAAAAUGCAAACAUUUUUUAAAAUUCCAAGAAACUUUUUUUUGAAAACUCAAAUUUUUUAACUGAGUUAGUGGACAAACUAGUAUUACAUACAAAAAGUACAUGACUCAAAAGGGUGUAUCUCAUCUGUAUACAACUACGAGAUUUCACAAAAAAGGUGGGGAACUAACUCAAUGGGUUGGGAACUAGAAACCAUAUAAAUGUUGGCUUUAAAAAGACACAUGAAAAACUUGGGGCCCUCCAACUCGGUUGCAUAUCUUUACAAAAACAAAAAAUGGGUCGAAUAUGGGCUUGAAACUUGGACAUUUGAAAAAAGGGAUUGACCCAAAAACAAAAGGAAAUAUUACGCGGGUAAAAUUGACAAUAAAAGAAGAAAAGGUGGCUAGUAACUGCCACAGUCGGGACCCACAUUUGGCAUACUCAAGAUGAAAUUGUACCUCGGAUAUAAAUUGGUGGAUCACCCUAGUUGCAAGUUGAUGUGAACUUCUAUUCGUGGCAGAAAAGUUGGAGCCCAAUUACAAAUCAAUGGUGGACUUCGAGCAGGGGCGAAGAAUAAAGAAGAUGACCUACUCGCAAAUAUUAUGGUGGGCUUGUAACUAAGGCAACAUAAAAAUCCCGAUUGCAAAUACAGGAUGGUCUUGCAACUAGGAGUGGAGAACAAAAAAGGAGCGUAGAACAAAAAGGGUCGAUGCUUUACAAUCCGAGGGUGUACUUGCAAACUUAGGCGACAAUAAAACUUCGCACCCAUUUCUGAGUUGAUGGUGGACUUGUAACUAGGAUGAAAACAAACUACGGGCCGACUUGCGAGUCAAGGGUGGACUGUCAACUCGAGCAACUAUGAGCCUAGUUGUGAGUUGACAGUGGACUUGUAACUGCGAUGGAAAACAAAAUACUAUCCCCAUGUCCAUUUGUGAGUCUAGUGAUGACUUGCAAGCGGGAUGAAAGCAAAAUAUGGGCCCACUUGUGUGUUGUGGGUGGACUUGCAACUCACACAACUACACAAAAGUACAAUAAAAACUUGGAUCCCAAUUGAAAGUGGGUGGUAGACUUGCAAAUGGUGCAAAAGAAUAAAAACGGGUGACCUACUAGCAAAAACGAGGGUGGGCUUGUAACUAAGGCAACAAAAAAGGUCAAAAAGUUGGAUUGCAAGUAGAGGGCGUGCUUCAACUAGGAGCGAAGAAACAAAAAGAUGGUCAGUGUUGGUUGUAAGCCAAAGGUGAACUUCCCAACAUAGGCGAGGAAAAACUUUGAGCCAAUUUGUGAAUUGGUAGUAGACUUGCAAUUAAGAUGAAUACAAACUAUGGUCCUAAUUACAAGUCGAGGGUGGACUUGCAACUGUAAAAACUACGAGCCUGUUCAUGAGUCCAGGUUGGGCUUGCAAUUGGGAAAAAAACUACAAGCCCAAUUGCGAACUCAGGGUGGAGUUACAAUUGAAAUGAAAACAAACUAUGGGCCAAGUUGCAUCUCAAGCAUGGACUUGCGACUCAGAUAACUACACAAAAGUAUUAAAAAAUCUUGGAGCCCAAUUGCAAGUCGAUGAUAGACUUGCAACUAGGGCGACCUACUCACCAAAACAAGGGUGGACUUGUAACCAAGGCAACAAAGAAAAAGGUGAAACAAAGUUGAUUGUAAGUUGAGGGUGGGCUUGCAAUUAGGAUCAAAGAAAUAAAAAGAGUUGGUUCUAGUUAUAAGCCAAAGGUGGAGUUGCAAAACUAAGGAUAUAAUUAAAAAUUUGAGCCCAUUUGCAAGUUAAUGGUGGACUUGCAGCUAGGAUGAAAAAACUUCGGGCCGAGUUGUGACACUAGUAGAAAACAGGGCUACCGUUCGGCCCUCGCCAACCCAUUAGUCCCGGUUCUUCAAGAACCGGGACCAAUGGGGGGUAUUAGACCUGGUUCGUGAGCCCAGGGGGCCGGCCGGGGCCUCGUGGGCAUUGGUCCCGGUUCGUGUGGAACCAUUUGUCCCGGUUCGAGCCACGAACCGGGACCAAUGGUCCUCGCUGCUGGCCCACAACCAUUAGUCCCAGUUCAUGCCACGAACCAGGACAAAUAACUUGCCUACAUAUAUACCCACCGCCGCGGCAGAGCACUCCACAGUGCUCUAUUUUUGUCGAGCCGGCGAGGGAAGGGCAUUUGGGUGCUCUAGUUCACCUCCUAUGCACAUGAGGUGUUCGAUGAAAUGCCCGAGCCACACUAGUUAAGCUUUCUCCUCUCGAAACUCAACCUCCGAGCUCCAUUUUCAACGAGACUUGUCUAGAUUUAGCGGUCCGUCAUGCCUCGUCCCCGCCCCGUCUUCACCGUCGUCGAUCGCCCGCGCCGAUCUCGUCGCCGACACCACCGUGGUGAGCCUCUUAUUCUUAUCUUCUUUCUGAAAGAAAAAAAAAUUCUGACUUCAGAUAGAUACUUGUCUAAUUUUCUUACUUUUAUUAUUCCUUGUUAUUAUAUAGUGCGAUGGUUUUGGUAUCCGCCCCCGUCGGCCCUCGUCGUGUCUAUGAUUCAGAUGUGGUAUAUAUUAUCUUUUCAUAACUAUUUGGUUCAUUUAUUGUUUAUGACAAUUAUGAUGACCAACGUGGCAUAUAUUUUUAAUCUAGGAGGUAUGUGAACCGGAAAUUCCAACCCACCUAGAAAUGCUUCUCGAGAAGUUAACUUUGGUUGAAAAAGAAAACAAAUACUUGAAGGAAAAAUUGAAAAUAAUUGAGGAUAAGAAUAUGGAAAUGGAGUUGCAUGUUGCCGAGGUCAUUGACGAUCGCAAGAUGAAGAUCGAUGCGAUGCGGUUGAAGAUGGAUGCAAUGCGCUUGAAGAUGGAUGAAAUGCGCUUGAAGAUUAGGAAUAUUAGAUAAUAUGUCAUUGAUAAAGAGGCUUGCUAUCAUUAUGCUGUUGGGUCAAUUGAUACCUUACUUGCGAUUUUGAUCGCGUUUGUUGUUGCAUUUAAAUGUUUUACAUAGUUGUAUGUUGUUUUAUGAGAGAACUUUAUGUAUUUAUUUUUCAAUAAUAACAUUUGAUCACUAUUGUGCUUUGGUUUUAAUGUGAUGAUAACCUUGUAUUAAUUUGGUCGUUUCUCUAUUCGUUUUGUUCUGCAAUGGUUUUUUAUAUAUACUUAAUCUCAUAAUAGAGAUGAACCGCCAAUGGAUGUACGGUGACCGACGCAUUUUCGAGUACAUUACGAACCGGGACUAAUGCCCGAGUCAAAAAGGGUUGUAAAUUGAUGAUGUGGCUUUGAAUGGUGCAUUUUGAACNNNNNNNNNNNNNNNNNNNNNNNNNNNNNNNNNNNNNNNNNNNNNNNNNNNNNNNNNNNNNNNNNNNNNNNNNNNNNNNNNNNNNNNNNNNNNNNNNNNNNNNNNNNNNNNNNNNNCAAAUAAGUUCAAAAAAAUGAAAUCCCUUUGUAACAAACGAGUUUCCGUAUGAAACUCUGAUACUUCGAAAGAGAUUGUCCGUUUUCUACACGAAGUGCAUCCAGUUUUUGCCGUAACCCUCUCAACUUUCUCGCACAUGCUAUGUGGGUGAAAUGAUGAUACCAUGCCAACUUGGAACCUUUUCAGAGUUCAUUUCAAAUGCUUUUCAAUUUCAUGGUCUUAUAGCUCAAAAUAAUCAGUAAAUGCAUGAAAAAUAACAAAUAAAGUCAGAAAGGGUUGUCAAUUGAUGAUGUGGCUUUGAAUGGUGCAUUUUGAACACAGAAAAACUAUGGAGUUCAAAUAAGUUCAAAAAAAUGAAAUCCCUUUGUAACAGACGAGUUUCCGUAUGAAACCCUGAUACUUCGAAAGAGAUUGUCCGUUUGUACACGAAGUGCAUCCAGUUUUUGCCGUAACCCUCUCAACUUUCUCGCACAUGCUAUGUGGGUGAAAUGAUGAUACCAUGCCAACUUGGAACCUUAUCAGAGUUCAUUUCAAAUGUUUUUCAAUUUCAUGGUCUUAUAGCUCAUAAUAAUCAGUAAAUGCAUGAAAAAUGACAAAUGAAUUCAGAAAGGGUUGUAAAUUGAUGAUGUGGCUUUGAAUGGUGCAUUUUGAACACAGAAAAACUAUGGAGUUCAAAUAAGUUCAAAAAAAUGAAAUCCCUUUGUAACACACGAGUUUCCGGGUCUAAAGAUCCAGCGAAACCACGUGGCGUGACGCGCAAACACAUGGCGUGCCGCAUAUGUUAUUAGUCCCGGUUCGGGACAAAAAUCGGGACUAAAGAUCAAGCGAAACCACGUGGCGUGCCGCGCAAACACGUGGCAUGCCGCAUAUGUUAUUAGUCCCGGUUUUAGAUACGAACCAGGACUAAAGGAUUGCCUAUAUAAAACCUCCCCCUCCCACCCCUCUCUUGUGUUUUUGGGUGUUGAGGUGUGAGCAUGCAUGCCAUGCUCUUGCCACUCUAGCUCAUGCAUAUGAGAGAAGAAGAAUGUCGGCUGUUGUUAUGGGAGUCGCUCUUCCUUCUUCUCCUUGUACUAGAUAUUUGUUAUGCAUUAGGGGAAGAAGGAAUAGCGACCAUCAUCGACGGUCGAAAAAUCAGGUGAGGGAGUGUCCACCAUAUAUGAGAGAAACUUUAAUAGCAAAAAGAAUUAUCAUAAAAUAAAAUUAAUAAGUAAUUAUAAACAAAACAAAAUAAAAUAAAUAAGUAUUUUGUUGUAAGUAGAAACAAAACAAAAUAAGCUAGCUAGCACUUUGAAUUUAAGUAGAAACAAAACAAAAUAAACAAAAGAAAAAAUAAAAGAAAAAUAAUCAAUAAAUGCAACUAAAAUUAUCAAAGUAUUUUCUGUUAAAAAUCAUUAAAAGGAAAAAGAAUUUUCAUNNNNNNNNNNNNNNNNNNNNNNNNNNNNNNNNNNNNNNNNNNNNNNNNNNUGUUAGAAACUUUAAUGGCAAAAAUAAUUAUCAUGAAAUAAAAUAAAUAAGUAAUUAGAAACAAAAAAAAUAAAAAUAAUAAGUAUUUUGUUGUAAGGAGAAACAAAACAAAAUAAGCUAACUAAAAAAAUAAACAAAACUAAAAUAAAGAAAAAACAAAACUAAAAUUAAUGGAAAAAAAUUAAAAAAUAGAUGUUCUCUCCACGUUGCAGCCGCGGCGGAGCUUAUAAACAGGCUCGGAAGUCCUUCGCUUGGCGAGGUGAGACUAAACAUUCAACCACACCAUGGCUGUGGCAGACAACCGGUACCAAUGCAAAAAAGAAAUAAAAUAAAUAAAGCAAAAAAGAAAACAAAAAAAACUAGGAGANNNNNNNNNNNNNNNNNNNNNNNNNNNNNNNNNNNNNNNNNNNNNNNNNNNNNNNNNNNNNNNNNNUAGGCCGCCACGGCGUGAAUACGACUAGAAACCCAUCCAUGGGCCAGGAUUCAGGCCCGCAGUAGGCCAAGAAGGCCCAUCAGGCAAAGCAUUAGCAAGUAGGCCCGUAAGCCUGCAGCGGAGAGGAGCUCGAGAGGGGUGUGGCAGUGGGGCAUAUAAACCAGUGCGCGCCCCUCUCAACUAGCGAGGUGGGACUAAACUUUGGCCGCGACGCAGGCAGCACACGGGCCUUUGGUACCGGUUCGUGGCACCAACCGGUACCAAUGCCCACCCUUUAGUCCCGGUUGGUGCCACCAACCGGGACCAAAGGCCGCCGCUUCCCGCCCUUUGGGCUGCUGAAAANNNNNNNNNNNNNNNNNNNNNNNNNNNNNNNNNNNNNNNNNNNNNNNNNNNNNNNNNNNNNNNNNNNNNNNNNNNNNNNNNNNNNNNNNNNNNNNNNNNNNNNNNNNNNNNNNNNNNNNNNNNNNNNNNNNNNNNNNNNNNNNNNNNNNNNNNNNNNNNNNNNNNNNNNNNNNNNNNNNNNNNNNNNNNNNNNNNNNNNNNNNNNNNNNNNNNNNNNNGGCUUUGCUAUAUAAGCUAGCAGUUGUGAAAAUUUCGUCAGUUUCUUUGAUUCCUCCGACGACGCCGCCAGGCUGCCCGAGCUCGCCGUCGUCGCCCUGCCCCCGACCACGCCGUCGUUGCCCGGCCCGACCACGCCGUCGUAGCCCUUGCCCCNNNNNNNNNNNNNNNNNNNNNNNNNNNNNNNNNNNNNNNNNNNNNNNNNNNNNNNNNNNNNNNNNNNNNNNNNNNNNNNNNNNNNNNNNNNNNNNNNNNNNNNNNNNNNNNNNNNNNNNNNNNNNNNNNNNNUUGCCCCGCCCCGACCACGCCGUUGUCGCCCCUGCCCCGACCACGCCGUCGCCGUCGCCCUCUACACCGACGUCGGCGCCGUGCCUCUCCUUGGCCAGGCCAGCGCCGCCCACCCUGUCCUCUCCUUUGUUCAUAUAAAUGAUGAUUUUUUUUUUGCAUUUUUAUAAAAAUGUAUAUAUGUAUGUAUGUUCUCUAUGCAUAUAAAAGUUAUAUUUUUAGUACAUUUGGGUACAUUUUAGGUUAGUUUUAUCUAUAUAUGUUCUCUGAUUUAGUACAUUUUAGGUUAGUUUCAUUUUUAGAAAAGUUUUAUAUAUUUAGGAAAAGAAGGAAGAGAAGGAAGAAGAAGAAAAAGUUUUAUAUAUGCAAAAGUUACAUUUUUAGAAAAGUAUUAUAUAUAGCUAAGAAGAUAACGAAGAAGAAGAAAAACAAUGAGAGGAGAAAAAGGAAAAUAAGAAGAGGAAGAAAGGAGAAGAAGAGGAGAGGAAGAAGAGGAGAAAUAAAUAAGAAGAGGAAAAAAGAAGAAAAAAUUCCUUUUUUUUUCUUCUUUCUCCUCUAUUCCUUUCUUCUUCUCCUUUUUUUCUUUUUUUUUUCUUCGAUUGCUUCUCUUCUAUUCCUUUCUUCUUCUCCUCUUUUUAUUUCUUCUUUUGUCUUCUUAUAUUUUAUCGGGUAUGUCGUUGUCGAUAUACCCCCUCCCGAUCGAACUUCAACACGAGGGGGGGUACCGAUAUACCUCCUCCCCGAUAACAUUAUUUUUCCAUGUAUAUGUAUGUCGCGUCGUUGUCGAUAUAACCCCCUCCCGGAUAACUUCGACAUGAGAGGCGGUCGAUAUAUAUACCCACUCUCGACCGUGACAACUUAUACCACGGGAGCACCCCCCUCGGCCCUCUCGCUCAACCAAAACUCUCGAGGACACCCAAACCCUAGAGAAAAAAUGAUGUUGGUCUCCUACCCCCUCCCGCCGCGCCCCUACCCGACAAACUCUCUCGAGGCCACCCAAAUUUACCAAGUUAAAAGAGUGUUGUCGUCGAGGCCACCCCAAACUCUUGAAGCGUUGUGUCGAGGCCACCCCAAACCCUUGAAGCGUUGUCUAGGCCACCCCAAACCCUAGAGAAGCAGCGUCGAGGCCACUAACAUGAUUCCUUAUUUUGAUUAGCUAGCUAGUUCUACGUUUGCCACUAAUAUAUAUCCAUCUGUACCAUGUUUGAAUAAUAAUUGACAUGUUGUAAAUAUUUGCAGAAACUACGGAUCACUCCCGAGACGAAAAGGAAGAAGCGAUGUUGGGGGAGAUAAUCGCACAAGGAAGUGAUGUCAUUGCGUCGUUUCUUAGAGACACCGAUGGUCUGGAAGAACCGGGUGAAGAAGAGGGCUAUGUUCAUGAUCAUCUGGAAGGACCAGGUGAAGAAGAGGGCGUUCAUGAUGAUCUGGAAGGACCGGGUGAAGAAGAGGGCGUUCAUGACGGCUCCGUUGACCGAACCGAGUCCGGCGAGGUAUAUAUAUAUUAGUUAAGCCCGUGCUGACUAGUUAAUUGAUGCAUUCAUUGUUUUCAUAUGUACACAUAUUAAUUAACUCUCGUCUUUCUUCUUUUUUCUCUAGCCCUCCGGAUCGACCUCAACUUCGGUAAAGAAACGAGGCCCGAAGAAAAAGUUGCGCUCGGAUGAAAGGUUUGAGAUCACAGCAAUCGCGCGCGAUGGCAAGCCGAUUGAACCCAUCCGGACAAGGGAUGCAUUUCGUGCUCAGUGCGGGGUUCUUGUUAGGGACAAGAUCCCGAUCAGUAUCCAGCAAUGGUUAAAGCCAAAGAAGGAAGACCCUGAGGUGCCGACGUCUUAUGUCUCCGAUAAACAGAAAGAAGAUCUUUGGACAACGCUUAAGGAAAAUUUCACCCUACCGCCAGAGGAGGAUCCAGAGAAGCGAGUUAAAGAGGAAUUGAUCAAGUCUCAUGCUCUUAAGAAGAUGGCAGAACUAUUAAGGAGGUGGAAGAAUGAGCUGAAAACGUUUGUCGACAAAGAAGAGACACCAGAAUUCACUGGCCGGUUUGAGAAGAUCAGAGAUCAAUGGCCCGCAUUUGUGGCCCACAAGACAGCGGAAAAGAGUAAGAAGAUGUGAGCGACAAACAAGAAAAAUGUUGCGAAGAAGAAGCAUCACCAUCGCACGGGGUCAGGUGGUUACCUCAAAGCCCGACCUUUGUGGGACAAGGCUGAGAAUGACUUGAUUGCUAAAUGGGUCGAACCAGAGACAUUGAGAUGGCUACACCGUUGUCGAACUUGGUUCUUCGGGGUUGGCGGAACCUUGGACCUUGUAUCAGGGGAGUGCGUUUGGACAGAAGAGCAACUGCAAAUACCCGUCAGGAAGCUUCAGCACUAUAUCGCCGCAACACAGGAAGGGGCGUUCAUUCCAUACAGAGAGAAUGAUGAGCUCACAAUGGCCCUCGGCAAUCCUGAGCACCCUGGACGGACACGAGGCACACCAGGCUCCCUUCCCUGGAAGGUUGGGUUUCCGGACGCACGGGGUUACAAAACCCAGGAGAGGAGGAAGAAAGCGGAGCAUAGCCAACUACAGGCGCUGCAUGAAAGGGUACAAGGGCUAGAGGAACGAGAAGCAGAUCGCAGCAAACGACCUGCCGAAGCUUCCCCUGAAGCUACCCCGCCAUCUCAGCGGAGAAGCAGUGUGGCUUCCACCGAGCAGACUCAGCAGCUGGAGCCUGUCUUCACGUGCUACCCCGUGGAUGCUAUCACAGAGUCUCAACAUUGCCACCUUAUGACGCAAUGGAUGACAUUCAAAGUCAAGGCGGCUGUUGGCUCUGUUAUACCUAAUGAACCUGGCUCAACCUACCACGGCCAGCCGAUUCCAGAAGGAUAUGCUAGGGUGAUGGUGGAUCAAAUAACGGAAGGAUUUGAGGACCUUGAGCUUGACCACCCUACGGGUGAAGGGGAGAUUCGGUUGGGUUCUUCUCUGAAGACUCUAUGCCUAUGGCGGAAGGAGCUCAUCCACCUUCCGAACUGGACACUUCCGCCUCCUCCUCCGGCGAGUCAGGGCCCGCCUCCUCCUCCGCCUCCUCCGGCGAGUGAUCAGGGCACUCAACCUCCUUCUCCGGCGCGUGACGGCACUCCGCCUCCUUCUCCGCCUGCGCCGGCGCGCCCGAGCAGCCAGCUGCCUCCUCCUUCUCCGCCUCGUCAACAAGGGCUGAAGAGACCCGCCGCCGCUCCGGCUCCUCCGACGUGUAGUCCUUCUCCUCCGCCUGGUAAGAAAGGAAAGACAGUCGCAGCCGCUCCGUCUGCUCCGACGUGUAGCAAUACAGCCAGAGGCAGGAAAUACAAAUACGGUCCUUCUCUGAAGCCUCUAGAGGAGUUACCAUAUGAGAGGAGCCCGGAGGAAAACGAGAAGAUCGUGGAAGCCGAAGUGAAGAACUUCUUUGAAGGGGUGAAAGCAAAAAAAUAUCCACCUCCGGAGGAGAAGAUAUAUCCGGUAAAGGCAAAGCAUACUCUGGCUGCCCUGAAGAAACCACCAAAGUCCCCGACGAAAGGCAACUAUGAGCGCAUUAUUACAAAGUCAUUUACCGAAGCGCAGCGGUCGGGAAGUACUGUCAGUGAUCAAAGGUUAGCAGAACGACGAGCUGGGAAAAAAGUUGCCCAGCUCAGCGAACAAGCGAACCAAUCGUUCCCCCCACUCAAGGUGUCUAGCGAUAUCGUCGCUAAUCAUCCGGGGAUCUUGUUGCCCGGUACCAAUCCUGCAAAUUACCUGCCCGAUGAUGCACAUUUUGAUUUAUUGGAGGUGGACGAACACAAAUACGUGUACGGGAAGCCUCACGUCAAAGAUGAAAGAUCUCUAACAACGAUGAUGCGAAGAUUCCAUGAUUGGUACAUGAAAACUUGCAAAGAGUCUAGGGGGAGUAAUAUUUUGAUGCUGGGAGUUAGAAAGGAGCAUGACCUCGUUGGACUUGAACUGUUGAUGGUUCCAUUUGAGGAGUUCUUCCCGUUUUUCAAUCUAAAGGCCCUCGAUAAAUAAAUGAUCACUUGCUACUGCCUGUAAGUAGUACUACUUCUGUCAUUAAGUCUCUAUAUAUAGGUCACCUCUUUCAUUGCAUGUAUUUUUAAUUAUCCUCACUAUAUUAUAUGCAGAUUGAAGAUCGUCGAAUUGAAGAAAAGACAAAUCGGUGAUAUUGGGUUCAUUAACACAAAUCUCGUAGAUGCAUUUAUGAUUAAAUCUCAGGCCAAAGAUACCGAGGCCAACCUGCUACAAUCGUUUGUAUUGAAUCAAAACAAAGCUAUAAUACUCUUCCCUUAUGAAUUCCAGUGAGUGUUACUGUCUUGUGCACAUUCGGUUUCCCUUAUGUGACAGCCCGAUGCCGACGUUCCAGAAGAUUCCCUUUUCUUUCCGUUUUCGUUGUGUGGGUAUUUUCAUUUGUCGCAUCAUCAUCGCAUCAUUCACAUCAUCUGCAUUGCAUCGGCGUCUCCGUUGCCGCCCGUUUUCAAAACUUGCAUUCGUUAGUAGUUGCCGGUUCUCGUCGUUGUCCAUUCUGAGUCCAACCGCACUCGCACGCGCCCGCGGCAUCGUUCGAAACCCUGUUUUAAAAGUGUGUUUAAAACUUUCUCUGAUCGGGGUGAAACUUGGCAUGCGGUCAUAAUUAGUUAUAGCUAGGCCGCCUGUCGAGUUUCGUCGCGAUCGCAGACCGUCUGCUACCCGAACGGUCGUCCGUAGCGGCACCGUAUUCGGUCUACCGUCGGACGUUUGUCAGUGUUUUAGAAAUCGUUGCCGCGCCGCCCGUUCUCCCUCUCGUCUCCGGAUAUCCCCUCUACACGGCCGUGUACCCAUACCCGCGUUCGGAAUCGUCCGAAUCCGACCCUGCGGUUGGAUCCGGAACGAAAUUCCGGGUAAUCUAGCCCCCCAUAUGUCUAUAAAUACCCCUAGUGCAUUUUAGACAGCCCCCUCACCCCCUGUGCCUUGAAAUCCGUGCAGCCCCGAAACCCUAACCCUGAGCCCCUCUUCCUCCUCCAGCCACCAGCCCAUGGGGCCCGAUCUGAGCCCGCCCGAGCCCAUCCGCCGCCGCCGCUCGCAUGCGCCCCCUGCUCCCAUCGCGACCUCCUCCUGUAGCGUGUUGCUGAACCCCCUGCCGCACCUCCCCGCCGGCCGCCGUCGGGUGCGCAGCCCAGGAUCCUCGCCGCCGCGGCCCCGCCAGCGCGCUGCCGCCUGCCCAGUUCUCGCCGUCGUUGCUGCUCUCCUCGCCGCCUGCCAGCGCCGCCUCAAACCCCCGGGGAUGGACGGAUCCGGAGCUCCCCGUCAUGGAUCCGGCCUCCCCCGCCUUCCCCCUCGCCGGAAGCUAUGUCGCCGGCCGCCGCGACAGCUCCAGCGCCACCGUCCGUCGCCAGCGGUUGCCCUGGCCUGGGCCGCACCAGCUCCCUCGGCCCAGUGGCCAACUCCUUCGCCCCAGGCCCAGGCUUCGGCCUCACCCGCGGCCCACCUCCAGCUUCGGCAGCCAGGCCGGCUGCCUUCCACUGCGCCCCUCCAGCCCAAGAGCCCCCCCCGAGGUGAGAUCCAUCCCGCGCCCUUGGCGCUAUUUACUAAAUUGCGCCUCCAGAUUCGGCCCUUUUGCAUUUAGGAUAUUUCUAUGAUUAAAUAAUUUCAGGAAUUAAUAGAUAUUUAAAACAUCCGUAUCUUUUAAUCCGUAAGUCGGAACCAAGCGUGUAAUAUAUGGUUUUCGCGUAGUUUUACUUGUAGAUUACGUUUGUGCACCUUGCGUAUUUGUUCGAUUUAGUUUAGCGUGCCAAAUGCAUUGUUUACCGUGCUGUCUAUGUAGGAUAGACGCCGUAUUUGUUUUUCGCGCUAGACCGUAUUGUCCGAAUGCCGUUUUAGAAAUGCCCAUAUUUUAGGGACUAAUUUGCCAUGUAUUUUAGAGUGGUCACACNNNNNNNNNNNNNNNNNNNNNNNNNNNNNNNNNNNNNNNNNGUGUAGGGAUUUGCCGCUAGAUUAUUUCCCGUGCUUAGGACAAUGUCUCGCAUUUACGUGUGGUAUUAUUUUUGUUGCGCAACCCCACAUAUUUUAUAUGCUUUCGGAGUAGAAAAAUCCAUGGAAUUUUUCUGUGCAACUAGUUUUAGCAUUAGAGCAAGUUGGUUCGCACGAUAUUUUGCCGUGAUGCCCUUUUGUUUAAUUCGUAGGAUUUAUUUUGUGCUCCGUUUGAUUAAGUUGUCAACUAGGGAGUUGUUCUUGGGUGUUUGGUCUAGCCCCUGGUAUUUUGGUUGCAAUAGAAAUGCAUGUUUAGGUGUGUUUUGAUUGCCCUCAAGUUGCUAGAAAUAGUGCUGUUUUGGACGUGCUGAAAUAUUUCUAAGUCUGGAAUCUGUUAUAUUUUGUUGCUGUCUUGUCUUGCUUCUAUCUUGAGUUGUGUAGCUCUUUUGAGGUUGGUCCAAUGGAGUUAGUUGUACCCCUUGUGUUUCUCUAGUAUGCUGUAAAGAUUCAUGCCAUUUGGAGCCCUGUAGCUAUAGGUUUUUCUGCUUUCAAUAUUGCUUCAGAUCAAAAACUGCACUUUCAUGAGGUGUAAUUUUCACUAAGUCUGAAAUAGUGUGUGAGAUGCCAUUUUGUGUCUUCUUUCNNNNNNNNNNNNNNNNNNNNNNNNNNNNNCUUUCCCUAGUGAUCCAUGUUUCCAUGCUAGUUGUUGUUAGUUGUUUGUAGUAGUGCUUCUUGCCCUCUUCCGUGGCAUGCCUUGCUUGAGUUUAUCAGAGUUGUGUAGCCCGUAGUUGUGGGGCGUAGAAAAUGCUAUGUGGCUGAUUUUGGCAGAUUGUAGUCAGUUCUUGUUUUUCUCGUAGUUUUUUGAUCCGAAGCUCCGAUUUGAUCGUGUCCUAUAUGGAACUUGCUUAGAAUCUCGUGUAGUUUCAUUUUCUCUUGCUGGUUGUAUGUUUUGAAUUGCUCGUAGGCGUCGUUGCACACAUAUUGCAUUCAUGCCAUCAUAUCUUGCGGUGCUUGUAUCUUUUGAACCGUAGCUCCGUUGGAGAUGUUCUUUAUGUGUAGGUUGCUUGAAAUGACGCGUAGAAUCACGUGAACCACUUUGUUUUGCCGUUUAACAAACCUAAAACGUGAUUAGGACAAAUCUGGACAGAAUUAAGAUUUAACAUGUGGGGUCAUAUUGGAGAUGCUAUAUAUCGUUUCCGGUCUCAUUUAAAGUGCCUAGCUAGGUAGAUUAAUUUGUGCUUCACCCUCGUGCCAUGUUUAACAACAUUUAAUAUAGCCGUGUACAUGAACGGGAGUGAACUAAAUAAUUAAAUGUGGAGUUUCGUCGAUAUGCAAAGUUUCACUUAAUGUGUAGUGUGCGAUUGUUGUGAUUGUCAUGCCUCGCAUUAGACCGUUCAUGCAUCAUAUGUGUCUUGCAUCGUGUGGUGUAUAUGCGUGUUGAUGCUUGUUUCCGGUUUGCUCCGUCUCGAUAGAGUUCCGCAAGCGUUUCGGAAUGUGAGGACCCGUUCGACUAUGUUGGUUCGCCGACUUCACGGAGUCACUCUUCUUCCAAGCGGGAUCUCAGGCAAGAUGAUCAUUUCCCCAGAUACUAUUACUAUCAUUGCCAUGCUAGUUUUUACCGUUGCUACCGUUUAUGUCUCGUUGCCUACCACAUGUUAAAUAUCAGCCUCUCAUCAAUGCCAUGAUUACCUUCAACCUGUUCAACCUAGCAAACCACUGAUUGGCUAUGUUACUGCUUGCUUAACCCUGUGUUAGCGUUGCUAGUUGCAGAUGCAGAUGCUUCCAUGUGAUAACAUGGGUUCCUUGUCUUAUCACCAUACUUAAUGCUAUUUAAUUUAAUGCACCUAUAUACUUGGUAAAAGGUGGAAGGCUCGGCCUUUCUAGCCUGGUGUUUUGUUCCACCUUUGCCCACUUAGUUUCCGGCUACCGGUGUUAUGUUCCAUAAAUGAGCGCUCCUAACACGAUCGGGGUUGUUAUGGGGACCCCCUUGAUAAUUCGUUUUAGAUUAAAGCUGGUCUGGCAAGGCCCAACAUUGGUACUACAUUUGCCUAAUCACCUAAUAAAAUUGCAUAGGGACUUUCCGGACCCCAAGGAUAAUUUAAUCAACCCCCCGGGCCAGUGCUCCGCAUGAGUGUUGGUCCACCCACCUAGCAGUCGGCGGUGCCACCUCGGGGCAACUCGAGGUUUGGUUCCCGUCCACUUUGCAUAAACGGUGUGUCCUGAGAACGAGAUACGCGGCUCCUAUCGGGUUCGUCGACACACCGGGUGGCCUUGUUGGAUUAGUUUUACCUUUGACGAGAUAUCUUGUGCAUCGGGAUUCCGGUGAUGCUUUGGGUAAUCUCAGAGUUGAGGUUUUCCACUAGGGAAUCUGACGAGAUCGCGAGCUUCGUGAUUGAUGAUUUCUAUGCGGCUUGUGGUAAUUUGUGAUGGACUAGUUGGAGCACCCCUGCAGGGUUAAAUCUUUUCGGAAAGCCGUGCCCGCGGUUAUGUGGCAACGUGGAAACUUUGCUUAACACUCGUUCUAGAUAACUUGAAGUUAAAUUAAUUAAAACUUGCCAACUGUGUGCGUAACCGUAACUGUCUCCUUCGUGAGUUCUUACUCCGAUCGAGGACACGGUGGGGUUAUGUCUGACGUAGGUAGGUGUUCAGGAUCAUUCUUUUGAUCAUCAGUAGACACGUCCGUUAUGCGUAGAUCUUCCCUCUCUUAUUUCUUGUACUCGUAAGUUUAGCCACCAAAUAUAUGCUUAGCCGCUGCUGCAACCUCACCACUUAACCAUACCUCACCCAUUAAGCUUUGCUAGUCUUAAUACCUUUGGAAAUGAGAUUGCUGAGUCCCCUGUGGCUCACAGAUUACUACAACACCAGUUGCAGGUACAGGUAAGGGUUACUUGACGCGAGCGCGUUGAUUGUUCAUUUGGAGUUGCUUCUUCUUCUUCUUCAUCAUCGAUCUAGGAUGGGUUCCAGGCCGGCAGCCUGGGAUAGCAAGGAUGUUCGUCGUUCUUCUUUUCUCGUUUGUUUUCGUCCGUAGUCGGACCCUGCUCUUUCUAUUGAUGAUUAUGUAAUGUACUGAUGUGACUCUGAUGUAGCUUGUGGCGAGUGUAAGCCAACUCUAUAUAUAUCUCUCUUCUUUUCAAUACAUGUACUUGUAACGAUAUCCAUUCUUGCGACACGACGAGAUGCGCUUCUAUCCCUGACGAGGCCCUCGUGCCAAAUUGAGGAUAGGGUCGCAUCUUGGGCGUGACACCUUAUUAGUCAAGGUUAUAGUAAUGUAAUUGAUGAGUUAUGCAUGCGUGCGCAGCUUUCACUAUAUUCUCCUAGAGAUUAAGCUUGAGCAGGGACUAGUAACCGUCUUAGACUCGAAACGAAAAGAUCCCGACGAGUAUGCGGACAUGACUGAAAUUCUAGAGAAGAAAGUUAAAUCGAUCAUUAUCGCACCAUAUCGGCAACUUUGUUCAUUUCCUGAUAUCAAGUAAUUGUUUUCUUUGUCUGACAGGGUUUGGAAAAAAUUCACCGCAAAAACUCCGGGACUGCCGAAGAAGCUGCAAUUUAGACACCCGAAAGUAAGUACUAUAGUAGCAUGUUCCACGCAUCUCCUAGUGAUUCAAGCGCUAGUUUCAUCAAUACCAUUUAGCAUGUUUGCUAACUAUCAGUUUGAUUGAUCUCUAUUUCUUGUAAAGUGGUUGUGGCAGGAACCAGGGAAUGAUUACUGUGGAUACUACAUUUCCGAGUCCAUCCGCCACGUGACCUGUGAGCUGGGCUACUCUGACAAACAAUAUGACGUGCGUAAAUAAUAAUAUUCACAAUUUUAUUUUAUUACCAUCAUUUUUGUUCAGUUUCAUUUAUUCAUAUAUAUGUAUUGACCCCCUUCUUCAAAUUAGAUAUAUCGAAUGCGGAAUGAACUCCUACCAGCAGAUCGUAUGCGAGGAAUUCAAGAGGAAUUUGCGGCAUUCUUUCUUAACCACGUGAGCGCUAAAGACGGAGAAUAUCAUGUGAACCCUAAUGAGUUGAAUUUUAAUUAGGAGAUUAUAUUGUAAGAGAUAAUUAUAUUGUAUAUAUGUAGCCAGUAGCGUCGGAUAGAUAUACGAGAACUUGUUGUUCGACCAAUCUCUCAGAGAAGGAGAGGUGGUCGAUAUCACUUCUCUUUGUAUGCAUAUGUUCAUGACGAUUUUCUAUUUCCUUCAUUUGCUUACUAGCUAGCGUGUCUAGUCCUCUCUAUACGUAUAGUAUGCAGCGUCAACCAAGCACGGAGAUAAGAGAGGACACUUCUCUCUAUUCAUUAGCUAGCUAACACAAUAUAUGAAACACCUAAAUUAACCCCCCAAAACCCCCUUCCCCCCCCCCUUUCAAAAAAAACCCAUCACCUGAAAUGCUGACGCGUGGAUGCCUUUUAGUCCCGGUUGGUGUCACCAACCGGGACUAAAGGCCCCCCUGCCCGGGCUCGCCGCAUCGGCCACGUGGAGGCCCAUCUGUCUUGGUUCGUGUAAGAACCGAGACUAAAGGCUAAGGGCAUUAGUAACGGCCUUUUAGUCUCGGUUCCGAAACCGGGACAAAAGGCCCAUUUUCUACUAGUGUGAGUCGAGGAUGGACUUGCAACUAACACAACUACAAAGGAUUAUGAGCCUAGUUGUGAGCUGAGGGUGAACUCACAACUGAGAUGAAAGAAAAACUACAAUCCCUAAUGCGAAUUGAUGGUGGACUUACAUCUGGGAUGAAAAACAAACUAUGAGCCUAGUUGUGAGUCGAGGGUGGACUUGCAUCUCGCACAAUUACACAACACUAUAAUACCAGUUGCGAGUCGAGGGUGGAGUUACAACUGGGAUGAAAAGAAACUAUAGAACUUGUUGGAAGUCGGAGGGUACACUUGCAACUGGGGCAACAACAAAGCUAUACGGUUAGUGCAAGUCGAGGAUGGAUUUGUGAAUGAGAAAACUACAAAACUAUGAGCCCAGUUGCGAGUAAAGGGUGGACUUGCAACUAUGAUGAAACAAACUACAAACCUAUUUGUGAGUCAUGGGCGGACUUGCAACUGGGACAAUUACAUAAAACUACGAUCAUUUGCAAGUUGAGUAUGGACUUGAAACUGGGAUGCAAACAAACUACAAACCGAGUUGCGAGUAGAGGGUGAACUUGCAAAUGGGACAAUUCAAAACUACACGAUCAAUUGUGAAUCAAGGGUGGACUUACAACUAGGACAACUACGAGCCUAGUGGUAAGUCGAGGGUGGGAUUACUACCGGGAUAAAAAUAGACUACAUGUCGAGUUGCACGUAGAGGCUGAACUUGCAGUUCGGGUGACAAACAAACUAUGGACCCAAUUGCGUGUCGAGGGUGGAGUUGUAAUUGGGACAACCACACAAAACUCCUAUUCAAAAGCUUGGAGGCCAAUUGCAAGUCGGUGGUGGAUUUGCAACUCAGGUGAAGAAUAAAAAAUGGUAGCCUAGUCACAAAAAAUGAGGAUUGACUUGUAAUUAAGGCAACAUGAGAGGUCAAAAUAAGCCUGAUUACAAGUAGAUCACGGGCUUGUAAUUAGGAGCAAAGAAAUGGAAAAAGGGCCGAUGCUAGUUGUAAGACGAGGGUGGACUUUCAAACUGAGGUGGCAAAAAAAACUUUGAGCCCAUUUGCAAGUUGAGCGUGGAGUUGUAGCAGGAUGAAAACAAACUGCAAGCCGAGUUGCGUGUUUAGGGUGGGCUUGCAACUGGGACAACUCAAAACUAGAAGACCAGUUGUGAGUCAAGAGUCGACUUGCAACUGGGACAACUAUGAGCCUAGUUGUGAGUCUAGGAUGGACGUGCAACUCGGAGGAAAACAAACUACAAUCCCAUCUGUGAGUCAAGGAUGAACAUUUAACUAGGAUGAAAAACAAACGGGAUGGACUUGCAACUGGGACAACUACACAAAAAUAUGAUAUCACUUGCAAGUCGAGGGUGGACUUUCAAGUGGGAUGAAUACAAAGUAUAUGCGGAGUUGCGAGUCGAGGGGUGGACUUGCAACUGAGACUACAACAAAACUACAAACCCAACUGCAAGUCGAGAGUGGACUUGCAGCUAACUAUGAGCCGAGUUGUCGGUCAAGGGUGUACUUGCAAUUGGUAUGAAACAAACUAGGCCUAGUUGCGAGUUAAGGGUGGACUUGCAAUUGGGACAACUACAUCAAAAUUAUAAUACCAUUUCCAGCUGAAGGGUCGGUUUACAAUUGGGACAACAACAAACUAAGAGCCCAAUUGCGAGUCAAGCAUUGCCUUGAAACUAGGAUGAAAAAACACAUGCACAGUUGUGAGUCGACAAUGGGCUUGCAAUUGGGGCAAACUACGAUCCCAUUUGCGAGUCAAGGAUGGGCUUGCAACUCGGAUAAUUAAAAAACUAUGAGCCCAGUUGCAAGUCAAGGCUUGACUUGCAAUUGGGAUGAGACAAACUAUGUGCCUAGCUGUGAGUCAAGGGUGGACCUGCAACUCGGAUAAAAAACACAUGCUCACGUUUGUGACUCGAGGAUUGGCUUGCAACUCAGAAUCUACGAGCCCAUUUGUAAGUUGAUGGUAGACUUGCAACUAGGACAACUAAAAAGUUAUGAGCCCAGUUGCGAGUCAAGGAUUGACUGGCAACUGGGAUGAAACAAAUGAUAGGCCCAGUUGCUAGUUAAGGGUGGACUUGCAACUAGGAUGAAAAGACAAACAUAUGCUCCAGUUGCAAGUCAAGGAGUGAACUUGUAACUCGGACAACUAUGAGCCCCGUUGCGAGUCGAGGAUGGACUCCCAACUAGGACAACUAGGAAUCUACAUGCCGAGUUGUGAGUCAAGGGUCGACUUGCAACUUGGAUGAACAAACUACAAGCCCAGUUGCAAGUCCAGGAUGAACUUGCAACUUCAAUGAAAAACAAAACGCAGGCAAAAUACUAGGGGCUAAGGUCGGCCAGUAAGACGAUGGGGGACUAGCAACUCUGAUGAAAAACAAACCACAAGCCCAGUUGCUAGUCAAGCAUGGUCUUGCAACUGGAAUGAAACAAACUACGUGCUCUAAUGCGAGUCAAUGGAGGAUUUGCAACUAGAAUCACUACACAAAACUACGGGCUACAAGUUAGUAGUUGGGUGAUGGACUUGGAAGAGAUGGGGACGAAACUCAAGAACAAAACUCGUCCCACAUGUGGAUGUUGAACUCACCAGGUUUCGCAUCUUGGCAAAAGUUCCCUCAAACAUCCAUGAUACAUGUUUUACGGAAACAUAUGAUGUACUUGGUCACAUGGAUAGAACUCCAAAAAUAAGUCAACUUCAAAAACAUAAGAAAAAAGCUUAAUUUCUGCAAACAAGAACUACAAACAACCCCGUAUCUGAAGAAUAGCAUAUGUAGUUGUGGCAAAAAUAAGUAGAUCUAAAAAAUCACAAGGUCCACGUAAAAGAAAGUAGUUGGUUGCGCAUUAAACAGAUAACAAAACUAAAUUAGAUCUACCAUGUAGACCCAAAUAAUCUGCUCUAUAACUUGAAAACACAACACACACAAACUCCUGCUUAUAAGAACAAUAAGGCAUUCAUACAUUCUCCUCAUUGAUCUUAACUCUACAUAUUUCUACCCUUCAUCUAGACAAAAAGAACCUAAAUCUGCUCCCAUUAUAUAAAAGGCUCUCGUGUGGGUGGACUCAUACAAAUUCUUCAUCAAGCCACAAAAAAUGUACAGUGAAAAUAAACAAAAAUACCCCCCCCCCCCAAACGACGACAUAUAUGAGCCCAUGUGAAAAAAUGCGAGAACCGACAGAUACAAACGGGGCAAAAGGGCGUGCGGCAAAAAAGAGCGAGCCGAUAUGCACGUAUGAUUGAGUUUGUGCAAACAGUAAAGCAAACAUAUUGGAUGGUUAUAGACUUCUUGCACAAGACAUCACUACGAUUAGCAAAUCCCAAUAGGAAAACAGUCUAGUUACACUCUUCUCUAACUACACAAUCGAACCAAAAAUGAAAUAAAAACCAGGGAAUAAAAUGACACGUGGUACUCCACUAAAAAAUAUAGCCCAAAAAUUAUACUCAAGACACAAACGUAAAAACCGGCUCACUAAAGGUCAUAUCGGGCCUCACUCCUUUACAUGGGAUGAACAGAAAAUAUGACACAAACAAUGGUACGACUCUUUUUUUUUUUUUGCAAAGAGCAAUCACGACUUAUAAGUGCAUAUAAGUAAUGGUAUACAAGUUAGAUGACACUGUCAACUCUCAGCUACUCCCUCUGUUCCUAAAUAUAAGUCUUUUUAGACAUUUCACUAAUAGACUACAUACGGAUGUAUAUAGACAUAUUUUAUAAUGUAGAUUCACUAAUUUUGUUUCUUAUGUAGACUUCUAGUAAAAUCUUUUAAAAGACUUAUAUUUAGAAACGGAGGGUGUAGAUGAGAAUUAUAGUAAAACCAAUACGAAACAGGAUUCCAAGACCGCGCCGUGGAAACGACCCAACAUAAGACGCACCCACGAACAAGUCAACAAGUAGACACAAGAGUACAAGACACACACGGAACGUGCAUGACAAAAGGAACUCGAAAUACAGAUUUGCACAACAUUUUAAGUUAAAAGAUGAAAGAGUGAAAAAGUUUCAUGAAUUAACACAAAUAAAUAAAUAAGGAAUAAAUGGAAUAGAAAAAAGAAAAAUAAACGAUAGAAUAGAGAAAAUAAAUAUAACUAUAAAAAAACAAAAAUAUGAAUUUAAAAUUGUUCAUAAUUCAAAAUAAAUAAUGAGAUAGAGAAAGUAAAAUAAAAAGAAAACAGAAACAAAAAAUCAAAUAUAUGGCGUGGAAUGGAAGUGAGAAAAACAAAACAAAAACUUGAACCGAAUCAUAGCACAAACUUGAAAGGAAAAGAAAAACGCAGUCGGCCGUCAAAAGAACAAAAGCCGAUAAUAAAAUGGGCCCAGACCUAGACAAGGGGCACAUCCCUGAGCGGACAUGCGAACAAAAAAUAGCCCAACUCGAGAGACACAUCGACAUGUUAUUUAUGAGUUGCGCAUAUGCCUAAAAAGUUUAUCAAUUGCACAAAUCUUAUAACAAUUUGAUCCUGUGGUUGGAGACUUAUAUGUGAGGUAAGUAUAUUACAUUUAGAUAUAUGAAAUCGCAAUCCCUAAAAUUUAAGGCCUGCCUCAGACGUUUGUAAAUUUGCUGGUUGGAAUUUCAUAAAAUGUUCCCGUUUUUAGAAAAAGUGUUCAUGAUUUUAAAAAAUAUCAUGCUUUUCUAGAAUAUUUCAAUUUUUUCGAAAACCAAUCUCAAAUUAAAAAAGUGUCCGCGUUUCAUAAAACACACAGUUUUUUGAAUGCAUGCAAUUUUUCAAAAAUAAUUCAGAGCUGCCCUGCGUGCUGGUUAUUAAUAUUUGAUGCUGCUAAUUAAUAAGAAACACUUGUUAGCUCAGCCGGCUGUAGAGCAUGGUUCGACCGGAUUUUGAUUUGAUGGUUCAUUUCGUCUGACCUUGAUAAAUUCAAAGUUUAAAAUGGAUUUUUUCGACAGAAAACACAGCUAAUAAUGGAAAACUUUGCAUUACUGUACUAUGCGGCCUACACGUGUACGGUUGUCCGUUGCCUUGCGCGGGUUGCCAUGCACGAGCAAGACGACCCCCCGCGGUGCUCGUUUUAAGAAGCCACCAGCAGCAGCUGGAGCCCGUCCCAAGUCCCCAAUCCCAACUGUCGCCGGACGGAAGGCCACCAAAAAGCCGGUACUUUCAACAGCAGAUCCAAGAGGAGAGGACCAAGCAAAGGCGUACAGCACCCGGAGCCCCCGCAUCUCGAUCGGAACAACCAGCGCGGCUACACCGUCUGUACCCUUCAUAGUACUACCACAUCGUACUGGAGUAGCUGGCACUGGCAGUUCCUUCUCAGUCUCGGGAUUUGGAGCAACUACGGCGGGAUCUCCAGCUGCUCGCCCUCCAGUGAUUGGCAUCAGUGGCUCCCCAUGUGGCAUGCUCCCCGCCGCGCUCCAGCUUAGCUAGCUAACACGUAGUACCACGGUCGGUAGGAGCACAGUGCUCGCUGCUGCUGCCAAUACCGGCGGCACGACGUGAAUGCCCCCAGCUGCGCGCGCACAUAGGCAGAAGGCUGGAAGAACCAUCGGUCUCGGACGGACGCGCCGCUCAAGCUAGAAGAACCCGUGGGCCUUGUCCCGUUCCUGUCCUCCCCAUUUCUCCUCGUCUCCUCGAACCGCUCCUCCUACCUACUCCAUUGUUUAGACAGCGCUACAGCAGCAUCGUGUGACCGGGUACCGGAGCCCGGAGCUACACACGUAGCGCCUGCAGGUGGAUGUCGGUCGGGGUUCGGAACAUGCAUGCAUGGGGGCGUUGUACUGUACUCCUACUCCUACUCCUACACCUACUCCUACAUGUGUGCGUGCAUGUGGGAGGUAAGGUUCGGGUUCACUUCAGCGUACGUUUUGGCUGGUCAUGUGGGAGCAGAGCAUCUGCAGCUCUCCCCUUGCGAGUGACCGACCGACCGACCUGCUAGCUAGCUAGUACUCCACUGCAAGCGGUGUGCUGGUGCGGUGGCGGGUUGCGCGGGCGCGCGCUAGCUGCCGGUGUGGUGGUGGCCACGUACGCACGCACGCACGUACGAUCCAUGGGAUGGAAUCUAAGGUGAGCGUUGGCGUUGCUCGCACUUCGUCGGUUGGAGGACGGACGACGAUCCGCACAAUAUAUAUAUUGUUAGUCCGUGUGAGUGUGAUCCCAAACGUGGCCCUAUCAACUUGGUCACGUGGCGCCGUGGAUCCAUCGCGUUAUAGUACAAGGCCCUGAUAUGCAUGGAAACAUCCUGAAGAAGAAAAGAUACGCGGUAUCCCAUCCUCGAGCUCUGUUCAAAAUGAAGUGUUCCUUGUUACAAGCAAAUACUCCUAGAACCGUAGAAGUACAGUUGGAGUCGAGCGCAAUGGACAUGAUUACACGAAGACGGACGGGGAGCAAAAUAAAAGCUAAGCGAGAACAUUUUUUCCUUGAUGAAGGGCGUUGAUAUAGCCUAGAAGGAUUUGCAUAUUUGGCCUCUCAUAGCUAAAAAUACGCAUAACCAAUACAAACACAUACACACCACAAACAUCACGCCGGCAAAGAGAAAACCUAUAGAAGGUCAAAGCUAUAUUUAGCCGGUAACGAGGAUAACCUAGUAUAGUGAUCGAGUUAUUGCUUCACAAGGAUACCAGAAGUCCCGCCUCGAGUUUUGUUAGAUCGUGAAGCAAAGGAAACGGUGUACGGGAACUGAAGGUUCACUCCAUAUCGAUUCAUGUAAGUGUACAGGUCAAUACCGAUGUCCAGAUCCUGCUACUAUCAUUGAAUGGAAUAGUUCAAGGUCAUAUCUUCGUUUUAUACCAAACCUGCACGAUCACACGCCUAAGUAUUAUAGAUUUAUUGAUUGUUAGAAGUGGUAGGAGCUUAAUUAUUAGCGAGAGCGCUCGAGGCGGAAUGGAGGGGGCGACCACGGUGACCGUGGCGACCUUCCACUCCCGGGAGCGGGCGGAGGCCCCAUGGCCGGGCGGCCGCUUUUGGGUUUUGGCCGGAGACGGAGAGGAAGAUGAGGCCGAGGGUGGAAAGGUCGUUGCGACGGCGGAGGUACCCUCGCCAUCAACAUCUGACAUUGUUGGUGAGUUUUUUCAGGACGGAUCGGAUGAGGAAUUGGCCGGAUAUGCGGAUGCGGCGGUACCGACGGACGUUCAGGUGUGGCGAGGGAGUCCGACGGACAUGGUAGAGGUGGCGCAGGUGCCGGUUCACCGGACGAAGGCGGCGGCGGCGGUCCGGCCAUGGAUAGAACCGAUUCCUAAGGUAUGGCUGCCGAAACUGACUGUCUCAGAUUGCAUUUUACCCUCGUCUUGGCAUACGGUGCGCUGUAAGAAGAAGAAGAAGCACUAGUGGAAGAUGGGUCUUUCGGCGGUCGGAAAAACAAAUGACCAUUAGCCCCGGGUCCAAGUAAAACCGGGACCAAUGCCAGGCAUCGGUCCCGGUUCAAUUUGCCAGGGCAUUGGUCCCGGUUCAUUUCGUUUUAUUAGUCCCGGUUCGGGGCAAAAACCGGGACUAAAGAUCCAGCGACUGCCACGUGGCGUGCCGCGAAGCAGUAGUCCCGGUUUGUGGCCAGAACCGGGACUAAAUGGUGCGCUAUUAGUCCCGGUUUUAGACAAAAACCGGAACUAAAGUGCUGCCUAUAUAUACCCUCGUCCCUGCCACCCUCUCCUAUGUUUUUUGGUUGUUGAGGUGUGCAUGUCAUCCUUCUAGUUCAUGCACAUGAAAUGUUUGAUGAAAUGCCCCAGCAAGACUACUUAAGUUUUCUCCUCUCCAAACUCGACCUCCAAGCUCCAUUUUUCUCAAUACUUGUCUAGGUUUCGCCGUGCACCAACUACACAAGUGUUCUAAAAAGUUAGCUACUUCAUACUUUCAUCUCUCACUGCUAGUUUAGCUCAUUUCAAAUGCUCUAGAGGUAGAAUGGUUUGUGGGUUUUAGUGUAGGAGUGUAUGUGGGAGUUAUUUUGUUUUAGAUGCAAAAUUUGAGCUUAAAUUAACUUCUUAGAGUCUGCACAUGUAUAGGGUGUCGUCACGUGCCCGUCUUCACCGUUGUCGAUCGCCCGCGCCGAUCUCGUCGCGAGCACCACCGUGGUGAGCCUCUUAUUCUUGUCUUCUUUUUAAAAGAAAAAAUUUCUUACUUGCAUGAUUUAGAUAGAUACUUGUAUAAAUUACUUACUUUCAUUAUUUUUUGUUAUUAUAUAGUGCGAUGGUUUUGGUAUCCGCCUCCGUCGGUCCUCGUCGUGUCUAUGAUUCGGAUGUUGUAUAUAUUAUCUUUUAUAACUACUAGUACAAAUGCCCGUGCGUUGCACCGGGCAAGAAAAAAAUGUUGGUAGUAAACGUCAUGACAAUCUCAACCAAUACAUAGGACCAUAAUCAAGCACAUAAUAUUGUUAAAGAGUACAUGUCUAGAUUCCGUUGUAAGCUAGAAACUGAAUGUCAUUUACAACCAACUAUUUAUUUGCAUCUAGUACAAAUGUCGUGCGUUGCAUCCAGUAAGAAAAAAGUACCCAACCUGCUUGUUGUGCCAUUAUGCGGUAUUAAUUGUAAUAAAUGUGUAUAAUAAUGUUAAAUGUUCGCGGUUCUAAUGUGUUCCAAAAUAAAAAUUCAAGAUUUUUUAAAAGAGAAACAUUUUUGUUGUGAUAUAUUACAGUUUAUUUGUAUUUUUUUGCAUUUUUUAAUGCAUAUACAUCCCUCACGCACUCAAGGAGACAAAAAUCUGAAGCCCAUAUUUGUCAAAAAAACCUGAACCAGUGCAGUGCUUGAUGCGAAUCUCAUAUUUGUGGAAAUAAAAUAAUAAAAGCACUUCAAUUGCCAGUAAAUAACAUGAUAAUUUGAACCAAUACAUAGGACCACCAUCAAGCAUAGAAUACUGUUAAAGAGUACAUGUCUAGAUUUCGUUGUAAGCUAGAAACUGAAAGUCAUUUACAAUCAGCUAUAUGUAAUUGACCCAGCUGGUCUAUAUCCAAUGAAUUAUGAGAAACCCUUUCAUUUGGUAGUUAUCUAAAACUACCACCAGAGAUGCCAUCCAACAGCUAGCCAAUAGCGGAGCUUCUUUUUUCAGAAAUAGCAUGCGCGUCCUGUUUGAGCAAGUAGAAGUUAGUACGAGCAAACAAUCAAUCUUGAAAAAAGAAUUUGUUAUUGCAAAAUCUUCCAAAUCGUACUAUAUUUACCAGAUUUAAAUUGAAUUUUCCUGAUAACUGAUGAAUACAAGUACAUCGGCAGGCAUGUUAUCUUCACAUUCAUUGUCCCUGAAUGUUAAUAGUUGACCCAAAAUUAGUUUUCUGAGUUUAUAUCCAUCCUGUACAACCAUUAUUUUUGUAAACGAAUGGCAUCAAAAUUAGAUGUGUCAUUAUAAUAUUAAAUGAUCUAUACGGUUGCGAUAUUUACCGUUAUAAAUGGCAAAUGUGGUCUUUCAUCUUCCCAUGUGGACAUGAACAGGGGAACAAUAUAACCAGAAAGUUCCCUUAUAUAUUUCAUAAUACAUAUGUUAGUAAUUUAAAUUUAAAUUCAUUUUCAAAACAACAAAUACUCAUUAUAUAAUAUUCAUCUAUUCAAAAAUACCUGUUGUAAACAGGAAUAUCAUCUAGGAUUUUUUGAUGCCAUAGGAGAAUAUUCUCGUUCCAUUUAGACCGAGGGCAUGUUUUUGACAUUGCUUUUGGUAAGUGUUCUGCAAUCCAUAUAAUUUCGUGCACAUAUUUUGCGAGUGGGUUGCAUCUGUAAAUGGGAUUAAUUGGAGCAGGGUCCAAAAUAUACAUUGUUCUGGUCUCUUUGUCCAAUGUGAAUAGAAUGAAAUCAUUGUUGGAUUGUACUGGAAUAUGGAUCUGAAAUAGGAUAUAUACAUUAUAGGUGUAAUAAUAAAAAAUUGUAAUGUGAAUAGAACAAAAUAAUUAUUCGAUUGUACUGGAAUAUUGAUCUGAGAUAGGAUACAUAUAUUAGACGUAAUAAAAUGUAUGGUCCAAAGUAUAAAGAAGCGUUCUCACCGAUUUGCAGUUUGAAACAUUAUAUUUGAUACCACGCCAACUACAAACAGAAUUUGCUAGUUGUUCCACAUCUAACUUUUUACGAAAAUCUGGGUGUCGUCCAAAAUCAGUAGUAAUCUAGUACAUAAAAAUAAUUGGUUAGAAAGGUGAUUAAAAAAUUAAGAAUAUAGAAAAAAAGGAAAUAAUGAAUUUAAUAACAUACCCAAAAUUUCAUAUCAAGAUAAUGCUUCAUUAUCAACCGAUUAGUUUCUUUUGCCGUUUGGAUGUCAUCAAACAUAAUCUUCCGUACAACCAAAUUAAAGCAAUCUCUGUCCAUUGGUAAAUCACCCUUUUAUCAUUCCUUGUAGUUUUUUGAGAGACAAACUAAUUGGAUAUGGCUUUGAACUUUGGACCCAUACUUUCCUGAUGAUGAUAGCAAUUGAGAAAAUAUAAGAUAAUAAACCAUUAAGAAAAUAAGUUGUUAUACAAUUGCAUUACUAAUUUGAAAUGACUUACUCUAAAAUGUCGGUGUAAUUGAUUGACGUAAUGAACCUACAGAGUGCACUUGUUUACUCAUUCAAGCACAUAUUUGAAAGAAUAGAUAUCAAUGAUCUGUAUUUAUUUUCAAUAGAUACUAGGAUUUUCGGUUUUUAUUCUUUUAUAUCAUCUAGACUUUCCAAUAUUUGAAUAUCAUCAACAUCUCCCACCGUAUCAUCAUCACUUUGUUCAACGCUCGUAGUCAUAUCUGCAGUGUUUGUUUUUCAACGUAAUAGUAUGCUGGCUAAUUUAUACCUAAAAGAAGUAAUCAUCUCCUGCGCAACACAAAAAAAUAUUCGUAUAUGUUAAAAAAAUAGCAUAGUUUUUGUAAAAUUAACAUACUUCUUAUAUUGAAGAAAGAAAAUAUAUACCUGUGUAAUUGUGUAGGGUAGAGAACAACCCAUGAAAUAUUCCAUAAAUUUGAUCAUAAACAAACCACAUGAAGAACUAUCUUUUUGAAUUGGCUUUUGUAAUUGUCCUGUGAUCUUCCAUUCAGUAAGAUCAACGUCUUUCCAAUCAUCACUUACCAAGUUAUGACUUUUAAGGUGGUCCAAAUGAAAUUGUAUUCCUCGUAGCUAAAAAAGAAAUAGUUAUCAGAAAUGAUACACAUUAGCGAACAAUGAAUGUAUGUCAUUUACAUAUAGUAAUUAAAUUGGUGUUGUAACUAACCGUAAUAGCGAGAUCCUCUCGGUCAAACUUCCAGCACAAUGAGUCGAGUACUUGAAUCUCACUCUUUUUUGUAUUCGAAAUGGCUAAAUACCAAUGUGUGUUGUUCGUAUUUAUUGGAAGUUCAAUCUAUAAUAAAGAUAAUUAGUUUUCUUAAAAAAAUUGAAACCUAGAACAUGUAAAUUACAGUUAUGGAUAUUACCAUGUCAUGCUUCAUAUAUUUUUUGACAAGCUCUGUCACAAAGGCACUAUAUUGUUGUAUGCCAUGCUCGCCAUCACGUUUAAAUAGUGAGGUAACAAAAGGACUCUCAAAAUAUACAAUAUUGUCAUUCUGGAGAUGUAUUUGGUCCUUUAUACAACAUAUAUAUGCAUUGAUCACCUAUAAUGAAGAUUCAAAAAAUACAUUACUAAUAGAUAUUAGGAAAUUGGAACAUCUUCUGUUUGAGUAAGGGUACUUACAUCAUCAUUGACCCACUCUUUUUCAUCUAGCAGACACAUUAAUUGCUUUUGUAAGACAAUACUUCCAUCUAUCUGAACCAGCAAUUUUUCCCAGGAUUUGACUCUAUUGCUAUAUGAGCACAUAGAUCAUGAUCAGUUAAUGUAUACUCUGCAAAAAACAAAUAAUUUAAGAAUAUAUAUUGGAAAUGAAAAUACACAUCAUAAGAAAAACAAAUACCAUGUGGGAGGUAAUAAUAUGUCUGAUCAUCUUUGAUCUCUUUAUUUGAAUGUGGAUCCUUAAAAUCAUGUAAUGGAAAAUCAGAAGAUAUUGUGGGAAAAUCAUAGACAUGAGUUGUCAUUUGAUAACGGGAUCACAUCAUUAGGAGAAUGAUAUGAUGGACAAGAACCAACCUAUGAACGUAGCAUAUGAUCGUGUCAGUUUAUUGCUAUUUUUUCUGCAUAUCAAGUAUCUAUUCCUAUGACCAUGAGAUCGUGCAACUCAUUGACACCGGAGUAGUACCUUGUGUGUAUCAAACGUCGCAACUUAACUGGGUGACUAUAAAGGUGCUCUAUAGGUAUCUCCAAGGGUGUCUGUUGAGUUGACAGGGAUCAAUACUGGGAUUGGUCACUCCGUGUGACAGAGAGGUAUCUCAGGGCCCACUCAGUAAUACAACAUCACAACAAGCUUGCAAGCAAUGUGACUAAAGAGUUAGCCACGUGAUCUUGUAUUAUGGAACGAGUAAGGAGACUUGUCGAUAACGAGAUUGAACUAGGUAUGAAGAUACCGAUGAUUUAUCCAGCGCUUUAGUGUUGCGCCAUGCUGGCGGCGUGACCGACGACCGUGAACCGUGAUCGACAAAGGUGCCUAGGAAGAAGGCGUGCAAAUGUGUAUGUCAUACACCGAACAGUCAUGCGUAAAUAAAGGGGGUGAGACAACGAAAUACGUUUUUGGGGGAGGGGGCAGUGUGCGACAUAAGAUCGUCGAGGGGCCAUUUAGUAAAAAUAAUACUCCCUCCUGUCCUUUUUACUCCACAUAUUAGAUUUGUGUCAAGUCAAACUUCAUAAAACUUGAUCAAAUAUAUAUUGAGAGAUAUCAAUAUCUACAAUACUAAAUACACAUUUCAUGAAACUACAUUUUGUAGUGAAUCUGACAAUAUUAGUUUGACAUUGUGAAUGACGAUACAUGUUUCUAAAAAUUGAUCAAAGUAAAGAUACUUUACCUUCGAACAAAGCUAAUAUGCAGACUAAAAGGUGUAUGACCGUGGUCACCUUGCGGCCGGAGCACAAGCCGGAAUUUCUUGCCUCUGAAGCUAUUGGGCCCCUCCCAAUGCUCCACCUUGUUCAGGUGCUAAGACUGCCAUGUAGAAAAAAUAUCUGAUGUGGCAUGAUAUUUAAGAGGGGAGAGAUGGAUGUGAUGACCCCAGGAAGAAAUGAUGUCAAGCGUGUGAACCUAGGCAAAAUACUUAAGUAAAAGAAAGCCCAGCAAUGCAUGAAGAACUUUAGUUGCUAAAUCAAUAAAUAGAGUAUGCUUAGCUACAACAAGUUAAGCACCUGUACAUUGAAGGCUUUGGUUGCUAAAUUUUUAAAUAUGCUUAGCACCUCUUCUUAGAGCAACUCCAAUGGGGCGACCCAUUUCGUCCGGGGCCGUCAGUUCGAUUUCGCGAGGACAAAAGUGAUGGCCCAACGCGCGGACCCAUUGCUAAAAUAUUUUCGUAUCAAAUGUGGGACUAAAAUGGGGCGGCGCGGACGCGAAGCGGACACGGCCCUUUUUUUUGUGCAAACUUAAUCUGUAUUGCACUGUCCUUUUUUUCUCUCUCUUUCCGGCGAUGAUACGAAUUGCAAUAAACAUUCAUUAAAUUAAAACCAAAUUGAGAGAAAAGAAAACAUCGUUAACAACACAUGCACACCUUUACCUCGUGGGGAGAAACAACAUAUUUCUCAUCUUAUUCCGAGUGACUGUAUAUUCAAACGCGAUUUCAUUAUGUGAGCACUAAAGCCAUCGUCAGUAACACAAAUGUGAUGCCAUGUGAAAAUAUAUUUUGUUCAGAGCGUGUCUUAUUUUCUCUUCCGUUGCAACGCACAUGCUCUUUUGUUAGUUCCUCUAAUCCGAACAGGCCCUUAAUAUGUAAGAUUAAAAAGGACCGGACGGGGUACCACCGUCGUCACCCUCGCCGCCGGAGCACAAGCCGGAAUAUCUUGCCUCUCGGGCAAGUAGCGGAAACACCGGCGUAUGCACAUACGCACGGGCCCCCGAACCUUCCAAAAGGUCCAUUUGGACCUCAUGAUUUGCCAACUCAAUCCCCCUUCCCUCCCUCUCUUUCCGUGCCCGCCCACGCUCCCCCACGCCGUCUGACCCUCUCUUCCUCGCCCCAAGCAACGCAUNNNNNNNNNNNAAGCAACGCAUCUCUUCCCCUCUUCCUCUCCCGCUCGCUCGUGCAGAUAUUCUAUACGUCCAUGCGCGGCCUUAGCUGCAUCCUUGUCCGGCCAAAACAACCCCCUCUACAGCCUACACACGAUGCAGCAGCUAGCAGUGGCAGCACUACUACUAUUCUGGACGACGCAGCCGGCCACUUGCAUUGGCGUAUGGCGCGCAACGACCUUGCAGCUGCAAGUAGCGGACUCAGUAGCGGCUGGCCGGCCUUUGUUUAGCAUGGGCGCAGGGCCCGUAGCGGAAACCGUGUCCCGCAGACAAGAGAAGACCGCCGCUUUGUGGCCUCCAGCUCCAACGUGCGCGCGCUUGCGUGGUCUUCUCCUCCUCCACGGGGAGAAACAAGCAAGCAACCGGACCGAGAUCUACCGUUGGAACUGUCAUAACUGAAGUAAAAGGUACCACCCCUAGUAGGUGCAAUGCAACGUGAGCUGCUGCCUAGUAGUACCACAACCUGCCAAAACCAUUUGUCGUUGGCUAAUCAAGCGAGCAGGACUGACAUCGUGGGCACAAAUUUGGAACAACCCUGCAGGCUGCAGCUGUAGGUUGGAGCCAAGCAAAUGCAGCUGGCCAGUUGAGGUUAGCACCCAAGAACAUGGCGUGUUGCGGACCCACCGAACUAAUGGAACCUUCCAUCUAAUCACACCGGGCAAACGCAACGAUGAUCAUGCGCUUCUUACCACGAGCGGCAGCCACAGCACAGCACAGCAGAGAGCGCGUCCAGGCACGAACCACUCCACUGUCAAUGGACCCAGCCCUGCCUGGAACCAACUCGCUCCUGUCCCUGUGCUCCGCGCGCGCGCGCUCAUGGCCAACAAUAAUUCGUGCCCCGCGCCCCACACGACACAAGCCCCCCAACCCCAACCCCAACGAACCAAUCAAUCAGUCGAUCGAUGGUGCAUUUGGAUUCCACGGCACCAAAUCUCUCUUCUUCUUCUUCUUCAAUCAAAGGAAAAAAGCACCAAAUCUCACAAUCCGAUGAUCACCCCGGUAGUACGUACGAACACCACUUGCGAUGGGCGAUGGGGAAUCAAGUCAUCAACAACCAAGCAAUCCAAUCAUAGAGGAAUCGAUUGAUGUAGUAGAGUAGUAUGUAGGUAUGAAUCACAUAUACAUGCUAUUUUUUCAUAUAUGUUGUGCCAUGAAAAAUCCUUCACAUUAAGACACCACCCACCCCCCACCACUUAUUUUUCUGCACGGACGAACACGCUCGCCACUUCAACAGCUAGGGUCUGUUCGUCUUCUGUUGUUGUUUGAUGUACUACAUACACUCGGAAGAAAAGUGAAAAAAAAAAUGGGGCUGGGAGAAGAAACCAUCGAGGAAAAGGAAAGAAUAAACAGACGGAGGAAACAAUCUGGGCAGAGCAGAGCAGCGCAGAGCGAUUGAUGGAUGCACGAGAAAGAAGAAACCAAGCUGGGGGCAUGUACCACGCCGUCACGGGCGGUACGCGCGCAGCAGCUAGAAGAGCUCCCAGUCGAACCGCGGGAUCGGCGAGGUGUUGUUGUUGUUGGCGGCGGCCGGCUUCGUCGUGGUGGUCGCGGCUGCCAUGGUGGUGGUCGCCGUGGCCGAGGACGUCGACGGCAUUGACGACAGCAGGUCGAACGUCUCCCAGCUCGCCGUGGGCGGCGCCGCCGCAGCCUUGCCGGUCGCCGGGGCCGGCUGCUGCUUGAACUGCCGCCGCUGCGAGACGGGCGGCGGCCGCGGCGGCAGGUGCAGCGACCUGUCAACCUUGGGUUGGCCAUUGCCGUUGCCGUUGGACUUAGGCGCGGCCGCGUUCUUGGCGUGGCCGUGGCCGUUGGCCGUGUUCUUGGCGCGGAUGGCGUCAAGCGCCUCCACGUACUUCUGCACCCGCUUCUCCUGCACCACCAAAGAGAGAGAGAUUUAGAGCCGGCACGGAUUCAGCUCGCCCGCCCCGCGGCUAAUUAAUGGGCUCGUCAACGGAAUCGGCGGGGAAUUAAAUUCGGCCGGGUUGCCGUGCUGACCUGCAUUCGCCGCUGCACCUUGACCUCGCCGUCGGCGGCGAUGGCGUCGAGCUUGACCAGCUCCGUCAUAAGCGCCUCGGUGAGGGCGACCACGUCGGCCUCCACCACCUUCCCGCCCUUGCCCACGAUGGUCUGCAGCGCAGACACCUGCAGUGCACCGCCACCCAAAUUCGAUCAGCACAGCGCCCUCCCAAAGUCGAUCGGCGGACGGCGAAAGUGAACAAGGGAAGGAGCACGAGCAGAGUGGUCGUACCUUGGUGGCGAGCUUGUCGACGUCGAGGCUGAUGCGGGAGAUGGACUUGGCGGCGCGCUGGGCCUUGUCGGAGCGGCGCUGCUCGAUGAGGCGCUUGGCCUGCGCGUCGGGGUCCUCGAGCAGCAGCAGCUUGGAGCGGUCCUUGACGCCGGACAUGUCGAGGAAGGCCUUGGAGUCCAUCUCCUUGCUCUUGUAGAGCACCUUCUGGUCCUCGUGGUGCAGGCCGGUCUUGUCCGACAUCAUCUUCUUCAGCUCGCCUGCACCACCAAUCACCGUCACGCCCACAAUCAGCAGCUAGCUCGAGUCGAGUCAGAUCAAAUCAAAAAAUCCAGCGGGCGAAGCAAGGCAAAGCAAUUGAUUUGAUUUGAUUCGCGUGCAUUACCGAAGGAUGCCUGGGAGUUGAUGUAGAUCUCGUGGGAGACGCCGUUGAACUUGACCUUGAGGCGCACGGUGGGCACGGGCGCGCCGGCGGGGGCGUCCGAGUCCGGGCCCCGCUUCUGCACCAGCAUCCCGCCGGGCCGCACCUCCCACUCGUCCUCCUUGAGCGCCUCCUUGGCCGCGGCCGCGGCGGGAGAGACGGUCUCCUUCAUGGCGUCCAAGAAUGUAGCUUUGCCCUUGGCGCGCAUCAUCUUCUCAUGGCACGUACUUAUAUGCCUCCCGCUCAAACAAAGAAUCAGCCGAGCAACCCUAGCAGGCAGGCUGUACUACCGCUCUCGGCAACAACCAAGAACAAACCGACGACGAGGAAGGAAGGAAACGGAGGUCUCAGCAGCCCCGAGAAUCUCUCCGCGGCCGACGACGGCAACCGAUUCCGCCUGCUCUGCCGGGGCAAGGAAGGAGUUUGCCGGGUCCGGGCAAGACCAGGAGGCGCGAUCCUCUCCUCGCUGCGGCUGAAUUGGGGAAGGAGGA